GGGUAGCUAGCAUUAUGCUGUCUGUUAGGUAGCUAUAAAGUUGCAGUCGAUUUCUGUUAAUGGAAUCCACGUUGAAUAAUCUUCUAAUCUCUUCUGCUCCAAAGUUUUCAAUUGGUUCCACCUUGAAUAGAUCUUCAACCUCAGUCAAUUUUUCACAUCCAAAAAUAUUAACACAUCGUGUGGAAGAAAAGAAGCGUGGAAGAAGUGAAGAAUUGACUCCAAAAAUAAAGUUGCACUCAAAAACAUCAAGCAAGACCGGAAGCUUUGGAAUCAUUUGGAGUUCAGUGCAAGAAGUCAAUAGAAGUUGAUCAAGUUCUGUAAGGUAUUUUAAGCUCUCGGGUAGGUAACGAAUUGGGUUUCUACUUAAAUUUAAAGAUUUCAAGGAUGCCAAGUUACAAAGAUCAUUGGGCAUGACAUCAUUAGAUAAUUUGCAACUUUCAAGGCUUAACUUUACCAAAGAGCCCGGUAGAGAUGCCCAAGAGAAACCCAAUCCUUUGCUUCUUUUCAGUAAGAGCCACUGCAACCCCAAUCUUGAUUGAUAUAUGGCAGUUUCAUCUAAAUUAAGCACCUUCAAUGAUUCCAUAUUAUGCAACUCCCUAGGAACAUCAUCAAGUCUUGAACAACCAGAUAAGAUAAGCUCUUCAAGUGAUAUUAAUGAACCAAUUGUCCUUGGAAGUUUCCUAAGACUUGUGCAAUCUUUAAGGUUCAAGAAAGUAAGCAUCUUUAGCUCACCAAUGGAUUGAUCAACUUCCACCAAAUUUAUGCAGUCUUUAAGCAUCAACUUCUCAAGGCUAGGGAGUCCUGAAAAGCUUGGGGUUUUAAGAAGGCUAUGUGAAUGGUUGAGAUUAAGGAUCUUUAAAUUUGGGAGGCACUGCANNNNNNNNNNNNNNNNNNNNNNNNNNNNNNNNNNNNNNNNNNNNNNNNNNNNNNNNNNNNNNNNNNNNNNNNNNNNNNNNNNNNNNNNNNNNNNNNNNNNNNNNNNNNNNNNNNNNNNNCGAGAACAACUAGUUCAUUGAUAUCAAAAUCCACCGGAAAAGAUUGCAUACAAAACCCAUGCCAACGUAACCAUCUUAAUCUUUUUGGGUAAAGGUCUUUGAAGUCUCCUUUAAGUCUCACAUAAUCCAGUUGAAGCAGUUUAAGUCUCUUCAUCUUUGCAAAUGCUUGAGUUUCCAUAUCAACAUCAUUUGCCAUGAGAAACUGACUUUUGGAAUGCUUUGGAAAAUGUAGAGUUGUAUUUGUCCUUUUAGCCUUGUCUUCUAGCAAUCCUUUUAGGUCAAGUGUGAGGCACUUAACUGUUCUGGAACCCUGCAUCAGAAAAACUUUUUUAAAAAAUAAAAAGAAAUUUGAUAAAAAAGAAAAAAAGUAGUUUACAUGCACACAAGAAAAAAGUUGAGUAAAAUGAUGUUUCGUACAAUUUUUUCUCUUACUACAUCAAAAGCGUUCUUAUGCCACAAUCUGCUUCGCUUCCCAAUAUCACAAGAUUCUUGACGAAUAAUUUCUCGUCCCAUAUCUCUAAUCAUUUGAUGCAUCAUUAGCUUAUUUUUUUCAUUAAUGAUUAAGAGAGACAUGCCUACUAGAUUUUCAAUUCCAAUUGUUGUAUAGAAAUCACAACCAUCUAGAAUUGUAGUCGUGUAAUCUCUAUCCUUCCCAAUGAAUAAACAAACUAUGUCAAGGAAUAAAUUUUUGUCAUGAUCGUCUUCCAAAGAAUCAUAGCUUAUUCUUAGAAUCUUUUGAAUUUUGCUGUCAGGGAUUUCUUCCAAUUUCUCCAAUGCACUUUUCCAAGAACUCACACUUUUGCUAGAUAAUGAAGAGCCCAAAACUUGAAGAGCUAAUGGGAGCCCACCACAGUGUUUCACUAAACUUUUUGCAUAUGCCAUUGAACUUUCAGGCACAGAGUUAUGACCAAAAGCAUACCAAUUAAAAAGUUGUAGCGAUUCACUUGAAGCUAAUUCUUUUACUUCAAAUAGCUUACUUAAGCCUCCACAACUAGUUGAUGCUUCCGAAUCAAACAUUUGGCUUAUAAAAUGUGCAUUCAAUAGGCAUCGGUUUCUACUAGUUAUGAUGAUUUUACUUCCCAGAUGAAAAGGAAUUUGAGUUCCCAUUAAUUUUCUUAUUUUUUCCAAUUCAUCAACAUCAUCAAGAACAAGAAGAACUCUUCUACAACAUACAACUUCUUUGAUCUUGUUAAUUCCAUUAUCUAUAUUGUAUAUUUUAUGUGAUUUUCCUUUAAGAAUAUCUGAAAGAAGUUGGCUUUGCAAACGGACUAAACCAUUGCAAUCUUGACUUGUUUCUCUAACAUCAGCAAGGAAACUAUAACCUUCAAACCUCGGGAUAUUUUGAUUGUAAACAACUUUGGCAAUGGUUGUCUUCCCAAUGCCUCCAAUGCCACAAAUAGUUGCAAUGCCAACUUUAUUUGCUCCAUCUUGUUCUAACCAUUGAUUAAUUUGUGUCACGAGAGAAUCUAUUCCAACUAAAUAAGGAGGGACAUACAACGAAAUAAGAUGAAGUUUAUUUUGAACUUCCUUAACAAUAUCUUGGAUGAAUUGUGAUUCAUGCCUGCAAAUUUAAAAAAUACAACUCAAUGGUAAAAUCUUGGAAAUUAAGUAAAAGUUACUAAUGUAUUUUCUCUUUUCUUGCAUAUAUUUUGAUUGCUUUUAAGAGAUUAUAUGUUCAAGUAAAAGUAAGAAACUAAUGCAACAUUUCAACAUAUAUGAUAGAAUUAUUACAUUCAAAAUCAAAUUAUAGAAUUAUUACUUUCAAAAUCAAAUUAAAUCAAAUAAAAAAAAAGCAACAUAAAAAUUAAUGAAAUUCAUUCGAGGAACAACCUAUACUCAAAAUUUCAACCUUCUCUUUGUGAAAGUUUAAUAAAUUCAUGUUAUUUACAUGAAUAUAUAUAUUAAUUUUUAUUUAUUGUAAUAUUUUGAAUAUGUGUAGACCUAUUACAUGAAUAACUUGGAUAUGAUUGUUGGAAAUAUACCACUGCAAAAUAGAAUUGUUACAGGAGAUCAAACUGAAUGUAAAUAAAAUAAGAAUCUCUGUAUCGUGGAAGAACCACUGCAUUAGAGGCAAAUUCGCCAUGAUCGGUGUAAUCGUGUAGUGGACGUUAUCCCCCAACACAAUACUUUAAUAUUCGUACACCCGAAUAAAGAAGGUGGAACACGAUUGACAUUACUCUUCCCGAAAAAAAAGUUCAAUUCCCAAUAAAGAUUAAAGGGGUCAAAAAUAGUCUCGCUUAAAACCUAAUCUCUUAGACAGAAUUUUCCUCUCGUGUAAUUUUGCAGAACACUAGAAUUUAGAUAACAUAGAGAAGUUAUUUUUCUCUUGUUGUGUUAGGUGGGAGAAUCACCUCCUAUUUAUACUAUUUUUUUAUAGGCAAAAUGGUAAAAAAACAAUUUUAGCUUCCAAAAAUAGCAAAGAAUUUUCCUAACUAAAAAUAGUCUAAAAAUAUUUUUUAUAACAGUCAAAGGAUUUUCCAGAAUUCAAAAUAUUCUUUUGCAUUACCAACAAUGACAUCUUAGAAAACCACUAAUAGUGUCAUUAAAUUCAAGAGGCUAUUUCUUUUUGUUUUCAACUCGUCAAGUCCAAAUUGUUCACGUGAUAAGUGCAAACGUAUUUAAAUUUUGAAGGUUCUUUGUAAAAAUAUUAUGAAGGUUCUUUGUAUUUUAAGUUAUAUUAUAUUUUGUUUCUUCUAUUUAAAAAAUAGUAAUUUAGUCAUUGUAUAUUAUAUUAGAAAGUAAAUUAGUUCUUUUGUUAAAAAAAUUAUCUAUUGUUAUUAUUAAAAAUUGGUCCAUGUAAUCAACAUGAGGUACAUGUGACAAGCCACAUGCGAUUAUCUAGUUAUUUCGUCAUUCACAUUAGUUUUUAACAACAAAAAUGAAGGAAAUUUUUAAUAAAAAUAAUAAAUUUAUUCUUUUAUUUAAUGUAUAUGGACUAAUUUACUUGUUUUUAAAUACAAUUUAACUCUCAAUAGAAUGAUCUCUAUGAUACUUUUACCACCUAAUACCUUGGUAGAUACACUCAAUAAUUAAACCACAACCACAAUAUAUCACAUAGACAUCACAUUAAAUAUUCAAGUUCGGUAUAGUAAAGAAACAAUUUUAGUAUCUAUGCAUGAAUGAAGAAUUAAUUGUUUUUGAAAAAGAAUUGGUCAUUAAAUUGAUCAGAUCGUCAAUUUUUUUUAAUUUGUUCGUGUUAUCUAAAGUAAAUAAAUUUUUAAAAAUAAAAAAAUAAAAUUCACGUAUAUUGCACGUUAAAGUAAAUUGAAAAUGAGAAUUGAGAGGGACAUAAGAGAAGGAGAAUAAUUCCGUAAGUAUCUGGUGUGGAAAAUAGUGGCAGUAGAAAACGCGUUUCAAUCGCUUUUCAUUUCGGAGUCAUGCUUACGGUCCAUUUGGUGUGGAAAAUAGCGGUACUAGAAAACGCGUUUCAAUCGCUUUCCAUUUUGGAGUCAUGCUUACGGUCCAUUUGGUGCUCAACAUUUUUAUUAAAAAUAUUAUUUGAGUAGAGUUUUUCAAGAGAGGUAGUAGAAAGGAAGGAAAACGUUAAAGUUGUUCACUAUAAAAAAAAUAAAUAUUAUCAGACCUUAAACAAUGAAUUAUCGGCCUUAAAUUAGCAAUUAAAGAGGAUGGGAUAAGGGUAAGGUUGAGUAAUUGAUCCAAAAUUUCAUGCUGAGGGCAACUAGCACAAAAUUGUUUAAAUAUUUUCCAAUAUUCAUUAAGGAUUAGAGGUGAUAAUGGGUCGGGCGGUCCGGCCCGGCCCGACGGCCCGCCCAAAAUAUGAGAGAGUUUGGGUAAAAAUAUAGGCCCAAAGUAUGUAUUUGGGAAAAAAUGAGGCCCGUUUUCGGGCCUUGGGCAAAAAAAUUUUGGUUCGGGCCCGACCUAGCCCAGCCCGAAUAUAAUAAAUAUAUAUUUUUUUAAAAAAUAAAUUUCUCAUUUCCCCUCCCCAUUUCCCAUUUCCCAUUUUCUUAAGCCCAUAUAUUUUGAAAUUUAUUUUUUAUUUUUAUUUUAAAAUUUUUAAUUUUUAUAUUUCAAAUUUUAAAUUUUAAAUUUAAUUAUUAGUAUUGUUAAAUUUGUUGAUAUGAUAUUUCAUGGGCAAGGGUUCUACUCUAAAAUAAUAAUAAAAAAUUCUUUUUUUAACUCUUUAUAAUUUAUAAAAUUUUAAAAUAGUAAUGGUAAAAUUACACUUUGCCCCUCAAAUGAUAAAAAAUGUUAAUUUAAUAUUUUAAAAACGGGUCGGGCUCGGGCUUAGUAUUUUUCCCCGGGCCGAGCCUGGACAAAAUUUUAGGCCCAUAUUUCGGGCCGAGCCAGGCCUGGGCCUAGGAAGCGAGCUGAAAAUUUUUUCUGGGCCCAUGAUCACCUCUAUUAAAGAUCUUCAUAUCCUUUUUGUGGUAUGGCAUAGAUUUCUUUCCUAAUUGAAGCACCAAGUUAAGAAAAAGCAAAUUCAACGAAUAUUCUUACCAUAUCUAUUUUAAAAUUUUAAUAUAAUUAAUGAAAAACAAUUCACAUAUAUGAAUCAUCAAAUUUGACGUGCUUAGAAAACAUCAUGUGAUAGCCUGAUGAUUAAGAUUGUUCAUCACCCUAAAUGUGGCCUAAAUUUGAAUCGCGCUACUUGCGUUGGUUAUUCAAACUUUACUUGUUAUUGUAAUUCAAAAAAAUUAACACACUUAAAUAAAUAUUGAAUUUUGUCACAUUUAAUAUAGAGGACAUAAGAGGAGGAUAAUUCCCAAGUACUUGGUGUGGAAAUUAGUGGUACUAGAAAAUGCGUUUCAAUUACUUUUCAUUUUGGAGUCAUGCUUACGUUCCAAGACUUUAGCCAUUAGCAAUUAAAGAGGGGCCUCAACAAAAUUAUGGCCCCAACUGUUUCACCUAACAUAAAAAAUUCGUUGGCUAACCAAUUUCAGUGCAAUAAAAGUAGUGAAGAGGAUGGGUUAAGGUUAAGGUUUACAUUGUUGGUAAUGCAAAGUAGAAUCCCUCGUUGCAGCCUUCAAAUUUUUUGGUUCACAAUAUUUUAGGAAGAACUCGAUUCAAAUAAUAUUUUUUGGUGAUUGUUUUUUUCAAUAAUAUUAUCUUUAAAAUUUAGAUCUAUAUUUUUUAAAAAGUAUAAUAUGUCUUACCAUUAUGUCUAACACUUACUAAUUAUUCAAAUAAUAAUGUUAACAAAAAAGGUUGAGCACCAAAUGGUUUGAUAAGUACCAACAAGCUCAUGGUCUAAAGUCUAGAUCGAGUAGCACUAUUAUCCAAAACAUAGUGCAACAAAUCAAUUCUUUCUCCGACGUUUGUUAUAGGGAACUCUACAACCUAGUCUACUAAUUAUCAAUUUUAUUGUUGUGACUCCACAACUAAAAUUUACCCGAUCCCUUCAUUCAAGAGUAUAAUUAUUCGAAUAGGAUUAUGUCUCUUUUAUGGUGGAACACUAAUUCAUUUUAUUACAUGGAUUUGUUCAUAAAAAUUCUCUUAAAAUAUCGAACAAAUAUCAGUUAGGUGUUUUGAUUUAAAUAUUUAGUUUUUAAGAGAAUAUAUUCUUACCUCAUUAUGACUUCUCGAAGAUUUAUGUCAAAUCCAAACUGAUGUGAGUUGGUAGCCAUAUAUUUUUAUUUUUAAGGAUUUUAGUCCCUCUAUAUUUUUGAGAUUUCAAAACUCAAAUCCAAUUGUUAACACUGCUAAUUUUUUUUGUUAAAUUCAAGUUAAUUACAACAUCAUUUUUGUAAUUACGUGGUUACUAAAUAAGUUUUUUUUUAAUUUUAAAAUGCCACCCUAACACAUUUAACAAAAAAAUUGAAAAUGUUAACCAUAAGAAAGUAAAGAGACUAAUUUUUUGGAAAUGAAAGUACGUGUUCCAAACUCCAAAAUUUGUAAAAGUACAAGAACUUAUGACAUAUUUUAACCUUUUAACUUAUGGGUCGAGCUACCCAUCCAAUCCCCGCUCGAGAUUUGGGAGGAUUUAGACAAAAUUAUCAAGCUCAAAAAAUGGACUUGGACAAAAAGUUAGUCCGAUUUAAAAUACGAGUUGGGCUCGGGCAUAAAAAUUCAAGGCCCGAGUCAUUUACUAAUUUUCUAAUAUAUUAUAUUAUGUUAUUUUUAAAAUUAUAUAAUUUAUAUCAAAAAAUAAAUCUAUAGUAAUACAUAUGAUACUAUAAUGUAAACAUUAAAAAAUGUUAAGAUGUCUAUAUAAAAUGUUAAGAAAUUUGGGAAAAAAUUCAAUUCAAUUAGGCUCAAAACAAUUUGUGGGUCAAUUAAUUUAACAUCUCUAUUCAAAUCGACAAUGGCGAAACCUAAUAGAGGCUCAGGGGGCCAUGGCACCCCCAAGGAUUAAAAUUUUUUCAAUUUAGCCCUUUGUAGAUAUACUAUGGCCCUCCCAAACAUAUAAGUAGCACCCCAAGGUUUAAGAUUUUUGUAAUUUUCCAAAAAUAUUGCUUCUUUUGGAUCGAUUAUCACGUUGGAAUAGUGCUUCUUUUGAGUCAAUUCUUUAUAUGUUUAAAUCGAUUGUCAAGUUGGAACACUACUUCUUUUGAAUCGAUUGUGUAUAUGAUUAAAUUGAUUGUUAUGUUGGAAUACUGCUUCUUUUUAAUUGAUUGUGUAUAUGAUUAAAUCGAUUAUUAUGUUGGAAUAUUACUUCUUUUGAAUCGAUUGCUUAUAUGUUUAAAUCGAUUGUUACAUAACACAUCUAAUUAAUUUGUUCUUUGCUUCUUUGAUUGUUGCGUAGCAUUUCCUUUUAUUCUCUACUUCUUUGAUUGCCUAAAAUGAUAAGGGACCAAAUGAAUAUCAGCAAAGAAUUUAUGUUGGAGUUUGAAUCGAUUCUUCGCUUAUUUCAAUUGAUUGUUUGUUGUUUUGAAUUAAUUCAUUAUUGUUUAAAUUGAUUCAAACUCCUACAUAAAUUCACUGCUGAUAUUCAUUUGGUCCCUUAUCAAUAUUGACUUACACAGGUGUAUGUAAGUUCUUUUUCCCUCAAACCUCCUGCUGUACUUGUGAAGCAAGCAAAGGUAUAUUUACGGUUGUUCUUACUCUAGAAGAGAAAUGAUUCCUCAUACUUUAUACAGUGUAUUUACAUAUUUGCCCUCAACCGAAUAUUGAGGGAAUCUCCCUUUACUUUUGACACGGUCAAUAGAAAGUUUAAGGGAAAAGAACUAAUUUACACCGGUGUAUAUAAGUAUUGAUAACUCAUUGAUACCAAAUGUUUAGAUUAAAUCGAGAAAUCAUUAUAUAGUAUUUUCCUAUACUAUGUGUUAUGUUUAUUAAUAAAACAUAUUUUUAAUUUAAAUGAUAUACUAAAAACUGCUCAUCUACACAAUCAUUGAUAUGUUGAUUUAGGAUCCAAACUUGAAUCAUAUAUUCUUACGUAGUGAAACUAAAAAGGGCCUCGUCGCCAUUCUCCAUCUAUUCCUAUAUAUUCAUCUGUUCGAAAGGAACUGAACUUAACAAAACACCAUGAAAGCAUAAUCGAUAUUUUUUUCACUUUUAAGAAAUAUAAGUUGUUAAUAAUAUCAAACCCAAUAAUACAAUAUAUCAACAAUCAAAUCAAAUCAACAACCAUACCACAAGCAAAAAGAUAAAAUCAAUUCAUUAGGAAGGGUCUUCCACCUCAUUAUCUGCAUGAUUUUCAUACGAAUCCAGUUGUAAAGUAAUGGUGUUUAACACUUUGAAUCGAUUCAUUAUUGUUUGAAUCGAUUCAAACUCCAACAUAAAUUGGUUCUAAAUUUACUUAUCUAUCAUCACUAUUUUUGCAUGUUUUCGGUAAAAGGUAAAUUUUUCUUUUGAUAAGUUGGGAUGGUACACUUAUGGUUUGACCUAUUUAGCUAUUUAGUUCUUUACACAUAAACUUUUUAAUAACCUAGACUUAGUGGGUAAGAAAUUUUUAGGAAUUAUGAGUUUGCUUGACUGCCUACCUUAUAUCGUCUUUCAAAUAAAAAAACAAAAAAAAAAUAAUGCGCCUCUGAUAUGAAUGUUAAGAGUGAAAAAUUGGGGUUAUACAUCGGGCUGAGUAACCGGAACAUGGUGCUUGGGUUGUCAUCAUAUCUCGCGUAAAAAGGUUUGUGUGGCUGUCUAAUUUCUUUGCACUCACUCCGCUAACAAGGUAUCACGACUAGGGUGAAAUAACCCGCUUAGAGACGUCUGAAUUGAGUAACCGGAACAUGGUGCUUGGGUUGUCAUCAUGUCUCGCGUCAAAAAAUUCGAAAAUGUCCUAAGUACAAAAUAAUAAAAUAAAGGGUAAGUCUAUCAAGCUCUAAUAAAUUCCAAUAUAUAUUUACUUACUUCUUAGGCUAGGUUAUUUGAGAUGUUAAUGUGCUAGGAUUAAAUUGUUGAAUUGUACAAACCAUGAGGGCCAAGUCCUAUUUUGGAGGAAAUUUUUUCCCUUUUGCAGAUACAUGCAUAAUGCUCGAGGAGUAGCAUAAGCUAAGUAGAGGGGAUUUGAUUAAAUGCUAAAGUUACAUAUUUUAUGUAAUUAAAUUGGUUAAUUUAUGAAAGUGCACCACUAAUUUUUCCAUGUUUUUAUUGAAUUUUGUGCAAGGGUGCAAUUUAGGGCUAAAUAGAAGAAAAAGAAAACAAUUGGGCUAGAUUGAAGAAAGAAGCAAAGAAUGAGGGGCCAAAGUAGAAUUUUUCCAAGAAUAAUUAGCUGAAAUUUUUAUUGACUUAGUGGGAGAUUAUUUUGAGAUUUUUGUUAUAUCAUGGAAUAUUUUUCCUUGAUUUUCUAUACUAGUUUGCUCUGAAUUUAGCAAAGCGACUAGUAUAAAUAGUGGUCUAUUUUGUUCAUUUUAAUCAUCAAUUGAAAUAUCAAGCUUUCAUCUUUCAAUACUUUCUCUCCUUCCUAUUCACGAAUUUAUUUGCUGCCUUUAGUUUCUUUUCCUUCAAUUUAUUAAUUCCUAGUAACCACCAACUUAAGCCAUUUGCAAUUCCUUUUUCAAAUUCCCUUUUCAUUUCCAGUAGUCAACCACCCCACUUUAAUAAAUUACUAAAUUUCCAGCCCCCAUACUUAAUCACGCCACCAAUCCUUUUCACCCAAUUUUACCUUAUAUAAUUUAUCCAAUACCAACAUGCCCCAAACCUUAGUUAACUAAAUUCAUUUUCAGCUUUAGGUUGGAAUUAGCCUCAUCAAAACUCGUGAGUUACGAACCCGAGCUAUUUAACUCCUAAAUUCCAGUACUUAUUAUUUCUCUGGAUUAAGAGUAUGAUUUUGUCAACUCACAAAGUCAGAUCAACAUUAAGUCAAAAAAGACGUCGUUUGAUUUAGUGUGGUUAGACGUAUAGUUGAAAUUUUGAAAUGAUCGAUUGUCUAAUCGGUUUUCCGUGAACAUAUUGGCGUGCCAAGUAGAGAUUGUUGUUUGGUUCCGUCAAAGGAAGUAGUAACUGGAUUUAAAUAUCCCACGGGUUGAGGGUAUUGGUUCGAGCUAGGCUCUUCUAGAACGCAAAGCUGCCGGAGUUCUAAAUCACUAACGUUUCGUUGGUUGUUCGAUCGAUAAGGGUUAGUUAUUGGACGUUCCAUAACUAAUUUACACAAGGAAGAGUUGGUGUCUGAGGCGUCCCUGAUAGCUAUAACUAGCUUAUUGGUAAAAGGAGUUCAUCUAAUUUCGAGGAUCGAUUCAAAAACGAGGAAAAAUUCGUGCCUAAAGCUGAGCUUAUUUUAAUUAAUUUUUCUUCAGAUUUAUUUAAUUUAUUUUAUUUUAUUUUCAGCUUUUACUUUUUACGCAUUUUGUUUAUUUAUUUCAGGUUCCUGGUUUUCGAUUUUAUCCUCCCCCUAACUUCUUGGGCACGACAACUGCCCCGACAUAAAUCUGGUCAAGAGAGCAACAAUUUGCAGUAAACCCAGUCUCUGAGGGAUCUACCCUACUCCCUGUACUGCUUAAAUUUGCAAAAUUAGGUGUAGGUUUAUAUUGGUGGAUUCGACACCCAUCAGGGCAAACGAUGUACUCAAUUCUGUAAGAUGAUCCUUAAUUUGACAGGUAUUUGUAAGUGCAAUUGAAGCUAAAUGUCGAAAUAGAAGUUGACAUCUGAUAUUGAGCUCGAUUGGAUAGAUUCAUUGUUUGAGAUUGUGGUUGGCAGGAAAUGUUGAAUUUUUAUUUGUUUAUUAAUGUUGUUAGUGAAAUUUUGGUAAGAUUUUAUUAUGAGCCUAUGAACUUACUAAGCUUUCUGUAAGCUUACUUGUGUGUGUUUAUUGUUUCUUGUAGAUUGAUAUAUAUAUGUUCAGAGGAUCGGAUCUACAUCAACGAUCACACUAUCCCGAUUUACUCCGGUAGAUUUUGUUAAACAACUUUUUGAUUUAUAUGGCAUGUAUUGGGAGUUGGUCAGUUUGUGUGUAUUUUUAUGAUAUGGCUAAGAAGUAGCAAGUAAAUAUUCGAUAAUGAUUAACUAUUGAAUUGGCUAUAUAAGAAUGUGUUUUGGUAUUGUGUAUGCUUAAAUGAUAGUUAAAGCAAAGAAAUUAUAAAAGAGUAAAAAUUAUAAAGAAAUUAUAAAAGAAAUUGAGUGUAUUUUCAAUAGAAACAAACGAGAAUGUUAUCCGAAUUCUGUACAAUGAGAUAAUUAAUUUUUAGUGAAUAGGGGUCAGAGUUGUCAAAUAGUGAAACAGAGGAGAGUUUAAAGAAUAAACUGUACUAAUUGGCUAAACCAAAAAUUCUGAAAAUUUUAUGGUAAGAAGAUAUAUGAGUCUAGUUUCAGGGAAAAUUUACGGAUCUAAAUUUUGAGUUUCGUAACUUGAGUUAUAAUUAAUUAGUGACUGUUGCGCAGGUGGACAGUUUUAUUGUGAAUUUGUUUUAGUAUUUGAAAAGUAAUUAAUGUUCCCGGUUUGGACUUGAACUGUUUCUAUUGCAUGAUUUAGGGUCUCGAGAUUCUUUUUUAGGGACAUAUUGAAUGAACGUGAGUGAAUUAAUUUUUAAAAGCAAAUUUUUAUGCUCUAAACUAGUAAGUUAAGUUAGGUAAUGCCUCGUGCUCGACUCCGGUAACGGUCUCGGGUAAGGGGUGUUACACUAUGUAUGUAUUAUAUUUGAUAAUUCUUUAAUACCUUAAGGGUCAAGAUCGUAUCACCAGCUCAGAUACCCUAAGGUACAAGCAUAUUCUGGUGUGGUUGGUGAGGUCGAUGCAUUUAUGCUCGAUUAGCACUUCAGUACGUCUACUUCUUUUUCCUCCUCUUCUCCAUCAUGAAAUCAAUUUAAUUUUUCAGAAAAUUUUUGGAUCAAUUUUUGGAUUCCAAUCGAUAUCAUCAAUAUACAUAUCAGCUGCAUAACUUGGCAACUUAUCCUUGUAAGGAAAAUCAUGAUAAUUUUCCCAGAACCUCUGUUUAGGUUCCUAAAAAGCUUUUAAAUUAGUCGAAUCAUCUCAUUCGAAUACUUUAUAAGCUUUAUACAAAGUAUUCUUCGCAUCAAUAAAUAUUUUCCAUGACAUUGCACCCACUUUCAUGCAAAAAUUUUAAAACGAAUAAAUCAAUUAAGAUUUUAAUUAUUAAACCCAUUAGACCAUAAGCUAUUUACAAACCCAAACCCAAAGUAAAACAUUAAAUCCAAAUUCCCAUUAAAACUCGUUAUUCUUACAAAAUUAUAGCCUAUUAAAACUUUAAAAUCCAAUACCUUUUCUAAGUCAUGCUAUUCCAUAAGUGCAGAGGUAACCCAUGAACUUCAAGCCAAGUUGCCCUCCGCUCAGGAAGGAAAUCAACUAACCUACAUCAUCUGAUUAAAAACACAAUAACUCCACAACAUCUGAUUGAAAGCACAAGUUAAUUGGAUUACCAAUAAUCAAUAUCAAUAACUUACAUAAAAGAAUAGAGAUUAAAUAUAAGAUGAAAUCAACCAAGCCAAGCUGGCAAUGUCUAAGCCAAAAUAUUCAUUUACCUCAUUUCAAUCCUACAAUAGUCAAGAUUUGACUAAACUUUGCAACCUAUACAAGUCUUUUUGGGAUUUUGACAAAAUAUAAAUAAAAGCCCCAAGAAGAUACUUAAAACAUUCACUCAUCCAUGGCAACUGACUGAAAGAAUUGGGGUUGUCAUCUAGGUCAUAAUCAAAUACAAGGUCAAUACCGAAUUCUAGCACAGAUAAAUCUGAAAGAACCCGAAGAGUAAUACGAUCACCUGCUUCUAGUUCACCACCCCUAAAGUCCCAACAAGUAAACCAGUAUAAGGUAUUCUUGGUUCCAAGAAUUCCUGUGAAAUGUUUGGAGUAGGUCCACUUUGUACCUUUGGUCUCGUUCACAAUUUCAAGGAAUGGUAAAAAUUCAUUUGUAUUAUCAUUCUUGGCAGAAAAAAUGAUAAUCGAAUUUAAGAAGCAACUAAUCUUUCGACUAAAGUUUGGGGGCACUGAUAAUGAAACCUCAGUCUUGCCAGCUUGAUUGCCAAAGUAGUGGCCAUAGUAAUCAAAUGGCAUUGGAUCAAAUGCUGUAAUUAUGCCAUAAUCGUAUAGUACCUGUAGCAUUGGAUUAAGGAAUUAGUUAUUAAAAAUAUAUAGUAUAUAAAUAAAUUUUGAAACUUGGAACUCGUAAGGAACCUUUGGGGAAGAAACCACUUUUGAUUCUUCUAUAUAACUGCAAAGUUGCACUUUAACAUUUCCAUAAGAUUCCAAACUGAGUAAGUUUUUAGUUAGGUCCAUCUUGAUAUUUCUUGGGGCAACCUCAUCUCCUAAAAUGUGUACAAUAAUGUGUUAUUUAUCAAUUUUAAUGAUCAUCAACAUAAUAUGCCUAUUAUAAUACCAAAGUAUUGGUUUUGACAUGAAAAAAAACGUUGAUUAAAGUUUUUAUCAGACACCCAUAUAAUACGGGUUCAAACUGUGUAUGAAAAAAAAUAUCAAACAACUAAUUUUAUGCAUUAUGACUAAAAUAUGUUAUAAGACUUGUUAGAAAUAACCAAUUAUACACUUUUUUGAAAAAAAAUCAAUUAUAUCUGUAUCUUUUAUUUUUAUAUAAAAUAUCAACUUUAAAAAUACCACUUUUAACUUCAUCCAUUAUUUUAGUUUCCACUUAGGUGAUAGAUUAAUCAUCUAUCAAACAAUUAUUUAUUUUGAUUAGACCUCAAUUGCAACAUAAUUUUAUAAUUAUUAUUUUAUUAUUAAGCUAAAUUUUUCUCAGAAUCUAUUAAAUGAUCAGAUUUCUUAAGUAAUAUUUUUAUUGUAUUGGAAAGUCUUUUAGAGAAACAUAUAUCAAUUUUUGAAUUUUUUUAUUGACAUCUAAAAGGAAACAUAUGUUCAAACAAUCUAAAGGGGGCAUUAAAAUAAAUAUAAUAGGAUGUAUUAACUAAAAUACAAUCUUACCAUUGAAAACACAAUUAGAUAUUCAUAUAAUUCAUUGUUUCAAUAAGGAUUUAUCUUUUUAGCCAUGUGUUUUACUCAUUAAUGUUAAUAGUGCAUUGGGUAAUAUGCCAUAAACAUAAUUAUUUGAAAUCUACUCAUACCUGGAGAUAAAUAUGAAAAACCAUAUUCAUAUCUAAUGUUGUGUUCGGAUUCAUAAGUAACGCCAAAUUUUCUUAUGCGGAGAUGAAUAGGCACUAUCAUGCAACUCACAAGGUCACCACCUUCAAACUGACAAUCCGUUACUGGCCAAUGGAUCAACCACAACAUUGUGUUAUCGUUAGUCUUAGGAAUUCCAAUGAAACUGGAGCAAUAUCUCCCCGUGGUCCUUUUGGUCUCAUUGAAAAUGUAGACACUUGGUGGAAGGUCCAAUAUUUGAUCACUAUCUAAAGAAAAAACAAUGCAUAAGCUGAACCAACGAAUCUUUUCAUCUGGAUGAGAUGGUGUUGGCAAAAGAAAAGAGAUUCGAUGCUCGUUAGUGCGAUGCUUAUACCCAAUCGGAACUUCACUUCCUAAAAUUAAUGUGCUUGUUAUACCACAUUCCUGCAAGACCUGAUAGAAAAGAAAACUGUUAGAUGAUUACGAAUGUGUUGAUUAAGUAAUAUAAGACAAAAAGAAAAAGAUUUAAAAUUUAAGUUGGAGAACUAUUGGACCUGUGGGGUAGCAAGCAUUAUGUUGUCCGUUAGGCAAUUAUAAAGUUGCACUCGAUUUUUGUUGACGGAAUUCACGUUGAAUAAUCUUCUAAUCUCUUCCGCAUCAAAGUUUUCAAUUGGCUCCAACUUGAAUAUAUCUUGAACCUCGGUCAAUUUUUCACAUCCAAAAAUAACACAUCGUUUGGAAGAAAAGAAGCAUGGAAGAAUUGACCUAAAGCUUUUUACUGCAGAUACUGUCGAGAACCCAGAAACAUUGGGCAAGAAUGGAAGCUUUGGAAUCAUCUGGAGUUCAGUGCAAGAAGUCAGUACAAGUUCAUCAAGUUUUGUAAGUUCUUUUAAGCUUUCGGCUAAGUAAUGAAUUGGGUUUCUACUUAAAUUUAAGGAUUUCAAGGAGGCCAAGUUACAAAGAUCAUUGGGAAUGACAUCAUCAGAUAGUUUGCAACUUUCAAGGCUUAACUUUACCAAAGAGCCCGGUAGAGAUGCCCAAGAGAAACCCAAUCCUUUGCUUCUUUUCAGUAAGAGCCACUGCAACCCCAAUCUUGAUUGAUAUAUGGCAGUUUCAUCUAAAUUAAGCACCUUCAAUGAUUCCAUAUUAUGCAACUCCCUAGGAACAUCAUCAAGUCUUGAACAACCAGAUAAGAUAAGCUCUUCAAGUGAUAUUAAUGAACCAAUUGUCCUUGGAAGUUUCCUAAGACUUGUGCAAUCUUUAAGGUUCAAGAAAGUAAGCAUCUUUAGCUCACCAAUGGAUUGAUCAACUUCCACCAAAUUUAUGCAAUCUUUGAGCAUCAACUUCUCAAGGCUAGGGAGUCCUGAAAAGCUUGGGGUUUUAAGAAGGCUAUGUGAAUGGUUGAGAUUAAGGAUCUUUAAAUUUGGGAGGCACUGCACAAAAAGAAAACCCUUCAUUUAUAUUUUAUUGUUUCACACACACACAAAAAGAAGGAAAAUUAGUAUAUAUCAUACCUCUGUAUCCUUCCAAACUUGUUUAAGUUUACUGUUGCGCAUGUCGAGAACAACUAGUUCAUUGAUAUCAAAAUCCACCGGAAAAGAUUGCAUCCAAAACCCAUGCCAACGUAACCAUCUUAAUCUUUUGGGAAAGUCUUUGAAGUCUCCUUUAAGUCUUACAUAAUCCAGUUGAAGCAGUUUAAGUCUCUUCAUCUUUGCAAAUGCUUGAGUUUCCAUAUCAACAUCAUUUGCCAUCAGAAACUGACUUUUGGAAUGCUUUGGAAAAUGUAGAGUUGUAUUUGUCCUUUUAGCCUUGUCUUCUAGCAAUCCUUUUAGGUUAAUUGUGAGGCACUUAACUGUUCUGGAACCCUGCAUCAGAAAAACUUUUUUAAAAAAUAAAAAGAAAUUUGAUAAUAAUAAUAAAAAAGGUAGUUUACAUGCACACAAGAAAAAAGUUGAGUAAAAUGAUGUUUCUUACAAUUUUUUCUCUUAUUACAUCAAACGAGUUCUUAUGCCACAAUCUGCUUCGUUUCCCAAUAUCAGAAGAUUCUUGACGAAUAAUUUCUUGUCCCAUAUCUCUAAUCAUUUGGUGCAUCAUUAGCUUGUUUCUUUCAUUAAUGAUUAAGAGAGACCUGCCCACUAGAUUUUCAAUUCCAAUUGUUGUAUAGUAAUCACAACCAUCUAGAAUUGUAGUCGUGUAAUCUCUAUCCUUCCCAAUGAAUAAACAAACUAUGUCAAGGAAUAAAUUUUUGUCAUGAUCGUCUUCCAAAGAAUCAUAGCUUAUUCUUAGAAUCUUUUGAAUUUUGCUGUCAGGGAUUUCUUCCAAUUUCUCCAAUGCACUUUUCCAAGAACUCACACUUUUGGUAGAUAAUGAAGAGCCCAAAACUUGAAGAGCUAACGGAAGCCCACCACAGUGUUUCACUAAACUUCUUUCAUAUGCCACUGAACUUUCAGGCACAGAGUUAUGACCAAAAGCAUACCAAUUAAAAAGUUGUAGCGAUUCACUUGAAGCUAAUUCUUUUACUUCAAAUAGUUUGCUUAAGCCUCCACAGCUAGUUGAUGCUUCCGAAUCAAACAUUUGGCUUAUAAAAUGUGCAUUCAAUAGGCAUCGGUUUCUACUAGUUAUAACGAUUUUACUUCCCGGAUGAAAAGGAAUUUGAGUUCCCAUUAAUUUUCUUAUUUUUUCCAAUUCAUCAACAUCAUCAAGAACGAGAAGAACUCUUCUACAACAUACAACUUCUUUGAUCUUGUUAAUUCCAUUAUCUAUAUUGUAUAUUUUAUGUGAUUUUCCUUUAAGAAUAUCUGAAAUAAGUUGCCUUUGCAAACGGACUAAACCAUUGCAAUCUUGACUUGUUUCUCUAACAUCAGCAAGGAAACUAUAACCUUCAAACCUCAGGAUGUUUUGAUUGUAAACAACUUUGGCAAUGGUUGUCUUCCCAAUGCCUCCAAUGCCACAAAUAGUUGCAAUGCCAACUUUAUUUGCCCCAUCUUGUUCUAACCAUUGAUUAAUUUGUGUCACGAGAGAAUCUAUUCCAACUAAAUAAGGAGGGACAUACAAAGAAAUAAGAUGAAGUUUAUUUUGAACUUCUUUAACAAUAUCUUGGAUGAAUUGUGAUUCAUGCCUGCAAAUUUAAAAAAUACAACUCAAUAGUAAAAUCUUGGAAAUUAAGUAAAAGUUACUAAUGUAUUUUCUCUUUUCUUGCAUAUAUUUUGAUUGUUUUUAUGAGAUUAUAUGUUCAAGUAAAAAUAAGAAACUAAUGCAACAUUUCAACAUAUAUGAUAGAAUUAUUACAUUCAAAAUCAAAUCAAAUCAAAUAAAGCAACAUAAAAAUUAAUGAAAUUCAUUCAAGAAACAACCUAUACUCAAAAUUUCAACUUUCUCUUUGUGAAAGUUUAAUAAAUUCAUGUUAUUUACAUGAAUUUAUAUAUUUAUUUUUAUUUAUUGUAAUAUUUUAAAUAUGUGUAGACCUAUUACACGAAUAACUUGGAUAUAAUUAUUGCAAAUAUACUACCGCAAAAUAGAAUUGUUAAGGAGACCAAACUGAAUGUAAAUAAAAUAAGAAUCAUUGUGUCGUGGAAGAACCACUGCAAUAUUAGAGGCAAAUUCGCCCUGAUCAGUGUAAUCGUAUAGUGGAUGUUACCCCCCAACACAAUACUCCAAUAUUCGUAAACCCAAUAAAGAAGAUGGAACACGAUUGACAAUACUCCAAACAGUCCUGCUUAAAACCUAAUCUUUUAGACAGAAUUUCUCUCUCGUGUAAUUUUGUAGAACACUAGAAUUUAGAGAACAUAGAGAAGUUGUUUUUCUCUUGUUGUGUUAGGUGGGAGAAUGACCUCCUAUUUAUACUAUUUUUUGAUGAGCAAAAUGGUAAAAUAACAGAUUUAGUUUCCAAAAAUACCAAAGGAUUUUCCUAACUGAAAAUAUUCUAAAAAUAUUUUCUGCAACAGUCAGAGGAUUUUCUGCAAUUCAAAAUAUUCUUUUGCAUUACCAACAAUGACAUCUUAGAAAACCACAAAUAGUGUCAUUAAAUUAAAGAGGCUAUUUCUUUUUAUUUUUAACUCGUCAAAUCCAAGUUGUUCAUGUGAUAGGAGCAAACGUAUUUAAAAUUUGAUCUAUGUGUUUUAAAAACAUUCCACAUCAGAUUCGAGCAUGCUUAAGCUGAUGACUUGUUUGAUAGAAAGACCUUAUUGAUACAAAACUAAUAUUUUAAUGACUCAAUUAAAACAUGUUAAUGUUUGAGAAAUAAUUUAAAAUCUGAGUUAUAAUUAACCCUUUAAAAUGGAUUAAAGUAACCAUUUUAAUUUCCAAACGCUACCUAACAAUAUUUUCUAUUAAUUUUCUUUCUACUCUAUCUAUCAAGUCUUAAUGAAAAAGAUUGAAGUAACCAUAUGGAACUUGAUUAUGUGUAUAACGUACCUGUCGUGUAGAACCAUGCCUCCUAUAUCCGCAACUUCUUUUAAAGCAUUCCUCCAUCUUUGUACCAUGUUGGUUUCGGACUUGAAGUUUUGUUCAUGUUGGGUAAAUGCUUCUGCAUAACUUCCCGUCUGGUUCUUGACUUGACUGGGAUCCACAUCAUAGAAAACUGGCAACACACUAUGUUUAGAGGAUUUCUUGUGCUCCAAUAUCAUUACAAGUUCGUUAAGACACCAUGUGGAUGCAGCAUAAUUCUUUGAGAAAACAACGAUAGAAAUUUUGGAGUGGUGUAGUAUUGCUUUUUCAAUUUCAUCUUUUAUGUUAUUCCCUCUCUCGAUUUCCUCAUCAUCUCUAAAUGUUUGAAUUCCUAAGUGCACCAAAGCUGUGUAAAGAUGAUCCGUGAAACUUUUACGCGUAUCUUCACCUCUAAAACUCAAGAAUACAUGAUAACUACAUCGCGAGAUUUCUGACACUGUCAUUGAAGAAGAAAAUGAAGUUGUCCUGUAUUUUUAUGUAAUAACAAGGUUCCAGCAUAUAUAUAUAUAUAUAUACAUAUACGGAUGGAAAAGCAGAUAUUAGUAGCUGUCAAGUGGCAGUUCAUGGUGGGUCAAUCCUUCCACCGAAGAAAUUCAUGUCGACCAUGUUCCAAUCGCUUUUCAUUUCGGAGUCAUGCUUACGGUCCAUUUGGUGCUCAACAUUUUUAUUAAAAAUAUUAUUUGAAUAGAGUUUUUCAACAGAGGUAAAAGUUGUACACUAUAAAAAAUAUAUAUUAUCAGACCUUAAACAAUGAUUUGUCGGCCUUAAAUUAGCAAUUAAAGAGGAUGGGAUAAGGGUAAGGUUGAGUAAUUGAUCCAAAAUUUCAUGCUGAGGGCAACUAGCACAAAAUUGUUUAAAUAUUUUCCAAUACUCAUUAAGGAUCUUCAUAUCCUUUUUGUGGUAUGCCAUAGAUUUCUUUCCUAAUUGAAGCACCAAGUGAAGAAAAAGAAAAUUCAACGAAUAUUCUUACCAUAUCUAUUUCAAAAUUUUAAUAUAAUUAAUGAAAAACAAUUUAUAUAUAUGAAUCAUCAAAUUUGACGUGCUUAGAGAAUCUCAUGUGAUAGCUUGAUGAUUAAGGUUGUUCAUCACCCUAAAUGUGGCCUAGAUUUGAAUCGCGCUACUUACAUUUGUUAUUCGAGCAUUACUUAUUAUUGUAAUUCAAAAAAAAUUUAACGUGCUUAAAUAAAUAUUGAAUUUUGUCACAUUUAAUAUAGAGGACAUGAGAGGAGGAGAAUAAUUCCCAAGUACUUGGUGUGGAAAAUAGUGGUACUAGAAAACGCGUUUCAAUUACUUUUCAUUUUGGAGUUUCCAAGACUUGAGACCAUUAGCAAUUAAAGAGGGGCUUCAACAAAAUUCUGGCCCCAACUGUUUCACCUAACAUAAUAAAUUCGUGGGCUAACCAAUUUCAGUGCAAUAAAAGCAGUGAAGAGGAUGGGAUAAGGUUAAGGUUUAAAUUGUUGGUAAUGCAAAGUGGAAUCCCUCGUUACAGCCUUCAAAUUUUUUGGUUCACAAUAUUUUAGGAAGAACUCGAUUCAAAUAAUAUUUUUCGUAAUUAUUUUUCUCAAUAAUAUUAUCUUUAAAAUUUAGAUCUAUAUUUUUCUUAAAAGUAUAAUAUGUUUUACCAUUAUAUUUAACACUUACUAAUUAUUCAAAUAAUAAUAUUAACAAAAAGGUUGAGCACCAAAUGGUUGAUAAGUACUAACAAGCUCAUGGUCUAAAGUCUAGAUCGAGUAGCACUAUUAUCCAAAACAUAGUGAAACAAAUUAAUUCUGUCUCCGACGUUUGUUAUAGAGAACUCUACAACCUAGUGCUACUAAUUAUCAAUUUUAUUGUUGUGACUCCAUAACUAAAAUUUAGCUGACCCCUUCAUUCAAGAGUGUAAUUAUUCGAAUAGGAUCAUGUCUCUUUAUGCUGGAACACUAAUUCAUUUUAUUACAUGAAUUUGUUCAUAAAAAUUCUCUUAAAAUAUCAAACAAAUAUCAGUUGGGUGUUCUGAUUUAAAUAUUUAGUUUUUAAGAGAAUAUAUUCUUACCUCAUUAUGCCUUCUCGAAGAUUUAUGUCAAAUCCAAACUGAUGUGAGUUGGUAGCCAUAUAUUUUUAUUUUUAAGGAUUUUAGUCCCUCUAUUUUUUUGAGAUUUCAAAACUCAAAUCCAAUUGUUAACACUGUUAAUUUUUUUUGUUAAAUUCAAGUUAAUUACAACAUCAUUUUUGUAAUUACGUGGUUACCAAAUAAGUUUUUUUUUAAUUUCAAAAUGCCACCCUAACACAUUUAACAAAAAAAUUUAAAAUGUUAACCAUCGGAAAGUAAAGAGACUAAAUUUCUGGAAAUAAAAGUACGUAUUCUAAACUCCAAAAUUUUUAAAAGUACAAUAACUUAUGGCAUAUUUUAACCUUUUAACUUCUGGGUCGAGCUACUCAUCCAAUCCCCGCUCGAGAUUUGGGAGGAUUUAGACAAAAUUAUCAAGCUCAAAAAAUGGACUUGGACAAAAAGUUAGUCCAAUUUAAAAUACGAGUCGGGCUCGGGCAUAAAAAUUCAAGGCCUGAGCCAUUUACUAAUUUUCUAAUAUAUUAUAUUAUGUUAUUUUUAUAAAUUAUAUAAUUUAUUUCAAAAAAUAAAUCUAUAGUAAUACAUAUGAUACUAUAAUGUAAACAUUAAAAAAUGUUAAGAUGUCUAUAUAAAAUGUUAAGAAAUUUGGGAAAAAAAUUCAAUUCAAUCAGGCUCAAAACAAUUUGUGGGUCAAUUAAUUUAACAUCUCUAUUCAAAUCGACAAUGGCGAAACCUAAUAGAGGCCCAGGGGGCCAUGGCACCCCCAAGGAUUAAAAUUUUUGCAAUUUAGCUCUUUGUAGAUAUACUAUGGCCCUCCCAAACAUAUAAGUAGCCCCCAAGGUUUAAGAUUUUUGCAAUUUUCCAAAAAUAUUGUUUCUUUUGGAUCUAUUAUCAUGUUGGAAUAGUGCUUCUUUUGAGUCAAUUCUUUACAUGUUUAAAUCGAUUGUCAAGUUGGAACACUACGUCUUUUGAAUAAAUUGUGUAUAUGAUUAAAUUGAUUGUUAUGUUGGAAUACUGCUUCUUUUUAAUUGAUUGUGUAUAUGAUUAAAUCGAUUAUUAUGUUGGAAUAUUACUUCUUUUGAAUCGAUUAUUUAUAUGUUUAAAUCGAUUGUUACAUAACACAUCUAAUUAAUUUGUUCUUUGCUUCUUUGAUUGUUGCGUAGCAUUUCCUUUUAUUCUUUAUUUCUUUAAUUGUUGGUUGUUUUAAAUCGCUUCUUUUCCUAAAAUGAUAAGGGACCAAAUGAAUAUCAGCAAAGAAUUUAUGUUGGAGUUUGAAUCGAUUCUUCGCUUAUUUCAAUUGAUUGUUUGUUGUUUUGAAUUAAUUCAUUAUUGUUUAAAUUGAUUCAAACUCUUACAUAAAUUCACUGUUGAUAUUCAUUUGGUCCCUUAUCAAUAUUGACUUACACAGGUGUAUGUAAGUUCUUUUUCCCUCAAACCUCCUGUUGUACGUGUGAAGCAAGAAAAGGUAUAUUUACGGUUGUUCUUACUCUAGAAGAGAAAUGAUUCCUCAUACUUUAUACAGUGUAUUUACAUAUUUGCCCUCAACCGAAUAUUGAGGGAAUCUCCCUUCACGUUUGACACGUUCGAUAGAAAGUUUAAGGGAAAACAACUAAUUUACACCGGUGUAUAUAAGUAUUGAUAACUCAUUGAUACCAAAUGUUUAGAUCAAAUCGAGAAAUCAUUAUAUAUUAUUUUCCUAUACUAUGUGUUAUGUUUAUUAAUAAAACAUGUUUUUAAUUUAAAUGAUAUACUAAAAACUGCUCAUCCACACAAUCAUUGAUAUGUUGAUUUAGGAUCCAAACUUGAAUCAUAUAUUCUUACGUAGUGAAACUAAAAAGGGCCUCGUCGCCAUUCUCCAUCUAUUCCUAUAUAUUCAUCUGUUCGGAAGAAACCGAACUUAACAAAACACCAUGAAAGCAUAAUCGAUAUUUUUUCACUUUUAAGAAAUAUAAGUUGUUAAUAAUAUCAAACCCAAUAAUACAGUAUAUCAACAAUCAAACCAAAUCAACGACCAUAACACAACCAAAAAAAAUAAAAUCAAUUCAUUAGGAAGGGUCUUCCACCUCAUUAUCUGCAUGAUUUUCAUAUGAAUCCAGUUGCAAAGUAACGGUGUUUAACACUUUGAAUCGGUUCAUUAUUGUUUGAACCGAUUCAAACUCCAGCAUAAAUUUAUUGUUUAUAUUCAUUUGGUCCUUUAUCAAUACUUGCACAACAUUUGUCCCUUAUCAAUACUUGCAAAAAAAUAACUUGUGAGUACUGCUUUUUUCGAAUAGAUUGUUUAUAUGUUUAAAUUGAUUGUCAUGUUGGAAUAUUGCUUCUUUUGAAUCGAUUGUUUAUAUGUUUAAAUCGAUUGUUAUGUUGGAAUACUGUUGCUUUUGAAUCAACUGAUUAUAUGUUCAAAUUGAUUGUUAUGUUGGAAUACUGCUUCUUUUGAAUCGAUUGUUUAUAUGCUUAGAUCAAUUGUUACGUAGCACGUCUAAUUUUAGCUUGGCCCCCAAGAUUAACAUCCUGGCUCCGCCACUACGGAUCGAUAUAUUAGUCAAUUCUUGAUUCAAUUGAUCGACUAAUCCUAUUUAAUCCGAUUUAAAUAACUAUCUCACAUAUAUACAUAUUUCUAAAAUAAUAUGUUAGUAUAAAAAUAUUUAAUCAAUUUGAGUUAUGAAAUUGUGGUCUAACAAUAGUUUUGGGUGUCUUAUAAACUCAAAAUUUUCAAAUUAUGCUGGUGUCCAUUUGUGCUUUAUGGUACAAGUUCUUUUUGGAGUUAUACCAUAUAUUAUAUAAUUUAAAAUAUUCUUAAAAAAUAGAUUGAAGUAAAUUAAGCCUAAAACUUAAAUGUUUAAGUCAAAGCUUAAUUGAUAGUUUAAAUGAGAUUAUUCUUUUUUUUUAACUCAUUUUUUUAAUUUUAUCAGACCGCCUCUAAAAAAUAAAUAAAAGAUUGUUGUUAGUCUUUUCCUAUAUAUGAGCAACAAUCUUUGGGCAGAGUAUAAAAAAUAGUUUUUGUAUUUUUUUUUUACGAAAUUAAGGUAUCUGAUUUUGCAGUAGACCUGUCCCGGGCUCGGAAAAAAUUUUCGGCCCGGCCCGACCAAAAAUAUGGGCCUAAAAUUUUGCCCAGGCCAGGCCUAGGAAAAAUAUCAUAAGCCCGAGCCCGGCCCGGCCCAUUUUUUAAUAAACAUUAAAAAAUUGUUUUAAAAAUAAAAAAAUAAAAAUAAAAAUAUUUUAAAAGUAUUUUAAAAUUAAAAAAUAAAAAUAAAAAAAUAUAUAUUUAUUAUAUUCGAGCCGGGCCCGGGCCAAAAAAGUGAUGCCCGAGGCCCGGCCCCUUUUUUAAACGGGCCUCGUUUUUUUGCCCAAGCCCAUAUUUCGGGCCUAUAUUUUUACCCGAACCCUCCCAUAAGCCCAACGGCCUGCCCGGCCCAUGGACAGGUCUAUUUUGCAGUGGUAACUAAUCUUUUCAUCGCGACUACUAUUCAAAAGAUAAUAUGUAAAAAAUAAAAUUCAAUAAAAUGGUAAUACAUAAUUUACUUGUAAUUACGGUACGUUUAGUUCGUUAGAAUGAAAUAAAAUUAUAAUAGAAUAACAUUUUUUAGGAAUGAAAUAGAAUUGUAAUUGAAUGGAAUAAAUAUGAUAAUUUGGUUGGGUAGAAUAUUUUUGUAUCUUGAUUUAAAAAAAUGAUAGUAAAAAUCAUCUAAAAAAAAGAUGAAAUUCAAAGUACAACACCAAGUCUUCAUCAAGCAGUGUACAUGUCCAAAUUACUAUAUUGAUUAAUAAUAAUAUUAAUAUUGAUUGAACUCCUUUUUUAAAUGGCUUAUGAGUAAAACUUUUUUAUUAGUUUGAAGAGUUGUGAGUUUAAUACCCUCUGAAUUAAUUCUUUAAUCAAUUUUCAAUUCAACCAAUUUAUCAGUCGAUCUAAUUCGGUUCAGACAACCCUAAUUAUAUGAAUUUCAAGCUGUUGAAGUUACAACUGAUAUUAAAAUAAAUCGGAACCUUCUCGGUCUCACCAAACUUACUCUAAACCAAGAGCAUAAAAAAUAAAAUAAAAAAAAUCCUCCUCUAAACCAUGCAGUGUCAGCAAUCAUAAGAUCUGUUAGUGAACCAUUGAGUAGAAACUAUAGAUGACAACAAGUGGGAACCCUCACCUUGUCAGAGAUCAUGAGAAGUAUUGAACUCUUAUAAUUAGAAUAAUCAAGUUCCACUGAAAAUAACGAUAUAAAAACGCAUACCAUGAACAUACAGUUCAUAAUAUUCUUUGAAGUUUUAGACUCUUGACAAUAACCAGAAAAGUCAAACACAAACACAGUACGUAUCUUCAGUUCAUAAACAUCCCAAUAAACCAUUGGGAUUCAAACACAAAACCAUCACACAAACACAUAUUGUCUGUAUCUUCAGUUCAUAAACAUCCCAAUAAACCAUUGACAUUCAAACACAACCAUCACACAAAUGCAUACUGACAAUAUCUUCAGUUCAUAAACAUCCCAAUAAACCAUUGAGACUGUAUUUCAAAGAAGCAAAUUACUCAACCCGUGGCUUUUUCUGCAACCUGGCUAGCUUCAGUUGGUUUUCUUUUAACUCAGCUUCGUCCUGAUCCAGCUUCAGUUUCUUCUCUUUUAAGUCAGCUUCGUCCUGAUCCAGCUUCAGUUUCUUCUCUUUUAAGUCAGCUUCAUCCUUCUCCAGCUUCAGUUUGUCUUUUCUAACAUUAGCUUUCCUCUUCUCAAAUCUCUUCUCCUCUGCUUGAUACUCCAUUUCACGAGCCUGCAUCAACUUAUUCAUGAUGUCUUGCACCAUUGCCUCCAUAGUUGUGAUGACUUUUAGCUCAAGUAUCUCUGGGUUACUUUCUAUUUUAUGGUAAACUUCAGCUAGUGAGUUCAUAAUGAUCCUUUGAACAUCUCCAUGACUACAUAAAAAAAUUUGUUAUCAGUAUAAGGGUGCUUUUGAAAUGUCGGUGAGCACUUGAGUUCAUAAAUAUUGUAUACCCCUGGACAGUUGACAGCUUCAUAUCGUCUUGAUUUGCUCUGACAUCACCGCUGCCUUCAGUCAGAUCAUUGUAUAUCUUGUCGUCUAGAAAACAAAGUAAUUAAAGUAGGAAACAUAAAAGAUAUUAAUAUUUACAACUGACAAGUAAAAAGCUGAGGAUUUUAUAAGAUCAUUUAUCAACUUGCAGCAAUUACCUGACAGAAGAAAGUCUUCAACAUCAAAAAACUGAAGUGACAGAAGAACCUGUAGAAAAAGAGAAUCAGAUCUGAUCCAAAAAUAAGCAAUUUGAAUUUAAAAAAUAUAUACAGGCCAAAACUUACUGGAUCAACAUUAAGCCCCUUUUCUAGUGAGUCUACUUCAUGAUAACCCUGCAAAUAAGGAGAGAAGUACACAACAUAAUGCGUCUUUUCCGACUCAGGACUUUUGUGUGUGUUUGACUAAUAUUUCUAUGAUUGCGGUUAUCUGGAUUUGAUUCCAAUUCAUUGAAAUCAUCCAUGUAUUCCUUGAAUGAACGUACAAUCUAAGAACCAUAAGAAAAAGGACAUAAAAGGAUCAUAAGACAUAAAAAUCCGAAUAUUUAAACUACAAAUAUUUCUGUCUGCUAACUAAUGUUCAGGUAGAACAAUCUGAGUUCAACAAUUGCUUACAAAGAAAGUAACAAACAUUUCUGGCCAAUAUAUAUAUGUGUAACCCAGAGAAUUAAUAAAAAGAAGUGAUAUUUUUGGUUGUAUCACCUUAUAGUUUGCAAAAGAUGAAAUAAACUGCCCGUCAAAGAAAUUAAAGGGAUGACAAGUUGUACUUAUAUGACAGUAGGAAUGGCUGAGAAGGGUUAAAAUUUUCAUUGGUUAAGAGAGAAUCUAUUAUUACAACAGAGGAUUAAACUUGAUUUUUGCAUCAUUUAUUGAAAGGAUUGAAUAGAAAACUAGUCGACAAUACAUGAUUGCCUAUUCAAGUCAUAAUUUGCUCAACAAAAAUCAAAAUUCGGGUCUAAGUGAAAAAAAAGAACAGAACAGAACAUGAGAGCCAAAAGACAAGUUAUUCUGUGUACACCUCCAGAAGACUGUGAUAUGGAAAUCAACGCCAAUUUCAAUCACCAUUGGCUAGGACUGCUGAUCUUAAACCUCGACAACAAGUAAACCUCUUUACUGUCGGGUUGGUAGAGGAACUUAGAAUUGAUAUUGAGAUGCAACAACCGGAAAACCUUGGAGUUGCAAUGAAUAUGGCUCAAACAUUGGAACGUAAACAAAAUGUCUUUUUCUAAACUGUCAUCUCCAGCUAUCCUGAACUGGCUAACUUCCCAAAACACUGGCAGCAAUUCAAUCAUUCAAACAACUAAGAGCAUUGUAAAGAAAGGGGGACAAACAACAAAACCAACAGGGAACAACGGCAAAAUAGGUUCUUCUGCACCAUUUGUUAAGAGAUUGACACAGACAGAAAUGGUGGAAAGAAUGGCUAAGGGGUUGUGUUAUAAUUGUGACGAGUCCUAUUCCAUGGGACACAAAUGUAAAAGGUUAUUUUGGAUAGAAAUACCAGAUGUUGAAGGCAAGCAAGAUGAUGAUGAGGUAGAUGAUGAGCUUGAGGACAAGCUCAACUCCAAGGAGGGGAGUAAUGAUAUGGACGUUUUUAUUACAAUAGGAGUUUUAGUUUUAUUUAUUUAUUAUAUUAAGUUUUACCAAGAGUUUUAGUUUUACUUAUUUUCUCUAUUAUAUUAGGUUUUUAUUUCCUUCAUACACUCUAAGUUAGGAAUUCUAUUAGGACUCUUUCCUUUGUUAUUAACAGUCUAUAAAAGGUUGUCAAUUGAAAUAAAGAGAUAAGCAAUUAUUCUAUAAAAAAAGAAACCUUAUUCUGAGAGUGGGUUCAAUCAAGGACGAAUCUGCCUUUUGAGUAAGCAUAGGUCGAGGCAAGAAUUCUUUCUCAUCUAGACUUAUGAUUAGAUCCUACGCUAAGGCGCAUAUCAGACUGUUUCUAAAUAAACUUCCCACAUCAACUCUAAAAAUUUAAUAAUGCAAGAACAAAUUACCAAGAAAGAAAAGUCAUGCCGCUACUACUAAGUUACAGAGUCAUGUUUUCUACAAUAAUUUUCAUGAUAAAAGUAAAAUCUAAAGCUCCAUUGAUUAAAAUACUAAUGACAAAUUGGGUGCUUCUACUCAAAAUGUUUACCUGUAGAUUGAUGUGAAUCUUAGCACCACUGGUACAAUCAGGGGUUAGAGGAAAAUGGAAUAUUAAGUGUUCAUCUUCCAUUUGCACAAGAUCUUGAAUACUAACAGGAUUUGUAAGCUUUUGGUUCUUAAAAUCUUGUAGCAUUACUAAAAAAGAAGCCAAAACUUUGUUUACUAUUUUUGCCACUAUGCUAAAGACCUUAGCCUCUGAGAUUAAUUCCUCUGUUUGGUCCACAAUAGCCUCUCCCUGCAAUGCUUUUACUGAAAUAUAAAGAAAGCAGAUAACAAAUUUUAAUUUAAAUGAUCAAAUCAAGAUUAAUAUAUUUAUAUAUGUAAAAAGAGUUAUUAAAACAUGCCUAGGAUGUCUAUCUCUGGCAUUCCUUUAGCAGUCUCCAGAACAUCAACAACAAAUGGCAUUAAUCAACAUAAAAAUCGUACCUACGAGUGAGAUUAAGUGAGGAAGGUCCUUGCAAAUCUCAUCAGCACACUCUAUGUUCCGGACUGGAUUUGUUGACUGAUUCAAAAAUGAAUCAAGCUCUUGAAAUGCAUUUUCGAUGCUAAGACUGGAACUGGCAUUAUCGACAAUCCUGGGCUGCAUCAAAUUUCUCAAUCGUUGCAGUAAGAGUUGAGGGUCAUGAAGCCGAUUCAUCCCUUCCACUACUAUCUCUUUCUUUUCUUCCCAUUUCCUCUACAUUCAAAAAAGUUACUAAAAGCAAUUAGAAACAUAAAUGAACUUGCACCCUCAGUUUUUUAGCUCAAUAUUCUUUUGAGUAAAAACAAAACCACAAUAAUCUGAUACUUGUAGUAAAAAAUUGGACACACUUCUGCUAUUUGGAAAAAAAGAGUCAGAAAUUGCAGGAUUGACAUGUUACGUUGUAGUGGGAGUCGGAUUGACAUGGAUUAGUUUGCUCUUUUUUCUUUUUUUUUUUCAAAAUACAAAUUAUAAAAAGAGAGGAAAAGUCUCACAGCAGCUCGAUAUCUGUCAUCACCAUCCAAUAGCAUACGCAUCAAUUCUCCCACCAGCUCGUUACAGUCCUGCAUAUAUAUGGAGAGUAACUAUUAUUAAACAAACCCUAAACGAUAAAGAAUUGCAAGAAAGGAAAGAAAAUGAAUAGGUACCUUGAUUCUUUUACGGCUGAGCUUAUCUUUAUCUGAUUCCAAUUCAAUGAAAUUCCCCAUAUAUUCCUUGAACGAAGUACAAUCUGAGAAUCAAGCAAAAUGAUAUAAAAAGAUCUUAGAAUAUUCUGUAAGUUCAAAUUUUGCUUUAAAAGCAAAAUAUAUUUCUAAAAAAAGCAAAGUCAAACUCAAUUCUAUCCAGUAGACCAGAGAAAAAAAUAAACGAAACUGGAUUAUAUUCCAGCAAAGAGAGAAGAGAAAUGAAGCUUAAUAUUGCUUACGAUUGCAGAGUAGAGACUUGUUAUGCCGUCGCAGAAAUCUUUUAUCACUUUUUUCUCAAAACUUUUAUUUCUGAUGCAUUCGCACGAUCGUGCGAAUUUCGCUUUUCUGAACUAUUCGAAAAAAUAUUAAAAAGAAAUUGAUUCAAUCCCAAAUUUUGAAAAAGUAGUCUAUUUUCCAUAUGUGUGUUCACAAUAAUCUGCAUUUACUGUUGAAGUUAUCAAUAAUUCUCGUUUAUCCUGUUUGAGAAAAAUUAAGUUGAUACGUUUGCAGGGGUAUUGCCAAGGGUGCGUUAGCAAAUGUCAGCUAAAAAAUUAAAUUACUCAACUUUCAAUAAAAAAAAUUCCUCUAAACUAUAAAAAGUUAUAUUUUAAUCACUAAUAUUUUUUUAGUGAAAAAUAAUAAAUAGAAAUACAAUGUAUCAACUAUUGAGCCUCUAAAGGUUUUGUCUUGUUGGAUAGCUGUAACCACUAAAUCAGAAGGUACUUCAAAUAUCUGAAGGGGGUCUGCCAAGAGAAAUUAAUCUUUGUCAAUUGAUUUGCAAUUAAAUUACACUCUCUAGGAACAUACUUAAUUUUCCAUUGACCUACAAAACGCAAAAUACGUUUAACUCUUCUAAACAAGGUAAUACUAGAGUCCAUUGACUCCUCCAUGGACAAGGCACUAACCACCUCAAGGUUAUCUGUCUAAAUCCUGACUUUCUUGUAGUCCUUAUUUAAUAAAAUGAGAAUUUCAUCAAGAAUACUCCAAAGUUCUGCCUCCAAAGGCGAACAUCUGCCUAAAUAAUGAUUAAAGCCCAAAAUCCAAUUGUCAACCUAAUCACGAACCACCCCACCCAUGGAUGCAUUUCCGGAAGCUCUAGCCAUUGCUCCAUCAGAAAAUAAAUAGAUCCAAUUGCCUUUAUAAUGGGAAUGAAUUUCCGAAUUUGGUGAACUAGGCUUGGCCUCAUUUAGAAAAGGUUCAAAUUGUUAGGCCCAAUUGAGAGAGACUUUUACAAUUUCAUAAGUCGUCCAGUUAAUGUUUUGGAAGAUGAAAAGAUUCAUGUUCUUCCAAAUUCUCCAAGUAAUUAAUCCAAAUAAGCUUGACCAAGUAAUUUCCUUAUCCUGCAUCUUAAAAUGGCAACAAAGGUUAGUGGAAAACCAAUUUUGAAGGAAUCAGAAAAAAAACCUAAUUUGUAUCUUAGGAAGGACUACAAGCUUCCAUGCUUCCUUAGCCAUCAAAUAGUCUCGGAGUACAUGCAUAAUGUCCUUAGUAUCAUGAUCACAUAAAGAGCACGCAGUGUUCUGCCCAAUUCCUCUCUUAACGCGCUUUGAAUUAGUAAGAAGCCUCUGUUUGACCACAAACCAAAGAAAAAGACGAACUCUCUGUGGGCUUUGAUAUUUCCAAAUAGACUUUCAACUAUCAUCUUUAGGACUCCAAGAAUCUUCUUUUAAAACCCAAUAAGCAUUACGAACAGAAAAAGACCCUCAAUCAGAUUGAGCCCAAAUGAUCCCAUCCUCUCCACCAAUAGAGUGAGAAUGGGGGAUACUUACUACACGCUUUAUCACGUCAUCAGGUAGCCAAAUAGGAAGCAAAUCAACUUUCCAAGAACCAUCAAGAAGAACCCAAUCCCUCAAAGUGCUCUCCAAACCGAGGCUUGCAUGAGCUGGGACAUAAGAAAAAAGAGGACCAACUUCCAGUAUCCAAGAAUCUUUCCAACAACAAAUUAUAGAGCCAUCACCUACAGACUACAUAAGAUCCUCACAAAAAAAGGGGUCACACCUUAGAAAGGGAACGGCAAAGAUGAGAGCAUUGAUUUUUGUGGAUAGAAUUUGGAAGCUGAUUCUUCCACCCAUAUUUCGAAUAAAGGACACAAACUCAUAAAGCACCCUUUGUAGAGACUAGAUUGAACCCAAUCUUCAUAAGGAAGGAAUUAUUUUGGUCUUGGAGGUGCUGAAACCCAAGGCCCCUCAAGACCUAAGCUAACAAAUGGACUCCCAAUCUACUUUUGGAUGCCCAGCAGAACCCCUCAAGACCUAAGCUAACAAAUGGACUCCCAAUCUACUUUUGGAUGCCCAGCAGAACCACCCCAAAUGAACUGCCUUGCUAUCUUCUCUCCUUUCGGGAUUAACAAGGACUGCAUAAAGUAGUUUGAACUAUUAAAAGAAAUAAACAUUAGCACUAUACUCUUAUUAUGUUUUAUACUUAUUUUAAUCAAAAGAUAAAAAUAUCUAUAUUUCAAUUAACCGACCAAAUUAACCAAAAUAAUUCAAUUCGAUUAAUGUAUUUGAAAAAAUUUCAAUUCAGUUCACGGUUAAAACUUUUUAUAUUUCAAGUAAUUCGGUUCAAAUAUUAAUCGAACCAACCAUUUGAACAAUGCAAUCGAGACCCUUACUGAAUGCUUUUAACUGGACCGAUUAAAUUAUCCAACGAAUUCUACAAGAAUAAAUUUAGAAUUGAAUUGGAGUUUGUUCGUAUAUGAAAUACACACAAAGUCCAUGUAAACCAUUCUUGGCAAAGCCAAUCCUUGAAUAUCCUCUUGUAGCUGUUGAGCAGGUCCUGCUGGCGGCACACUAAAAAUUUGCAUGCCAACAUUCUGGUUUGAAGAAAGACAAAGCAUCAGCUAGCCGAUUCGCUUCCCUAUGCACAUUCUGAAUUGAAGUCAGCAAAGCCAAACCAUUCUUCCAAGUUGUAAAAACUCCUGAUUCAAACACAAAAACAUCCCACUAAACCAUUAAAAGAUUCUAUUCCAACGUCAAAUAGAUUUCGACUUACUUGACCGCAAUAACAAGUAGCAAUUAGUCAAGCAGUGGUUUCUUGGCCAGCUUCAGUCAGCCUUCUCUUUUUCUUAGAGAAGCACAAGCAAUUACUGAGAUUUAUAAAUAUAGACACGAACCAUAAAUGAAAAUUAGGGGUUGGAGUAUUAACAGUUCAUUCACUAUUUGCACAAUGUCCUUGAGAAGGAUUUGCCAAGUUCAAAAUGUCGUAGAUCUUAACAUAAGUCGUUGCUUGUUUCUUCUUGCCUUCUUGUGGUCACAAAAGACAUUUUCCUGGAUAUGCAAAGUAAGAAGAAAAUCGGAGUUUGCUGCUUUGUAGCCAAGGAGGAGUGUUUAAAAGGUGGCAACGACAGCAGCAAAGUUUAAGAAUCCAUGCAAAAACCCACGUUGCAUGCAAGAAUCCAUGCAAAACCUACGUUGCAUGCACGAAACCAGAAGCUCGGCUGAAGCAUGUUAAAAUCCAUGGUGCAAUUCGACAAGCCUUGUUUAUUUAGUUGACUUUUGUUAGUCUAUGGUGUAAUCAUUAUUUGCUUUGAUCAGCUAAGGUUAAAAUGUGUGCUUAGCUGAUUUAGUAGUCAAAUUAGGUUGUCAUUUUGUUGAUGUAAACCUUUGGUUACUUGCACAAGCAAGCUUUGUUUUCUUUCUAUGUAGUUUUUGUUCUAUUUAUGUAUGUAACCAUGCACUUAUUCGGGUAAUGAGAAAAACACUUUGCUCAUUCAACUUUCUGCUUGUUCUUGCUACUGUUUUAAUCUUUCAAACAUCUAAAACAUUCAUCUAAGUUGUUUUUAAACUUUGUUUGCUAAGUUAAAAACCAACACACCCAAAUCAUAGUAUAUCUCGUUGCCUACAAAACAUAAAGGUAACCAAUACAAGUAAAAAGGCUAAGGUUUUAUAAAACCAUUAAGUUUGUUAUACUGACGGUUUAAGUAUGUCCAGAACAAAUUGUCCAAAUCACAAGAAAGACUUGUAUAAUUUGGCACGGGAAAGUCCAAAUAAAGAAAAUGAUGCCAAAACUUAACAUAUCAAAUUUAUAUCCUUUAUUUGGUGAGUCUGCCUCAUGAUAACCCUGUAAAAUGUAAACAGCAAUUGCAUAGAAUUAAAAAUUGACAACUUUCCUACUCAGGAUUUUUUGUGUCACUGUUCGUCUGAUAUUUCUUGUUUUGAUUUGGUCUCUUAUGAACAAGUGGGAAUCAAUCAAACAGUGUUGAAAUGACAGUAUGAAGUUUAAAUGCUUAUACUAUCUAGUAGUAGCUCUCUUAUAGUUAUACUGAAUUUUUUAAACUGGAACAUAAAACUUGAAUGCACAGUAUGAUCUACAAUGCAUGAUUGCAUAUUCAAGUCGAAUAAAGGUCAUAAAUUUGCUCUGUAAAACUCAAAAUUCAGUCCUUACCAUCUCUUGUUUUGUUUGUUGCGGUUUCAAUAUUAGUUUCACUAGUAUCUCUCCCACACAUGCCAAGGUUAAAUUUACCUCCUUUGCUGGUUCCUCUUGAUCGAUCACCCACAUUUGAAAUAUAUAGAUGCAUAACAAAGUAAAAGAAAGAACAGAACACGAGAUGAAAUAAAAAUUAGUAUAUAUCCAUCACUCGAAGAUUGUUUCUCGAUGAACUUACCCCGUUGUCCAUAUAAACUCAAUAACACCAAGACACAUUACCAACAAAGUAAAGUUAUGCCUCAACUACUCUUUAUUAACCUGAUGACAAGGUUGUUAUACUAAGUUACAAACUUAUUGUUCAAUCAUUUAACAUGGUAUCACAAAAGGGUCUACCGUUCCUUUUGCCAUAUAAUCCCUAGUUCUUACCUCAGGGUUGUUGUGAAUCUCGGCUCCUUUCCCAGUGUCUGGGGGCAGAGGAAGGUAGAGAAUUAACUGUUCAUCCUCUUUUUGCACAAGAUCUCCUUGAAUACUAAGAGGAUUUGUUAGCUUUUGGUUGGUAAUAAGCCGUAGCAUUUCAAGACAAGAAUUCAAAACGUUGUUUAGCAUUUUUGUGACUCUGCCGAAAACCUUUUCCUCUUUUACUAAUUGUUGCAUUUGGUCCACAAUGGCCUCUUUCUGCGUUGCCGGAAUAGGAAAUGAACAAUGAUAUAUCAAAGUUAAUUCUAUUGAUCUAAAAUGUCUAAAUCCACCAUAGCUAAGUCCAAACCCAAGCAAAGGUUGCGCCCAAGCAAAUGAUGUGAACAUGUUGCCAGACAAAUCACAAUAGGUGAGCACUUUUGAGCCUCUAAAUUGGUUAGAUCAGAGCUCGAAAAGGUAUCUCAAAACCCACAUGACAAGCUCUCUUUGUCCAAAAAUAGCUCGAAAGAUUGCCAAUCAAAGUUCGUCUGGAAAGGUAUAAAUAACCCAACCUAAGUACACCCCCUUAACCCAAUGUUACUAUGAUGAGUUUUCUCCAAACCCUUUCUCAUCCAUAUAUCGAUAUAAGCAUUCGGGAACUGUAUUUUUAGGCAUUUCUCAAUUAGACUCCAAAAAAUCAAUAAAUGCCAUUAAUGAACACGUACACUUAAAAAAUUAAUAUCGAACCGAAUUUGUUUAGUUAAUUUGAUCAGUUAAUCAAAAUUUAUAUGUUUUUGUCUUUUAAUCAAAACAAGUAUAAAACAUAUAAAAAAAUAUAUUGAUAAUGUCCAUUGGUCUUGAAAGUUAAUUGACUUAAUCGGAAUUUUAAGUCUUGAAACACUACAUAAUUAUUAAAUUCGGUUAAUUAGCUGAUUUCGAAUCAAUUUAAUCGAAACCAAAAUUUCAAAAAAACAUUAACCGACUUUCGACCAAAUUAAAUUUGACCAUCAAUUGAUUAACCAAAUUAAUUCGAUUUUAAUCAAAGUUUCAACCCUAAUAAUCUCCGCCUCACUUCAAUGAAAUCCACCCAAGAGGCCUAUCCUGCUAAAACUCAUCUUUCUAAUGAGAGUAACUUCGUUAUAUAUCAUCUGUCACUUACGAUUAUACAUUAAAAAUUGGUUGGACUUUCAAUAAUAACUUAUUUAACGAGUUUAUAAUGGAUUUUUCACUGGAAAAUGUACUGCAAUAGUUGCUGGUGUACAUUUGUUUUUUUUUAUUUUGGUACUACUUUCUUUUGGAGCCAUAACUACACGAGUAACAACUUAAUAUCACAUACAUUAAAAAAACCAUUACUUAUGAAAAUUAUGCCAAUUCAACAAACGUCAAUUACGGUCUUUCGCGUAGAAGCUCGGGUUAUUCUUGAAGGUUUACGUAUUGCAUGGGAAAAAGGUUACAACAGUUGGAGAUUGAAUGCGACAAUACACUACUUGUAGAGUCCGUUCUUAUGGGUAGUGCUGCCAGUAGUAAUCUAGUUGAAUUACGUUUAAUCAAUGUUUACCUUAAGAGGAAUUGGAAUACAAAAAUCUGUCACAUUCCUAGAUCUCAGAAUAUGCCUACUGAUCGAAUAGCGAAAUGUACUUAUAAGAAUCUUUGUUUAAUUGAUUACCAUUGAAUACUUUAUCAGUUUUAAACAAAUUAUUCUUCGCAUCAACAAACCUUUUUCAAUAUAAAGUAAUUUUAAAAAUAAUGAUUAUAGAAUAAAGAUUUAUAUUUUUAUAAAAUUUUUGAAAUAAUUAUAUAUAUUUUUAAUUUUCAAAACAAAAAUUGUUUAAAAGAACAUUAUAUUUCUUUUCUUUUCUUUUUUAAACUACGUUGCUAAAAGAUUGUCCGACUCUCGUGAUUGAUUGAUAUAUAUAUAUAUAUACUUGUCGCAAAUUUAAGUAUUAAUUUUGCAUCGUAUAGGUAAAUAAAUAAAAUCUGUUUUUUUUUUAUCAAAUUAUUGUUUUGGUUAUUAUAUUCAAAUUUGAAGUUUAAUUUUUUUAAUUUGACAUAAAUUAACAUAUUUUUAUGUUGAAAUGAAAACUCUUUAAAGUAGUAUCUUCGACUCAUUAUGCUGGUAUGGUUUUGUUUUAUUUUAAAUGAGAAAUUAAUAUAAAAUAGACUUGUUUAUUGGCUGGACACUCGAUCCACCCAAAAAGUGGGAGGAUUUGGAAAAAAAUAUAAGCCUGAAAAAUGAGCUGAGGCAAAAAAAAAAAAAGUCCAUUUUAAUAACAGGUUGGGCAUUGGGUAAAGUUUUUUUGGACUGAACCCAACUUGACUCAAAUUAGCCAAAAGACAAAGAAAAAAAUGCUAUUUUCUUGUUGUUUUAUCACUAUUUUGCUAUCAUUUCACUAUUAUGUUAUUACUAUUUUUUUUGUUAUUUUUUAGAUAUUGUAUAACUCUUGUUUUAUAUUUAAAUUUGUUAUUACUUUAGAGACAUUUGCUUGUUAAGUUGCACUUAUCUUAACGCUAUUUAAGUAUAAAUAUUUUUUAAAAAAAUUUAUUUUCAAUUUUUUAGGAAACAUUUAUUUUAAUAUUUUUUAGUGUAUCUAGUGUAUUAUAUUUUUAAAGUUUUAUAUAAGAAAAAUUUUAAAAAUAAAAAGGGCAGAUCUGGACCGGACCUAAAUUGUAACAUUUUUAUCUAGGCCGAACUUAGGUAAAAAUUUAAACCCAUUUUUCGGGUCAGGCCAAACUCAAACAUAUCAAUCAAACCUAAAAUUUUGUUAGUGAAUACCCAACCAAUCAACAAAUCUAGUGUAAUCCCAUAGUGUUGACUACUUUUAUUGCCCUGAAAUUGGUUAGCCCAUGAAUUUAUUAUGUUGAAGCCCCUCUUUAAUUGAAAAUUUGAGGUUGAUAAAUCAUUAUUUAAUGUCUGAAUUUGAUAAUAAUUUUUUGUGUGGUACAACUUUGACCUUUACCUUCCUUAUUACUACCUCUGUUUACCACCAAUUUUUGGUCGCAACAUUAAGAAAAAACUCUAUUCAAAUAAUGAGCACCAAAUGGACCGUUUUCUAGUACCACUAUUUUUCACACCAAAUACGUUGGAAUUAUUCUCCUUCUCUUGUGUCCCUCUCAAUUCUCAUUUUCAAAUUUACUUUAGUGUACAAUAUACGUGAAUAUUUAAUAAUAAUAAUAUAGAUUAUAUGGAUCAAUUUUUAAUAAUAAUAAUGGAUGAAUUUUUUUAAUAAAAGAAUUAAUUUAUUCUUUGAUUUUAUCUACAAUGACUAAUUUAUUUAUUUUUUAAGUAAAAAGAAAAAUAUAGUCUAACUUAUAAUAUAAAAACCUUCAUGAUACUUGUUGAUAUUAGGUUGAAGAUGAUCUUUACGUGUUGUUUAUAUUACGUGUUGUGUUGACUAUAACGAAGAAGUUAAUUAAUACAUAUUGUAUUUGUCAAGCAAAAUUAAUAAUAUAAAAUAAGUAUCCCAAGUUGGUAGAUUUGAGAAAAAGGAACAUGGUCGACAUGAAUUUCUUCGGUGGAAGGAUUGACCCACCAUAGAUUGGGAACUGCCACUUGACUGCUACUAAUAUCUGCUUUUUCAUCCAUAUAUGUGUAUAUAUAUAUAUAUGCUGGAACCUUGUUAUUACAUAAAAAUACAGGACGACUUCAUUUUCUUCUUCAAUGGCAGUGUCAGAAAUCUCGCGAUGUAGUUAUCAUGUAUUCUUGAGUUUUAGAGGUGAAGAUACGCGCAGAAGUUUCACGGAUCAUCUUCACACAGCUUUGAUGCACUUAGGAAUUCAAACAUUUAGAGAUGAUGAGGAAAUCGAGAGAGGGAAUAACAUAAAAGAUGAAAUUGAAAAAGCAAUACUACACCACUCCAAAAUUUCUAUCGUUGUUUUCUCAAAGAAUUAUGCUGUAUCCACAUGGUGUCUUAACGAACUUGUAAUGAUAUUGGAGCACAAGAAAUCCUCUAAACACAUUGUGUUGCCAGUUUUCUAUGAUGUGGAUCCGAGUCAAGUCAAGAACCAGACGGGAAGUUAUGCAGAAGCAUUUACCCAACAUGAACAAAACUUCAAGUCCAUGGUACAAAGAUGGAGGAAUGCUUUAAAAGAAGUUGCAGAUAUAGGAGGCAUGGUUCUACAAGACAGGUAUGUUAUACACAUAAUCAAGUUCCAUAUGGUUACUUCAAUCCUUUUCAUUAAGACUUGAUAGAUAGAGUAGAAAGAAAAUUAAUAGAAAAUAUUGUUAGGUAACGUUUGGAGAUUAAAAUGGCUACUUCAAUCCAUUUUAAAGGGUUAAAUAUAACUCAGAUUUUAAAUUAUUUCUCAAACACUAACAUGUUUUAAUUGAGUCAUUAAAAUAUUAGUAUUGUAUCAAUAAGGUCUUUUUAUCAAACAAGUAAUCAGUUUAAGCAUUAAAUGUAAAUAACAUGAAUUUAUUAAACUUUCACAAAGAGAAAGUUGAAAUUUGAGUAUAGGUUGUUUCUUAAAUGAAUUUCAUUAAUUUUUAUGUUGCUUUAUUUGAUUUGAUUUGAUUUUGAAUGUAAUAAUUCUAUCAUAUAUGUUGAAAUGUUACAUUAGUUGCUUAUUUUUAUUAGAACAUAUAAUCUCAUAAAGACAAUUAAAAUAUAUGCAAGAAAAGAGAAAAUACAUUAAUAACUUUUACUUAAUUUUCAAGAUUUUAGCAUUGAGUUGUAUUUUUUAAAUUUGCAGGCAUGAAUCACAAUUUAUUCAAGAUAUUGUUAAAGAAGUUCAAAAUAAACUUCAUCCUAUUUCUUUGUAUGUCCCUCCUUAUUUAGUUGGAAUAGAUUCUAUCGUGACACAAAUUAAUCAAUGGUUAGAACAAGAUGGAGCAAAUAAAGUUGGCAUUGCAACUAUUUGUGGCAUUGGAGGCAUUGGGAAGACAACCAUUGCCAAAGUUGUUUACAAUCAAAACAUCUCGAGGUUUGAAAGUUUUAGCUUCCUUGCUCAAGUUAGAGAAACAAGUCAAGAUUGUAAUGGCUUAGUUCGUUUGCAAAGACAACUUAUUUCAGAUCUCCUUAAAGGAAAAUCGCAUAAAAUAUACAAUAUAGAUAAUGGAAUUAACAAGAUCAAAGAAAUUGUAUGUUGUAGAAGAGUUCUUCUUGUUCUUGAUGAUGUUGAUGAAUUGGAAAAAAUAAGAAAAUUAAUGGGAACUCAAAUUCCUUUUCAUCCGGGAAGUAAAAUCAUCAUAACUAGUAGAAACCGAUGCCUAUUGAAUGCACAUUUUAUAAGCCAAAUGUUUGAUUUGGAAGCAUCAACUAGCUGUGGAGGCUUAAGCAAGCUAUUUGAAGUAAAAGAAUUAGCUUCAAGUGAAUCGCUACAACUUUUUAAUUNNNNNNNNNNNNNNNNNNNNNNNNNNNNNNNNNNNNNNNNNNNNNNNNNNNNNNNNNNNNNNNNNNNNNNNNNNNNNNNNNNNNNNNNNNNNNNNNNNNNGGGCUCUUCAUUAUCUAGCAAAAGUGUGAGUUCUUGGAAAAGUGCAUUGGAGAAAUUAGAAGAAAUCCCUGACAGCAAAAUUCAAAAGAUUCUAAGAAUAAGCUAUGAUUCUUUGGAAGACGAUCAUGACAAAAAUUUAUUCCUUGACAUAGUUUGUUUAUUCAUUGGGAAGGAUAGAGAUUACACGACUACAAUUCUAGAUAGUUGUGAUUUCUAUACAACAAUUGGAAUUGAAAAUCUAGUAGGCAGGUCUCUUUUAAUCAUUAAUGAAAAAAACAAGCUAAUGAUGCACCAAAUGAUUAGAGAUAUGGGACGAGAAAUUAUUCGUCAAGAAUCUUCUGAUAUUGAGAAACGAAGCAGAGUGUGGCAUAAGAACGCAUUUGAUGUAAUAAGAGAAAAAAUUGUAAGAAACAUCAUUUUACUCAACUUUUUUCUUGUAUGCAUGUAAACUACUUUUUUUUUUUAUCAAAUUUCUUUUUAUUUUUUAAAAAAGGUUUUCUGAUGCAGGGUUCCAAAACAGUUAAGUGCCUCACACUUGACCUAAAAGGAUUGCUAGAAGACAAGGCUAAAAGGACAAAUACAACUCUACACUUUCCAAAGCAUUCCAAAAGUCAGUUUCUCAUGGCAAAUGAUGUUGAUAUGGAAACUCAAGCAUUUGCAAAGAUGAAGAGACUUAAACUGCUUCAACUGGAUUAUGUAAAACUUAAAGGAGACUUCAAAGACUUUCCCAAAAGAUUAAGAUGGUUACGUUGGCAUGGGUUUUGUAUGCAAUCUUUUCCGGUGGAUUUCGAUAUCAAUGAACUAGUUGUUCUCGACAUGCGCAACAGUAAACUUAAACAAGUUUGGAAGGAUACAGAGGUAUGAUAUAUACUAAUUUUCCUUCUUUUUGUGUGUAUGUGUGUAACAAUAAUAUAUAAAUGAAGGGUUUUCUUUUUUUGCAGUGCCUCCCAAAUUUAAAGAUCCUUAAUCUCAACCAUUCACAUAGCCUUCUUAAAACCCCAAGCUUUUCAGGACUCCCUAGCCUUGAGAAGUUGAUGCUCAAAGAUUGCAUAAAUUUGGUAGAAGUUGAUCAAUCCAUUGGUGAGCUAAAGAUGCUUACUUUCUUGAACCUAAAAGAUUGCACAAGUCUUAGGAAACUUCCAAGGACAAUUGGUUCAUUAAUAUCACUUGCAGAGCUUAUUUUAUCUGGUUGUUCAAGACUUGAUGAUGUCCCCAGGGAGUUGCAUAAUAUGAAAUCAUUGAAGGUGCUUAAUUUAGAUGAAACUUCCAUAUGUCAAACAAGAUUGGGAUUACAUUGGCUCUUACCGAAAAGAAGUAAAGAAUUGGGUUUCUCUUGGGCAUCUCUACCGUGCUCUUUGGUAAAAUUAAGCCUUGAAAGUUGCAAAUUAUCUGAUGAUGUCAUGCCCAAUGAUCUUUAUAACUUAGCUUCAUUGAAAUCCUUAAAUUUUAGUAGAAACCCAAUUCAUUGCCAUCCCGAAAGCAUAAAAAAACUUACAAAACUUGAUGAACUUCUAUUGACUUCUUGCACUGAACUCCAAAUAAUUCCAAAGCUUCCAGUCUUGCCCAAUGUUUUUGAGUUCUUGACAAUAUCUCCAUUUAAAGGAUAUUGGGCAAUUCUUCCAUGCUUCUUUUCUUCCACACGAUGUGUUAUUUUUGGAUGUGAAAAAUUGACUGAAGUUGAAGAUCUAUUCAAGUUGGGACCAAUUGAAAACUUUGAAGAAGAAGAGAUUAGAAGAUUAUUCAACCUGGAUUCCAUUAGCAGAAAUCGACUGCAACUUUAUAGCUACCUAACAGACAGCAUAAUGCUUGCUACCCCACAGGUUCUCCAACUUAAAUUUUAACUUUAUUUUUUUCUCUUACAUUACUUAAUGAACACAUUCGUAAUCAUCUAACAUGUUUUUUUUGGAUCAGGUCUUGCAGGAAUGUGGUAUAACAAGUACUUUUGUUGUGGGAAGUGAAGUUCCUAUUGUGUUUAAGCAUCGCACUAACGAGCACCGAAUCUCUUUUUCUUUGCCAACACCAUCUCAUCCAGAUGAAAAGAUCCAUCGGUUCAGCUUAUGCAUUGUUUUCUCUUUAGCUAGUGAUCAAAUAUUGGAGUUUCUACCAAGUGUCCACAUUUUCAAUGAGACCAAAAGGAUCAUGCAGAGAUAUCGCUCAAGUUUCAUCGGAAUUCCUGAGACUAACGAUAACACAAUGUUGUGGUUGAUCCAUUGGCCAGUAACGGAUUGUGAGUUUGAAGGUGGUGACCUUGUGAGUUGCAUGGUAGUGCCUGUUCAUCUCAGCAUAAGAAAAUUUGACGUUACUUAUGAAUCACAACACAAAGUUAGAUAUAAAUAUGGCUUUUCCCACGUAUCUACAGGUAUGACUAUGACUUCAAAUGAUUAUGUUUAUGGAAUAUUAACCCAUGCACUAUUAACACUUACUAAACUAAAGAUAUAUCCUUAUUGAAAUAAUAAUUUUUUUGACAAAGGAAAUAAUAAAUUAUAUGAAUAUUUAAUGUGUUUUCAGUGACAAGAUUAUAUAUUAGUGAAUACAUCCUAUUAUUUUUUUAAUGUUUCCUUUUAGAUGUCAAUAACAAAUGUUUAAGAAAUGAUAAAUGUUGCAAUUGGGAUCUAAUUAAAAUAAUUUAAUUGUUUGAUAAAUGAUUAAUUUACAAGUCUUAUAACACAUUUUAACAUUUUAGUGAUAAUAAUAUUAGUUUUUAAUUUUUUUUCAUAUAAUAUUAAGAGGAAGGAAUGGGGUCACACGGUUUGAAUCUGUGUCAAAUAGGUGUCUGACAAAAGAUUUAACCAUCAGUGUAUUCAAGUUAAGACUACUAUUUUAAUAUUCUAAUAGGCAUACUACAAUUGAUAAAUAACACAUUAUUGUACAUAUUUUAGGAAAUGAAGUUACCACAAGAAAUAUGAUGAUGGACCUGACUAAAGACUUACCCAGUUUGGAAUCUUAUGGAAAUGUUAAAGUGCAACUUUGCAAUUUUAUAGAAGAAUCAAAAGUGGUUGCUUCCCCACAGGUUCCCUUUACAAGUUUCAACUUUUAAAAAAUAUUUAUAUAAUAUUUUUUAAAAUUUUAUUCUAUAACCCAAUGCUACAGGUAUUAUACGAUUACGGCAUAAUUACAACAUUUGAUACAUUUCCAUUUGAUUACAUUGGCCACUACCAUGGCCUUCAAGCUGGCAAGACUGAGGUUUCAAUAUCAGUGCCCCCAAACUCUAGUCGAAAGAUAAGUUGCUUCUUAAAUUCGAUUAUCAUUUUUUCUGCCAAGAAUGAUAAAACAUAUGGAUUUUUACCAUGCCUUGAAAUUGUGAACGAGACCAAAGGUACAAAGUGGACCUACUCCAAACAUUUCAUGGGAAUUCCUGAAACCAAGAAUACCUUAUACUGGACGACUUGUUGGAACUUUAGGGGUGAUGAACUAGAAGCUGGUGAUCAUAUUAGUCUUCGGGUUCUUUCAAAUUUAUCUGUACUAGAAUUUGGGAUUGACCUUGUAUAUGAUUAUGAGCUAGAUGACAACUCAAAUUUUUUCAGUCAGUUGCCAUGGAUGAGUAAAUGUUUUAAGUAUCUUUUCGGGACUUUUGUUCUUAUUUCGUCAAAAGCCCAAAAAAACUUGUAUAGGUUGCAAAGUUUAGUCAAAUGCUGAUUAUCGUAGGAUUGAAAUGGAGCAAAUGAAUAUUUUGGUUUAGUCAUUGCCGCCUUGGCUUGGCUGAUUUCAUCUUAUAUUUAAUCUCUUAUUCUUUUAUGUAUGCUAUCGAUAUUGAUUUUUGCUCAAGUUCUUCAAUGAAGCACCUUGUUCUUGGUAAUUCAAUUAACUUGUGCUUUUAAUCAGAUGUCGGAGUUAUUUUAGUAGACUUAAUUGAUUUUGUAUAUAUGGAAGUAAAGUAAAUGUGAGCUUAGCUCGCUUUCAGGGAAGAGUAGUGUACCAAAAGAAAGUUGAAAAUGGUAAGCUAGGAGGUGAUGAUCGUAGAGAUGAAAUAUUAGAAGGAGAAAACGAGAAAAAGCAUUCUUGGGAGAUGAUUUGAUUACCAUUUGUGGAACACUAAUUCCUAUAACUACGUGGGCUUGUUCAUAAGACUUCUCUUAGAAUCUCGAACAAAUAUCAGUUGAUUGUUCUGGUUUAAAUAUUUAAUUUUUAAGAGAAUAUAUUAUUACUUUAUUCUACCCUCUCGAAGAUUUAUAUCAAGUCCAAACUGUUGCGAGUUGAUAGCCAUGAUGGAAAUCAAUUUUGAGCAAUUUUUUGAAGGAGCUGAAAUAAAAUUGUAUAUUUUUAUAAUAGUAAAAGUAAAAUUUCACCAUUUUAAUAGUCUAUAUAUUUAUAAUUUUUAAAAAAUUAAAUCAAAAUUUUCUCAUUCUUUUACUUGAACUGUUUCACUCAACAUAAUAAAUUCGUGCGCUAAUCGAUUUCACGGCAUUUAAAGUAGUGAAGACGAUGGGAUAAGGCUAAUGUUGAUAUGGGAUCUGAAAAAGCAGGUAAGAGUAGUAGACUAUGAAAAGUCAUAAUAUAUUAUAAACAUUUCUUACGUUACAUUUCAACCACCUCUUUAAUUCCACCAGAAUCCGGUACUACUCGCUCUUGAGUGCUAACACUCUCCUCGUUACGGCCCUCCAACUUUUUCCUCCACAAUAUUUUAAGAAAAACUCAAUUCAAAUAAUAUUUUUAUAUUUGAGGUUUAUGAUUAUUUCUCUUAAUAAUGUUGUCUUUAAAAUUCAGAUAUCUAUUUCUCUUGAAAAUACAAUACCUUAAUUAUUCAAAUAAUAGUCUUAACAGAAAGAUUAAGCACCAAAUAUUCUAUAAAUACUAACAAGCUAAUGGUCUAAAGUCUAGAUUGAGUAGCACUAUUAUCCAAAUUCCGAAACAUAGUGCAACAAAUCAAUUCUUUCCCGGCGACCAAAUGACGUUUAUUAUAUAUAUAGAACUCUACAACCUAGUGCUACUAAUUAUCAAUUUUAUUGUUGUGACUCCAUAAACUAAAAUUUAGUUGAUCCCUUGACUCAAGAGUGUAAUUAUUCGAAUAGGGAUUAUAUCUCUUUUACAGUGGUACACUAAUUCGUCUUAUUAUAUGGGUUUAUUUAUAAGAGUUCUCUUAAAUAUUUAUGUCAAAUCCAAAUUGUUGUGAAUUCUUUUAACAUUUCAAGGAGUUUUGUCCAUAAGUAAAAGUCUUUGGUAAAAGUAUUAGAUAAUAAGUAAUUGAUAAAAAAUUUCAUUCUAAAGGCAACUAGCAAAGAGCUGUUUAAUAUUUUUCAACAUUCAUGAAGGGUUUUUAUGUACUUUUAUUGAAUGGAAUAGAAUUUUUUUUUCCUAAUAAAUGAACCACGAGAAGCAAAAUGUUUUCCAAGGAAUAUUCUUACCAUAUCUAUUUAAUAUGUAAUUCGCAACUUGUUCUUGAAAGGAAAACCAUAAUAAUUUUCCUAGAAUCUCUAUUUGGAAACUUGGAAGUCUUUUAAAUCAACCGAAUCAUCUUACUCGAAUACUUUAUCAACUUUAUACAAAUUAUUCUUUGCAUCACUAAAUAUUGUUCAUGACCUUGCACCCACUUUCAUGCAGAAUUAUUUCUCCCAUGCAGGGAAUGGUCUCCAUGAAUUAUUGCCAUAUUUCCAUUUAGGAUUAGUAAAUUUCAAUAACUUUUUUGGUGGACGUGAUAUCUAUUUUGAUGAUAUGACAUGGUUUGUUUUGAUCCAAAAAAGACGAUGAAUGACAUGAAAUUGAACUAUGAUUUUAAAGAAGGGACUUGAGUUUAUAUAUGAUUAUAUAGGCGGUAAUUCAAUUUUCCUUUCCUUGUUGGAAAAGGAAUUCCAUUUUGACUUUAAUUGUAAUUUUUAAGUUGUUGUUUUCUUAUUGUUAAUUAUUUAAAAAAUAAUCGCAUUUUAACUUGCAAACUUAAAUAUUAAACUAUUAUCUUUAUGUUUACUUUUUAAUGAUAAUUAACAAAAAUAUUUGGUUUUAAAAUUUUAAUACAAUCAAUGAAACACAAUUCACACACAUGAAUAAUAAAAUUUGACGUGAUUAAAUAAAUAUUGAAUUUUGUUAUAUUUUUAAUAAUAAAUAUAGGUAAAAUGGUAAUAAAUUGGGAUUUUAAUGUCAUUUAAAACGUGUCAAAUAAAUAUUAGAUUAGAUAUUCAAUAUUAAAAAUUAAUAUAUAUUAAUUGAAUUAUAAACGAGUUUAGAAAUUCAAAAUUGUAAAAAUUAAUAUAUAUUGAAUUAAAUGACUACCAUACAUAAUCUUAUUCGAAUAAUAAUAAUGAAAAAUAAAACUGAGUAUUUAAGACAAUUUCGUUGUAUUUGUUUGUUCUAUGAUCCAACUAUGGUAGGUAAGCGUGAUGUAGGUUCAUCGUACUCCCAUCCAGUGGCUUUAAUUUGCUCUAAUGGAAUCGAAAACGAAUCAAUCCUUUUAACAUCGGAAAUCGACUUUAUUUUCAAAAAAAGUUUUGGGUCGAUUUUGGAGUUCCAAUCAAUAUCAUCGAUAUACAUAUCUGCUGCAUUACUUGGCAACUUAUUUGUGCAAGGAAAACGAUGAUAAUAUUCCCAGAAUCUCUGUUUGGCUUUCUGGAAAGCUUUUAAACCAGUUGAAUCAUCCCAUUCGAAUACUUUAUCGGUUUUGAACAAAUUAUUCUUUGAUUCAACAAAUUUUUUCCAUGGCAUUGCACCCACUUUUAUGCAGAAUUUUUUCUCCCAUGCAAAUAAUGGUUCACAUGAAUUACCGUUAUCAUUCAGUUUGGGUCGAGUAAAUUUCAGACUGUAGUACCUUUCUCGACGAUUAUGAUAUCUUCUUUGAUAAUAUGACAUGAUUUCUUGUAAUCCAAACAAAUAAAUGAAUUGAAAUCGCUAAUGAUAUCAAUUUACAGUGAGGAGACUCGUUGGGUUUAUAUAAUAUUAUUAGAGUCAGUGGUGACUCAAUCCUUUUCCUUGUUGGAAAAGGAAUUCCAAUUUCAGUUUGAUUAUGAUUUCUAUUUUCUAAAUAUUUGUAUAAUAAAAUUAUUAAAAAAAAUAACUAUAUCUGUAUUGAUAAUAUUUUCUUAUUAAAUGGGUUUUAUGAGUUAAAUAACAAUCAAACCAAGACUGGGAGACUGAACUGCAUCAGGUCUUAGGGGUGAUCCAUCGCUUCAACCACUAUCCACCAUCUACAUCCUUCCCCUGUAUAAACUCUGUUAAAUAUAUACAGAGAGAGAGAGAGACAAACAAAUUAUAACGAUAGUAAAAAAAAUCAAAACUAAAAUAUAAGCAUUUUUCUUAUAAGGUGAAAAGAAAUAAUGGACUUGAGUACUUGAAAGAACUAACCGACCUAAGUUUAUAAAUUAUUAUUUAGUACAAUGAUUCGAACUCAAUUGCUUUUAAGAAAAAUUAACACUCGACCAAUAUAUUACAAUAUGAGUUGUUAUUAUGAUUUAAUGUAACAUUCAAUCAAUAAAAGAUAACCAAUUCCUGAACGCUACCUAACAAUAUUUUCUUUGCCAAAUACUUUAUCAGUCUUAAACAAAUUAUUCUUUGCAUCAACAAAUCUUUUUCAUUUAUCAGUCUUAAACAAAUUAUUCUUCGCAUCAACAAUUUUUUUCCAUGACAUUGCACCCACUUUGAUGCAUAUUUUUUUCUCCCUUGCGGGUAAUAAUUUCCAUAAAUUACUGUCUUUAGGUUUGAGAUGAAUAAACUUCUGUAUGCAGUAAUUUUCUUGACGAUUAUAAUACGAGAAAUAUGAAUUUAAAGUGAAGGGACUUUCCUUGUUGUGAAAGGAAUUUCAGUAACUAUUUGUAAAAUAAAAUUAUUAAAAAAUAAUUAUAUCUAUAUUGAUAAUAUUUUUUUAUUAAAUGGGUUUUAUUAGUUAAAUAACUUUAUUAAUUAGUUGAAUAGCAAUCAAACUCAACUUUAAAAUUUUAAAAGUAAUAUUACUGAAUAAAGAAUUAUAACUUAGUAACAACAUUCUAUUUGAACAUUGCAACAGUAAUUCAGUUUGAAAAUUGCAACAGUAAUUUAGUGAAAUUGACUAAAAAGAUUACUCUAUCUUCUUCCAAGUUGCAUCUUUCAAUCCAACCAAUUGGAAGCAUCAACACCAUAGAAUCAUAUAAGAAAAUCUACAAACUACGGUGCGACACCAUAGAAUCAUAUAAUUAAGAACAUCUACAAACUAUGUAGACACGGCUUCUUCACACAUUAGAUUUACCCUUAUGAAAUAGAAUAGGAGAACCCUCUGACUUGGUCAAUCAUAGCCCCUGUACUGUUCAACUUCCCAAAUCUAAGAAUAGUACCAUCCACGGGACUGACUUGUUAUUUAACAGAACACACUCUUAGCAAUACUUCAGAGUGACAUUAAUGAAAAUAUUAACAUGUCCAACAUGUUCGUAACCAGUUUCCAGACUAUAGGCAUUAGGUUGAGAGGCCUGUAACCUUCUUUCAAUGUGAAAAGUGACUUUUAUUAUACAAGAUGCAUCUUCUUCAAAAGAGAGAGCUGCUACUUCUAGGUCUUAAAUGCAAACCAAAAUACCACAUCAUAAGUUAUUCUUCAUUUUCAGUUGACUGUGCAUUCAUCCCAUCAAUCGAAAAAAGCGAUCUAAAGUUAUUCUUCAUGAUAAACAUACUUGAGUGGAAAGCACAAGCCCAUGCUUUAUGAAAUUUGUUUUCACAAGGAAAACAUGAUAAAUUUUCUAGAAUUUUUAUUUGACUUCCUGAAAAGCUGUUAAACCGGCUAAAUCAUUUCACUUGAACACUUUGUCAUUUUCAUACAAAUUCUUAUUUGUUUCAACAAAUCUUUCCCAUGGCAUUGCACUCCUUUCUAUGUAGAAGUUUUUCUCCCAUGCAAGCAAUGGUUUGGGUUUGGGAUGAGUGGUCCUUUGUUGUGAAAAUAACGAAUAGAAAUAUCAUUUAUAGAAAUGCCAAAUAGAUAUAUCUUUCUAUAAAAUAUAAUGCAUCUUGUAAUAAAAUAUCCUUUCAUAAGGUUAUAUUAUUUUAUAAAAUAAUUUUAUAUAAAAUUAUGUAUUUAUAUAAAAAUUUUAUGUACAUCUACACAACAUUAUUAUUCAUUAAUCAAUAAGUGUAAUAUACAUUUUUUCUAGAUAAUAAAAAGCGACCGCCAAAUGAUUUUAUUUUUUCAAUCGAAUUUUUGUUUUAGUCAUUUUAUUCAAAUUUGAAGUUUAUUUUUUUUAAUUUGAUAUAAAUUAACAUAGUUAAAUAUUCUUGUGCUAAUGUGAAAACUCUUUAAACUAUUAUUUUCGAUUCAUUAUGUUACUAGGGUUUUUUAUUUUAUUUUAAAUGAGAAAUUGAUAUAAAAUCCCAUUAAACUUUAAAAUUGGACUGAUUUUUUAAAAAAGUUAAAUUAUAUGUUUAACUGUGAACAAAAUAUGUUUAGCAAAAUAUGUUUAACAUGCAUUAAAAGGCAUCGUGGUUCAUUGGUUUCUAGAUGCGAACAAAUUAUGUGGCUUUAUAACUUCUGAGAAAAGUUUUGAGUCGAUUUCAAGAUUCCUAUCAAUAUCAUUGAUAUAUAAAUCAACUGCAUUACUUCUUACAAGGAAAGCCAUGAUAAUUUUUCGAGAAUUUUUGUUUGACUGAUUGCCACUGAAUACUUUAUCAGUUUUAAAUAAAUUAUUCUUUGCAUCAACAAACCUUUUUCAAUAUAAAGUAAUUUUAAAAAUAAUGAUUAUAGAGUAAAGAAUUAUUUUUUUUAUAAAUUUUUUGAAAUAAUUAGAUAAACAUAAAGAUGCAUUAUAUAUAUAAUAAAGAUAAAGAUAAAGAUAAACAUGAUUAAUUUUACCUUUAUUUUAAAGUAUAGCUUUUAUUAUCCAUUAAAUUAAAUAUAAAAUUAAUUUUACCUUUACCUUAAAUAUUUAAUUAGAUAAACAGAAAUUAUAGAAGUCCUUUUUGUCAUAGACCUUCAACUUGAUAACAUAUAAUUGUAACAACAAUUCAGUGAAAUUUGACUAAAAAUUGCGAAAUUGACUAAAAAAUGCAUCUAUAGAUACAAAUAAUCUCCAAUUCAACAUUUAUCAUUCAUUAAUUAAUAAGUAUAAUGUACUUGAUUUUUUGUAGAUAAUAAAAAACGUUUGAAAUUAUUUCACAAUAUAAUUUUUGUUUAUUAAGAUUUUAUUUUGUUUUUUCAUCUUUUCAGAUGUCAUAUGAUAUAAUCAUUUUAGCCCUAGCAUAGGUAAAUAAAUAAAAUUUAUUUUUUAUCAAAUUAUUGUUUUAAUAUUUAUAUUUAAAUUUGAAGUUUAAUUUUUCUAAAUUUGACAUAAAUUAACAUAGUUAACUAUUUUUGUGUUGAAAUGAAAACUCUUUAAAGUAGUAUUUUCGAUUCAUUAUGGUUUUUUUUAUUUUAAAUGAGAAAUGAAUAUAAAAUAUACCUAUUCAUUGGUUGGGCCACCCGACCCACCCAAAAAGCACGAGAGUUUGGGCAAAAACAUAAGUCCGAAAAAUGGGCUUAGGCAAAAAAACUAAAAGGGUCUAUUUUAAUAACGGGCUGGGCAUUGAGUAAGGUUUUUUUAGCCCAGACCCAACCCGACCCAAAUUAGCAAAAAGACAAAUAAAAAUUGCUUCUCUUGUGUUUUCUCACUAUUUUGCUAUCAUUUUACUAUUAUGUUAUUACUACUUUUUUUGUUAUUGUUUAGAUAUUGCAUAACUCUUGUUUUAUAUUUAAUUUUGUUAUUAUUUUAGAGAAAUUUGCUUGUUAAGUUGCAGUUAUCUUAAUGCUAUUUAAGUAUAAAGACUUUUUUUUAACUUAUUUUCAAUAUAUUAAGAAAUAUUUAUUUUAAUAUUUUUAGUGUAUUUGGUGUAUUAUAUUUUUUAAAUUUUUAUAAAAAAUAAACUUUAAAAAAGUCAGACCUAGGUUAUAGCAUUUUUAUCUGUGCAGAACUUAAGUAAAAAUUUAAACCUUUUUUUAGAUCAAACCAAACUUGAACAUAUCAAUCGAACAUAAAAUUUUGUUAGGAAUUGACCCGACAAACCAAAUAUUCCUAUCCCAUCGUCUUCAUUACUUUUAUUGCCCCGAAAUUGGUUAGCCCAUGAAUUUAUUAUGUUGAAGCCCCUCUUUAAUUGCAAAUUUGAGGUUGAUAAAAUCAUUAUUUAAUGUCUGAAUUUGAUAAUAUUUUUUUGUAUUGUUCAACUUUGACCUUUAACUUCCUUAUUACCACUUCUGUUUACCACCAAUUUUUGGUCGCAAACCAAAUGGACCGUUUUCUAGUACCAUUAUUUUCACACCAACUACUUUGGAAUGAGUCUCCUUCUCUUGCGUCCCUCUCAAUUCUCAUUUUCAAAUUUACUUUAGUGUAUUUUUUUUUAAUUUAAAAAAAAUUAUUUACUUUAAAUAAGACAAACAAAUCAAAUAAAAAAUUGACGAUUUGAUCAAUUUAAUCGCUAACUUUUUUUGAAAAACAAUUGGUUAAUAAUACUUUAUUCAUGCAGAGGUACUAAAAUUGUCUUUUUAUUAUACUGAAUUGAGAUGUGUUGUGGUCGUAGUUUAAUUAUUGAGUGUUAUCCAUCAAGGUAUUAGCUGAUAAAAGUAUCAUGGAGGCUCUAAUAUUGAGAGUCAAAUUGUAUUUAACUCCUUUUAUUAAAAGAGUAAGUUAAUCCAUGUACAUUAGAUAGAAGAGUAAAUUGAUCAUUUUUAUUAAAAUGAUUCAUCUUUUUUUGUUGUUAAAAACUAACGUGGUUGGCAAAAUAAUCAGGCAAUACCUUAUGUUGAUUACAUGGAUCAAUUUUUAAUAAUAAUGGAUGAAAUUUUUUAAUAAAAGAACUAGUUUACUCUUUAAUCGGACCUACAAAGACUAAUUUAUUUAUUUUUUUAAGUAGAAAAUAUAAAAUACAAUCUGACCAAGAAUACAAGAAGAUACUUUUACUGAUAUUAUUAGGUUGAAGAUGAUGCUUCCGUGUUGUAUUGACGAUAACGAUGAAGUUAAUCAAUACAUUGUAUUUGUCAAGCAAAAUUAAUAAUAUAAGAAAAGUAUUCCAAUUUGGUAGAUUUAAAAAAAAGGAACAUGGUCGACAUGAAUUUCUUCGGUGGAAGGAUUGACCCACCAUAGAUUGGGAACUGCCACUUGACUGCUACUAAUAUCUGCAUUUCCAUCUAUAUAUGUAUGUAUAUAUAUAUAUAUAUAUAUAUAUGCUGGAACCUUGUUAUUACAUAAAAAUACAGGACGACUUCAUUUUCUUCUUCAAUGGCAGUGUCAGAAAUCUCGCGAUGUACUUAUCAUGUAUUCUUGAGUUUUAGAGGUGAAGAUACGCGCAAAAGUUUCACGGAUCAUCUUUACACAGCUUUGGUGCACUUAGGAAUUCGAACAUUUAGAGAUGAUGAGGAAAUCGAGAGAGGGAAUAACAUAAAAGAUGAAAUUGAAAAAGCAAUACUACACCACUCCAAAAUUUCUAUCGUUGUUUUCUCAAAGAAUUAUGCUGCAUCCACAUGGUGUCUUAACGAACUUGUAAUGAUAUUGGAGCACAAGAAAUCCUCUAAACAUAUUGUGUUGCCAGUUUUCUAUGAUGUGGAUCCCAGUCAAGUCAAGAACCCGACGGGAAGUUAUGCAGAAGCAUUUACCCAACAUGAACAAAACUUCGAGUCCAUGGUACAAAGAUGGAGGAAUGCUUUAAAAGAAGUUGCGGAUAUAGGAGGCAUGGUUCUACAAGACAGGUACGUUAUACACAUAAUCAGGUUCCAUAUGGUUACUUCAAUCCUUUUCAUUAAGACUUGAUAGAGUAGAAAUAAAAUUAAUAGAAAAUAUUGUUAGGUAGCGUUUGGAAAUUAAAAUGGUUACUUCAAUCCAUUUUAAAGGGUUAAUUAUAAUUCAGAUUUUAAAUUAUUUCUCAAAUAUUAAAAUGUUUUAAUUGAUUUAUUAAAGUAUUAGUAUUGUAUCAACAAGGUCUUUCUAUCAAACAAAUCAUCACCUUAAGCAUUAAAUGUUAGCUCGAAUCUAAUGUGGGAUGUUUUUAGAACACAUAGAUCAAGUUUUAAAUACGUUUGCACCUAUCACAUGAACAACUUGGAUUUGACGAGUUGAAAACAAAAAAAAAAGAAACUCUUGAAUUUAAUGACACUAUUUUUGAUUUUCUAAGAUGUCAUUGUUGGUAAUGCAAAAGAAUAUUUUGAAUUGUGGAAAAUCCUCUAACCGUUGCAGAAAACAUUUUUAGAAUAUUUUCAGUUAGGAAAAUCCUUUGCUAUUUUUGGAAACUAAAACUAUUAUUUUACCAUUUUGCCCAUCAAAAAAUAGUAUAAAUAGGAGGCGGUUCUCCCACCUAACACAACAAGAGAAAAACAACUUCGCUAUGUUCUCUAAAUUCUAGUGUUCUGCAAAAUUACACGAGAUGGAAAUUUUGUCUAAGAGAUUAGGUUUUAAGCGGGACUGUUUGUGACCCCUUUAAUCUUUCUUGGGAAUUGAAUUUUUUUUUUCCGGGAAGAGUAAUGUCAAUCGUGUUCCACCUUCUUUAUUCGGGUGUAUGAAUAUUGGAGUAUUGUGUUGGGGGGUAACGUCCACUACACGAUUACAUCGGUCAAGGCGAAUUUAUCUCUACUGCAGUGGUUCUUCCACGACACAAUGAUUCUUAUUUUAUUUACAUUCAGUUUGGUCUCCUGUAACAAUUCUAUUUUGCAGUACUAUAUUUCCAACAAUCAUAUCCAAGUUAUUCGUGUAAUAGGUCUACACAUAUUCAAAAUGUUACAAUGAAUAAAAUAUAUAUAUAAAUUCAUGUAAAUAACAUGAAUUUAUUAAACUUUCACAAAGUGAAAGUUGAAAUUUUGAGUAUAGGUUGUUUCUCGAACGAAUUUCAUUAAUUUUUAUGUUGUUUUAUUUGAUUUGAUUUUAAAUGUAAUAAUUCUAUCGAAAUGUUGCAUUAGUUUCUUAUUUUUACUUUAACAUAUAAUCUCAUAAAAACAAUCAAAAUAUAUGCAAGAACAGAGAAAAAACAUUAGUAACAUUUACAUAAUUUCCAAGAUUUUACCAUUGAUCAGUUGUAUUUUUCAAAUUUGCAGGCAUGAAUCACAAUUCAUCCAAGAUAUUGUUAAAGAAGUUCAAAAUAAACUUAAUCUUAUUUCUUUGUAUGUCCCUCCUUAUUUAGUUGGAAUAGAUUCUCUCGUGACACAAAUUAAUCAAUUGUUAGAACAAGAUGGAGCAAAUAAAGUUGGCAUUGCAACUAUUUGUUGGCAUUGCAACUAUUUGUGGCAUUGGAGGCAUUAGGAAGACAACCAUUGCCAAAGUUGUUUACAAUCAAAACAUCCCGAGGUUUGAAGGUUAUAGUUUCCUUGCUGAUGUUAGAGAAACAAGUCAAGAUUGCAAUGGUUUAGUCCGUUUGCAAAGGCAACUUAUUUCAGAUAUCCUUAAAGGAAAAUCACAUAAAAUAUUCAAUAUAGAUAAUGGAAUUAACAAGAUCAAAGAAAUUGUAUGUUGUAGAAGAGUUCUUCUUGUUCUUGAUGAUGUUGAUGGAUUGGAAAAAAAUAAGAAAAUUUAAAUGGGAACUCAAAUUCCUUUUCAUCCGGGAAGUAAAAUCAUCAUAACUAGUAGAAACCGAUGCCUANNNNNNNNNNNNNNNNNNNNNNNNNNNNNNNNNNNNNNNNNNNNNNNNNNNNNNNNNNNNNNNNNNNNNNNNNNNNNNNNNNNNNNNNNNNNNNNNNNNNNNNNNNNNNNNNNNNNNNNNNNNNNNNNNNNNNNNNNNNNNNNNNNNNNNNNNNNNNNNNNNNNNNAUGCAAGAAGUUUAGUGAAACACUGUGGUGGGCUUCCGUUAGCUCUUCAAGUUUUGGGCUCUUCAUUAUCUAGCAAAAGUGUGAGUUCUUGGAAAAGUGCAUUGGAGAAAUUGGAAGAAAUCCCUGACAGCAAAAUUCAAGAGAUUCUAAGAAUAAGCUAUGAUUCUUUGGAAGACGAUCAUGACAAAAAUUUAUUCCUUGACGUAGUUUGUUUAUUCAUUGGGAAGGAUAGAGAUUACACGACUACAAUUCUAGAUGGUUGUGAUUACUAUACAACAAUUGGAAUUGAAAAUCUAGUAGGCAGGUCUCUCUUAAUCAUUAAUGAAAAAAACAAGCUAAUGAUGCACCAAAUGAUUAGAGAUAUGGGACGAGAAAUUAUUCGUCAAGAAUCUUCUGAUAUUGGGAAACGAAGCAGAUUGUGGCAUAAGAAGAUGUAAUAAGAGAAAAAACUGUAAGAACAUCAUUUUACUCAACUUCUUUCUUGUGUGCAUUUAAACUUUUUUUUUUCAAAUUUCCUUUUACUUUGUAAAAAAGUUUUUCUGAUGCAGGGUUCCAGAACAGUUAAGUGCCUCACAAUUGACCUAAAAGGAUUGCUAGAAGACAAGGCUACAAGGACAAAUACAACUCUACAUUUUCCAAAGCAUUUCAUAAGUCAGUUUCUCAUGGCGAAUGAUGUUGAUAUGGAAACUCAAGCAUUUGCAAAGAUGAAGAGACUUAAACUGCUUCAACUGGAUUAUGUAAGACUUAAAGGAGACUUCAAAGACUUUCCCAAAAGAUUAAGAUGGUUACGUUGGCAUGGGUUUUGUAUGCAAUCUUUUCCGGUGGAUUUCGAUAUCAAUGAACUAGUUGUUCUCGACAUGCGCAACAGUAAACUUAAACAAGUUUGGAAGGAUACAGAGGUAUGAUAUAUACUAAUUUUCCUUCUUUUUGUGUUUGUGAGAAACAAUAAUAUAUAAAUGAAGGGUUUUCUUUUUUUGCAGUGCCUCCCAAAUUUAAAGAUCCUUAAUCUCAACCAUUCACAUAGCCUUCUUAAAACCCCAAGCUUUUCAGGACUCCCUAGCCUUGAGAAGUUGAUGCUCAAAGAUUGCAUAAAUUUGGUGGAAGUUGAUCAAUCCAUUGGUGAGCUAAAGAUGCUUACUUUCUUGAACCUUAAAGAUUGCACAAGUCUUAGGAAACUUCCAAGGACAAUUGGUUCAUUAAUAUCACUUGCAGAGCUUAUUUUAUCUGGUUGUUCAAGACUUGAUGAUGUCCCCAGGGAGUUGCAUAAUAUGAAAUCAUUGAAGGUGCUUAAUUUAGAUGACACUUCCAUAUGUCAAACAAGAUUGGGAUUGCAUUGGCUCUUACCGAAAAGAAGUAAAGAAUUGGGUUUCUUGGGCGUCUCUACCGUGCUCUUUGGUAAAGUUAAACCUUGAAAGUUGCAAAUUAUCUGAUGAUGUUAUGCCCAAUGAUCUUUACAACUUAGCUUCAUUGAAAUCCUUAAAUUUAAGUAGAAACCCAAUUCGUUACCUUCCCGAAAGCAUAAAAAAACUUACAAAACUUGAUGAACUUCUACUGACUUCUUGCACUGAACUCCAAAAGAUUCCAAAGCUUCCAGUCUUGCCCAAUGUUUUUGAGUUCUUGACAGUAUCUCCAUUUAAAGGAUAUUGGGCAAUUCUUCCAUGCUUCUUUUCUUCCACACGAUGUGUUAUUUUUGGAUGUGAAAAAUUGACCGAGGUUCAAGAUAUAUUCAAAUUGAAACCAAUUGAAAACUUUGAAGAAGAAGAAAUUCGAAGAUUAUUCAACCUGGAUUCCAUUAGCAGAAAUCGACUGCAACUUUAUAGCUACCUAACAGACAGCAUAAUGCUUGCUACCCCACAGGUCCAACAGUUCUCCAACUUAAAUUUUAACUUUAUUUUUUUUCUCUUAUAUUACUUAAUGAACACAUUUUUAAUCAUCUAACAUGUUUUUUUUUUGGAUCAGGUCUUGCAGGAAUGUGGUAUAACAAGCACAUUUGUUAUAGGAAGUGAAGUUCCGAUUGUGUUUAAGCAUCGCACUAAUGAGCACCGAAUCUCUUUUUCUUUGCCAACACCAUCUCAUCCAGAUGAAAAGAUCCAUCGGUUCAGCUUAUGCAUUGUUUUCUCUCUAGCUCGUGAUCAAAUAUUGGAGUUUCUACCAAGUGUCCACAUUUUCAAUGAGACCAAAAGGAUCAUGCAGAGAUAUGGCUCAAGUUUCAUCGGAAUUCCUGAGACUAACGAUAACACAAUGUUGUGGUUGAUCCAUUGGCCAGUAACGGAUUGUGAGUUUGAAGGUGGUGACCUUGUGAGUUGCAUGGUAGUGCCUAUUCAUCUCAGCAUAAGAAAAUUUGGCGUUACUUAUGAAUCACAACACAACGUUAGAAAUAAAUAUGGCUUUUCACACUUAUCUACAGGUAUGACUAUGACUCCAAGUGAUUAUGUUUAUGGAAUAUUACCCCAUGCACUAUUAACACUUAUCUAAACUAAAGAUAUAUCCUUAUUGAAAUAAAAUUUUUUUUGACAAAGAAAAUAAUAAAUUAUAUGAAUAUUUAAUGUGGUUUCAAUGACAAGAUUAUAUAUUAGUGAAUACAUCCUAUUAUUUUUUUAAUGUUUCGUUUUAGAUGUAAAUAACAAAUGAUUAAGAAAUGAUAAAUGUUGCAAUUGGGAUUUAAUUAAAAUAAUUUAAUUGUUUGAAAAAUGAUUAAUCCUAUUGUUAGUUUACAAGUCUUAUAAUACAUUUUAGUGAUAUAAUAUUCGUAUUUUGAUUUUUUUCAUAUAAUAUUAAGAGAAAGGGAUGGGGUCACACGGUUUGAAUCUGUAUCAAAUAGAUGUUGGACAAAAGCUUGAACCAGCAACCUAUUCAAGUCAAGACUACUAUUUUAAUAUUCUAAUAUGCAUAUCAUGUUGAUGAUCACUAGAAUUGAUAAAUAACACAUUAUUGUACAUAUUUUAGGAGAUGAAGUUGCCACAAGAAAUAUGAUGAUGGAUCUAACUAAAGACUUACCCAGUUUGGAAUCUUAUGGAAAUGUUAAAGUGCAACUUUGCAGUUAUAUAGAAGAAUCAAAAGUGGUUGCUUCCCCACAGGUUCCCUUUACAAGUUUCAACUUUUAAAAAAUAUUUAUAUACUAUUUUUUAAAAUCUUAUUCAAUAACCCAAUGUUACAGGUAUUAUACGAUUACGGCAUAAUUACAAUAGUUGAUCCAUUGCCAUUUGAUUACAAUGGCCACUAUUUUGGCCAUCAAGCUGGCAAGACUGAGGUUUCAAUAUCAGUGCCCCCAAACUCUAGUCGAAAGAUAAGUUGCUUCUUAAAUUCGAUUAUCAUUUUUUCUGCCAAGAAUGAUAAAACAUAUAGAUUUUUACCAUGCCUUGAAAUUGUGAACGAGACCAAAGGUACAAAGUGGACCUACUCCAAACAUUUCAUGGGAAUUCCUGAAAUUAAGAAUACCUUAUACUGGACGACUUGUUGGAACUUUAGGGGUGAUGAACUAGAAGCUGGUGAUUGUAUUAGUCUGCGGGUUCUUUCAAAUUUAUCUGUACUAGAAUUUGGGAUUGACCUUGUAUAUGAUUAUGAGCUAGAUGGUAACCCAAAUUUUUUCAGUCAGUUACCAUGGAUGAGUAAAUGUUUUACGUAUCUUUUCGGGACUUUUGUUUCUCUGUUGUCACAAUCCCAAAAAAACUUGUAUAGGUUGCAAAGUUUAGUCAAAUGCUGAUUAUUGUAGGAAUUGAAAUGGAGCAAAUGAAUAUUUUGGUUUAGUCAUUGCCGCCUUGGCUUGGCUGAUUUCAUCUUAUAUUUAAUCUCUAAUUCUUAUGUAUGCUAUCGAUAUUGAUUUUUGCUCAAGUUCUUCAAUGAAGCACCUUGUUCUUGGUAAUUCAAUUAACUUGUGCUUUUAACCAGAUGUCGUGGAGUUAUUUUUAACUAUUAUUAGGCUAAAUCUUUAGAGAAAAUGGUGAUUUCUAUUUAUGUUUCUAAUAUUCACGCCUGUUUUCAUUGGAAGGGACUCUGGAAAAUCUCUAAGUACCAUGGCAAAGUGUUGGGUGUUUAUUCCUAACAAUAGGAAUUGAAAAGAUCUAUCUUUUGGUUUUGUAAGAUUUGCAAGAAUUAUGGAUGCUAAGAGGGCGAUUAGUAGACUUAAUUGAUUUUGUAUAUAUGGAAGUAAAGUGAAUGUGAACUUAGCUCGCUUUGAGGGAAGAGUGGUGUACUAAAAGAAAGUUGAAAAUGGUAAGCUAGGAGGUGAUGAUCGUAGAGAUGAAUUAGGAGUAGAAAACGAGAAAAAGCAUUCUUGGGAGAUGAUUUGAUUACUAUUUGUGGAACACUAGUUCCUAUAACUACAUAUGCUUGUUCAUAAUAGUUAUCUUAAAAUAUCGAACAAAUAUCAAUUGGAUGUUCUGGUUUAAAUAUAUAAUUUCAAGAGAAUGUAUUCGUACCUCAUUCUACCCAAGAUUUAUGUCAAAUCCAAACUGUUGUGAGUUGUUAGCCAUGAUGAAAAUCAAUUCUGUAACAGUUUAAUAGGGUGGAGUUAGAAAAUUUUUUGAAGGGAGGCCGAAAUAAAAUUAUAUAUUUUUAUAACAAUAAAAGUAAAAUUUUACUAUUUUAAUAGUCUACAUCUUUAUAAUUUUUAAAAAAUUAAAUUAAAAAUUUUUCGUUUUCACUCCAACUGUUUCACUCAACAUAAUAAAUUCAUUUAAAGUAGUGAAGACGAUGGGAUAAGCUAAUGUUGAUCGUAUGGGAUGUGAAAAAGCAAGUAAGAGCAGUAGACUAUGAAAACUCGUAAUAUAUUUAUAAACAUUUCUUACGUUACAUUUCAACCACCUCUUUAAUUCCACCAGAAUCCGGUACUACUCGCUCUUGAGUGUAAUUAUUCGAAUAGGGAUCAUAUCUCUUUUAUAGUGGAAUACUACUUUGUCUUAUUACAUGGGCUUGUUCAUAAGAGUUCUCUUAGAAUAUCGAACAAAUAUCAGUUGGGUAUUCUGGUUUAAAUAUUUAAUUUUCAAGAGAAUAUAUUCUUACUUCACUCUGUCCUCUCGAAGAUUCAUGUCAAAUCCAAACUGACGUGACGUGAGUUGAUAGUCAUGAUAGAAAUCAAUUCUCUAGCAUUUCAACGAGUUUUGCUCGUAAGUAAAAGUCUUUCGUAAAAAUAUUAGAUAAGUAAUUGGUAAAAAAUUUAAUUCAAAAGGCAACUAGUAAAGAGCUCUUUAAUAUUUUUCAACAUUCAUAAAGGGUUUUUAUGUACUUUUAUUGAAUGGAAUAGAUUUUUUUUUUCCUAAUAGAGGAACCACGAGAAGCAAAAUCUUUUCCAAAGAAUAUUCUUAGUUGAUCUAUUCAAAAUGUACUUGGCAACCAGUUCUUGCAAAGAAAAUCAUAAUAAUUUUUCCUGUUUGAAAUCCUAAAAAUCUUUUAAAUCAACCCAAUCAUCUCAUUCAAAUACUUUAUUAAUUUUACACAAAUUAUUCUUCGCAUCAACAAAUAUUAUUUAUCACCCACUUUCAUGCAAAAUUAUUUUUACUAUGCAAGGAAUUGUCUCCAUGAAUUACUGUCAUCUUUUAGUUUAAGAUGAGUAAAUUUCAACCAGUAAUAACUUUCUUGAUGAACACCAUAUCUAUUUUGAUGAUAUGACAUGCUUUCUUUUGGUUCAAGAAAGGCAAUCAAUGACUUGAAAUUGAACCAUGAUUUUAAAGGACUUGGGUUUAUAUAAGUGGUAAUUCAAUUUCCUUUUCCUUGUUGGAAAAGGAAUUCCAUUUUGACUUUAACAGUGAUUUUUAAGUUGUUGUUUUCUUAUUGUUAAUUAUUUAAAAAAUAAUCGCAUUUUAACUUGUAAACUUAAAUCUUAAACUAUUAUCAUUAUGUUUACUUUCUGAUGAUAAUUAACAAAAAUAUUUGGUUUUAAAAUUUUAAUACAAUCAAUGAAACGCAAUUCACAUAUAUGAAUAAUGAUGAAAUUUGACGUGAUUAAAAAAAUAUUAAAUUUUGUUAUAUUUUUAAUAAUGAAUAUAGGUAAAAUGGUAAUAAACCGGCAUUUUAAUGUCAUUUAAAACGUGUCAAAUAAAUAUUAGAUUAGAUAUUCAAUAUUAAUAAUCAAUAUAUAUUAAUUGAAUUAGACAUUAUAAUUAGUCAUGACUGUCGAAAUUUAAAAUUGUAAAAAUUAAUAUAUAUUGAAUUAAAUGACUACUAUACAUAAUCUUAUUCAAAUAAUAAUAAUGAAAAAAAGAGUGUUUAAGACAAUUUCGUUGUAUUUGUUUGUUCUAUGAUCCAACUAUGGUAGGUAAGCGUGAUGUAGGCUCAUCGUACUCCCAUCCAGUGGCUUUAAUUUGCUCUAAUGGAAUCGAAAAUGAAUCAAUCCUUUUAACUUCUUCUUCUUCCUCUUCAUCAUCGGAAAUCGACUUUAUUUCUAAAAAAAGUUUUGGGUCGAUUUUGGAGUUCCAAUCAAUAUCAUCGAUAUACAUAUCAGCUGCAUUACUUGGCAACUUAUUUGUGAAAGGAAAACGAUGAUAAUACUCCCAGAAUCUCUGUUUUGCUUCUUGGAAAGCUUUUAAACCAGCUGAAUCAUCCCAUUCGAAUACUUUAUCUAUUUUGAACAAAUUAUUCUUUGAUUCAACAAAUCUUUUCCAUGGCAUUGCACCCACUUUUAUGCAUAAAUUUUUCUCCCAUGAGGUAAUGGUUCCCAUGAAUUAUAGUUAUCAUUCAGUUUGAGACGAGUAAAUUUCGGACUGUAGUACCUUUCUGGGCGAUUAUGAUAUCUUCUUUGAUAGUAUGGCAUGAUUUCUUAUAAUCCAAACAAAUAAAUGAAUUGAAAUCGCUAAUGAUUUGAAUUUACAGUGAGGAGACCUGUUGGGUUUAUAUAAUCUUAUUAGAGUCGGUGGUGACUCAAUCCAUUUCCUUGUUGGAAAAGGAAUUCUAAUUUCAGUUUGACUAUGAUUUCUAUUUUCUAAAUUUUUGUAUAAUAAAAUUUUUAAAAAAUAACUAUAUCUGUAUUGAUUCGUUUCCCUCUGAUUGAUACGUUACAUCCCUAGCUUCUCUAGAAUCCUCAUUAACUAUCUGAUCUCUUCACCCAUUGGUGUUCCCCCAAGAGUGUUUUUUCUCGUUUUCUCCUCCUAAUUCAUCUCCACGAUCAUCACCUCCUAGCUUACCGUUUUCAACUUUCUUCCAGUACACCACUUUUCCCUUAAAGCGAGCUAAGUUCACAUUUACUUUACUUCCAUAUAUACAGAAUCCAUUAAGUUUACUAAUUGGCCACUUAUCAUCCACAAUGCUUGCAAAUCUUACUAAAACAAAACGUAUGUAGACCUUUUCGAUGCCUUUUGUUAGGAAUAAACGCGUCCAACACUUUGCCAUGGAACUCAGAGAUUUUCCAUGGUCCCUUCCAAUGAAAACAAGAAGGAAGAUUAGAAACAUAAACUGAAAUCACCAUUUUCUCUAAGGAUUUAGCCUAGUAAUAGUUAACAAUAACUCCACGGCAUCUGAUUAAAAGCACAAGUUAAUUGAAUUACCAAGAACAAUGUUCUUCAAUACUAUUCCAAAUUCAAUUUUGGAACUUCUGUUAUCAUAGCUUUCAACUAUUUGAAACUCUGUUGGCAUUAUUCAAUCACACAUAACUAACAUUUUCUGUAGCAACUUCGUCAUGGUAGAGCUAUCAUCGACAAGCCUGAACAAAUCACCUGUAGUAUACAAUAAAUCCUAGAGAACUACACACUUCUAUAUUAUUUUUCAGAGAUUCCCUAAUUCACAUUUAUCAGGAGUUUAUUCGAAAUAACUCAAAUAUCUUCUGCUGUUAAUAAAAGGUUUAGAAAACUUAUUUCUUGAAAUUAAAAUUCACAUUUAUUGAUUUUCACAAAUAAUUAUUUCUCUCGUAAUAUCUGUACGUAACACUGUUUUUCCAAUACUAAUCGUGUUCAAAUUUUUUCUUCACAUGAAUUGAGUAUCUUUAAUUAUAUAGCAACAACUCUGAUAAGAUACAACUAGAAACUUUUUGUCUAUUAAAUAUAUAAAGUGACUAUGCAAUUGAUAAUCAUAUACAAUAAUCAACAUUUGUCUAAACUUUGCAACCUAUACAAGUCUUUUUGGGAUUUCGACGAAACAUAAACAAAAAUCCCGAGAAGAUACUUAAAACAUUUACUCAUCCAUGGCAACUGACUGAAAAAAUUUGGGUUGUCUUCUAGCUCAUAAUCAUAUACAAGGUUAAUACCAAAUUCUAGCACAGAUAAAUCUGAAAGAACCCGAAGACUAAUAUGAUCACCAGCUUCUAAUUCAUCACUUCUAAAGUUCCAACAAGUCGUCCAGUAUAAGGUAUUCUUAGUUUCAGGAAUUCCCAUGAAAUGUUUGGAGUAGGUCCACUUUGUACCUUUGGUCUCGUUCACAAUUUCAAGGCAUGGUAAAAAUCCAUAUGUUUUAUCAUUCUUGGCAGAAAAAAUGAUAAUCGAAUUUAAGAAGCAACUUAUCUUUCGACUAGAGUUUGGGGGCACUGAUAUUGAAACCUCAGUCUUGCCAGCUUGAUGGCCACAGUAAUGACCAUGGUAAUCAAAUGGCAAUGGAUCAAAUGUUGUAAUUAUACUGUAAUCAUAUAAUACCUGUAGCAUUGGGUUAGAGAAUGAGUUAUUAAAAAGUAUAUAGUAUAUAAAUAAUUUUAAAAACUUGGAACUUGUAAAGGGAACCUGUGGGGAAGCAAUCACUUUAGAUUCUUCUAUAUAACUGCAAAGUUGCACUUUAACAUUUCCAUAAGAUUCCAAACUGGGCAAGUGUCUAGUUAGGUCCAUCUUGAUAUUUCUUGUGGAAACUUCAUCUCCUAAAAUAUGUACAAUAAUGUGUUAUUUAUCAAUUUUAGUGAUCAUCAACAUAAUUUACUUAUUAAAAAAAUAAUAGUAUUGACUUGAAUGGAGUGAUAAUUAUCAAACACCCAUUUGACAAGAAUUCAAAUCGUGACCCAUCCCCAAUACUCAAUAUUGUAUGAAAAAAAGAUAUCAAAAUAGUAAUGUUAUUAUCACUAAAAUAUAUUAUAAGACUUGUAAGAAAUAAUCAAUUAUACACAUUAAAUAACUUUAAAACUAUUAAAUAAGUUAAUCAAAACACCACUUUUAUAAUUUUAUCCAUUAUUUUAGUUUCCACUUCUAUUAGCUAUUGGAUUAAUCAUUUAUCAAACAAUUAAAUUAUUUUCAUUAGACCCCAAUUGCAGCAUAACUUUAUAAUUAUCAUUUUAUUAUUAAGCUAAAUUUCUCUCAUAAUCUAUUAAAUUGUCACAUUUCUUGAUAAUAUUUUUUAUUGUAUUAGAAAGUCUUUUAGAGAAACAUUCAUCAUUUCUUGAACAUUUGUUAGUCACAUAUAAAAUAAAUAUAAUAGGACGUAUUUACUAAAAUAUAAUUAUUUGAAGUCUACUCAUACCUGUAGAUAAGUGCGAAAAGCCAUAUUCAUAUCUAAUGUUGUGUUCUGAUUCAUAAGUAACGCCAAAUUUUCUUAUGCUGAGAUGAAUAGGCACUACCGCGCAACUCACAAGGUCACCAGCUUCAAACUGACAGUCCGUUACUGGCCAAUGAAUCAACCACAACAUUGUGUUAUCGUUAGUCUCAGGAAUUCCAAUGAAACUUGAGCGAUAUCUCUGCAUGAUCCUUUUGGUCUCAUUGAAAAUGUGGACACUUGGUAUAAGCUCCAACAUUUGAUCACUAGCUAAAGAGAAAACAAUGCAUAAGCUGAACCGAUGGAUCUUUUCAUCUGGAUGAGAUGGUGUUGGCAAAAAAAAAGAGAUUCGAUGCUCGGUAGUGCCAUGCUUAAACCCAAUCGGAACUUCACUUCCUACAACAAAUGUGCUUGUUAUACCACAUUCUUGCAAGACCUGAUCCAAAAAGAACUAGUUAGAUGAUUAAGUAGUAUAAGAGAAAAAAUAGAUUUAAAAUUUAACUUGGAGAACUAUUGGACCUGUGGGGUAGCUAGCAUUAUGCUGUCUGUUAGGUAGCUAUAAAGUUGCAGUCGAUUUCUGUUAAUGGAAUCCACUUUGAAUAAUCUUCUAAUCUCUUCUGCUUCAAAGUUUUCAAUUGGUUCCAACUUGAAUAGAUCUUCAACCUCAGUCAACUUUUCACAUCCAAAAAUAAUACAUCGUGUGGAAGAAAAGAAGCAUGGAAUAAUUACCGUAUAUCCAUGAAAUGAAGAAUUGUCUCCAAAAAUAAACUUGCACUCAAAAACAUUGAGCAAGACCGGAAGCUUUGGAAUCAUUUGGAGUUCAGUGCAAGAAGUCAAUAGAAGUUCUUCAAGUUUUGUAAGGUUUUUUAAGCUCUCGGGUAGGUAAUGAAUUGGGUUUCUACUUAAAUUUAAGGAUUUCAAGGAAGCCAAGUUACAAAGAUCAUUGGGCAUGACAUCAUUAGAUAAUUUGCAACUUUCAAGGCUUAACUUUACCAAAGAGUCCGGUAGAGAUGCCCAAGAGAAACCCAAUCCUUUGCUUCUUUUCAGUAAGAGCCAAUGCAACCCCAAUCUUGAUUGAUAUAUGGCAGUUUCAUCUAAAUUAAGCACCUUCAAUGAUUCCAUAUUAUGCAACUCCCUAGGAACAUCAUCAAGUCUUGAACAACCAGAUAAGAUAAGCUCUUCAAGUGAUAUUAAUGAACCAAUUGUCCUUGGAAGUUUCCUAAGACUUGUGCAAUCUUUAAGGUUCAAGAAAGUAAGCAUCUUUAACUCACCAAUGGAUUGAUCAAUUUCCACCAAAUUUAUGCAAUAUUUGAGCAUCAACUUCUCAAGGCUAGGGAGUCCUGAAAAGCUUGGGGUUUUAAGAAGGCUAUGUGAAUGGUUGAGAUUAAGGAUCUUUAAAUUUGGGAGGCACUGCAAAAAAAGAAAGCCCUUCAUUAAUUAUAUAUUAUUGUUUCACACACACACAAAAAGGAGUAUUAGUAUAUAUCAUACCUCUGUAUCCUUCCAAACUUGUUUAAGUUUACUGUUGCGCAUGUCGAGAACAACUAGUUCAUUGAUAUCAAAAUCCACCGGAAAAGAUUGCAUCCAAAACCCAUGCCAACGUAACCAUCUUAAUCUUUUGGGAAAGUCUUUGAAGUCUCCUUAAGUCUUACAUAAUCCAGUUGAAGCAGUUUAAGUCUCUUCAUCUUUGCAAAUGCUUGAGUUUCCAUAUCAACAUCAUUUGCCAUCAGAAACUGACUUUUGGAAUGCUUUGGAAAAUGUAGAGUUGUAUUUGUCCUUUUAGCCUUGUCUUCUAGCAAUCUUUUUAGGUCAAGUGUGAGGCACUUAACUGUUCUGGAACCCUGCAUCAGAAAAACUUUUUUAAAAAAUAAAAAGAAAUUUGAUAAAAAAAAAGUAGAUUACAUGCACACAAGAAAAAAGUUGAGUAAAAUGAUGUUUCUUACAAUUUUUUCUCUUAUUACAUCAAAGGCGUUCUUAUGCCACAAUCUGCUUCGUUUCCCAAUAUUAGAAGAUUCUUGACGAAUAAUUUCUCGUCCCAUAUCUCUAAUCAUUUGGUGCAUCAUUAGCUUGUUUUUUUCAUUAAUGAUUAAGAGAGACCUGCCUACUAGAUUUUCAAUUCCAAUUGUUGUAUAGAAAUCACAACCAUCUAGAAUUGUAGUCGUGUAAUCUCUAUCCUUCCCAAUGAAUAAACAAACUAUGUCGAGGAAUAAAUUUUUAUCAUGAUCGUCUUCCAAAGAAUCAUAGCUUAUUCUUAGAAUCUCUUGAAUUUUGCUGUCAGGGAUUUCUUCCAAUUUCUCCAAUGCACUUUUCCAAGAACUCACACUUUUGCUAGAUAAUGAAGAGCCCAAAACUUGAAGAGCUAACGGAAGCCCACCACAGUGUUUCACUAAACUUCUUGCAUAUGCCAUUAAACUUUCAGGCACAGAGUUAUGACCAAAAGCAUACCAAUUAAAAAGUUGCAGCGAUUCACUUGAUGCUAAUUCUUUUACUUCAAAUAGCUUGCUUAAGCCUCCACAACUAGUUGAUGCUUCCAACUCAAACAUUUGGCUUAUAAAAUGUGCAUUCAAUAGGCAUCGGUUUCUACUAGUUAUGAUGAUUUUACUUCCCAAAUGAAAAGGUAUUUGAGUUCCCAUUAAUUUUCUUAUUUUUUCCAAUUCAUCAACAUCAUCAAGAACAAGAAGAACUCUUCUACAACAUACAAUUUCUUUGAUCUUGUUAAUUCCAUUAUCUAUAUUGUAUAUUUUAUAGUGUAUUUCCUUUAAGGAUAUCUGAAAUAAGUUGCCUUUGCAAACGGACUAAACCAUUGCAAUCUGGACUUGUUUCUCUAACAUCAGCAAGGAAACUAUAACCUUCAAACCUCGGGAUGUUUUGAUUGUAAACAACUUUGGCAAUGGUUGUCUUCCCAAUGCCGCCAAUGCCACAAAUAGUUGCAAUGCCAACUUUAUUUGCUCCAUCUUGUUCUAACCAUUGAUUAAUUUGUGUCACGAGAGAAUCUAUUCCAACUAAAUAAGGAGGGACAUACAAAGAAAUAAGAUGAAGUUUAUUUUGAACUUCUUUAACAAUAUCUUGAAUGAAUUGUGAUUCAUGCCUGCAAAUUUAAAAAAUACAACUCAAUGGUAAAAUUUUAGAAAUUAAGUAAAAGUUACUAAUGCAUUUUCUCUUUUCUUGCAUAUAUUUUGAUUGUUUUUAUGAGAUUAUAUGUUCAAAUAAAAAUAAGAAACUAAUGCAACAUUUCAACAUAUAUGAUAGAAUUAUUGCAUUCAAAAUCAAAUCAAAUCAAAUAAAGCAACAUAAAAAUUAAUGAAAUUCAUUUGAGAAACAACCUAUACUCUAAAUUUCAACUUUCUCUUUGUGAAAGUUUAAUAACAUGAAUUUAUAUAUUUAUUUUUUAUUCAUUGUAAUAUUUUGAAUAUGUGUAGACCCAUUACACGAAUAACUUAGAUAUAAUUGUUGCAAAUAUACUACUGCAAAAUAGAAUUGUUACAAGAGACCAAACUGAAUGUCAAUAAAAUAAGAAUCAUUGUGUCGUGAAAGAAUCACUGCAUUAGAGGCAAAUUCGCCUUGAUCGGUGUAAUCGUAUAGUGGACGUUACCCCCCAACAAAAUACUCCAAUAUUCGUACACCCGAAGGUGGAACAUGAUUAACAUUACUUUUCCCAAAAAAAAAGUUCAAUUCCCAAGAAAGAUUAAGGAGGUCACAAACAGUCUCGCUUAAAACCUAAUCUCUUAGACAAAAUUUCCCUCUCGUGUAAUUUUGCAGAACACUAGAAUUUAGAGAACAUAGAGAAGUUGUUUUUCUCUUGUUGUGUUAGGUGGGAGAAUGACCUCCUAUUUAUACUGUUUUUUGAUGGGCAAAAUGGUAAAAUAAUAGUUUUAAUUUCCAAAAAUAGUAAAUGAUUUUCCUAACUGAAAAUAUUCUAAAAAUAUUUUCUGCAACGAUUUUCUGCAAUUCAAAAUAUUCUUUUGCAUUAUCAACAAUGACAUCUUAGAAAACCACAAAUAGUGUCAUUAAAUUCAAGAGGCUAUUUCUUUUUGUUUUCAACUCGUCAAAUCCAAGUUGUUCAUGUGAUUUAAAAACAUCCCACAUUAGAUUCGAGCUAAUAUUUAAUGCUUAAGCUGAUGACUUGUUUGAUAGAAAGACCAUAUUCAUACAAUACUAAUAUUUUAAUGACUCAAUUAAAACAUGUUAAUGUUUCUGAGUUAUAAUUAACCCUUUAAAAUGGAUUGAUGUAACCAUUUUAAUUUCCAAACGCUACCUAACAAUAUUUUCUAUUAAUUUUAUUUCUACUCUAUCAAGUCUUAAUGAAAAGGAUUGAAGUAACCAUAUGGAAUUGGAUUAUGUGUAUAACGUACCUGUCUUGCAGAACCAUGCCUCCUAUAUCCGCAACUUCUUUUAAAGCAUUUCUCCAUCUUUGUACCAUGUUGGUUUCGGACUCGAAGUUUUGUUCAUGUUGGGUAAAUGCUUCUGCAUAACUUCCCGUCUGAUUCUUGACUUGACUCGGAUCCACAUCAUAGAAAACUGGCAACACACUAUGUUUAGAGGAUUUCUUGUGCUCCAAUAUCAUUACAAGUUCGUUAAGACACCAUGUGGAUGCAGCAUAAUUCUUUGAGAAAACAACGAUAGAAAUUUUGGAGUGAUGUAGUAUUGCUUUUUCAAUUUCAUCUUUUAUGUUAUUCCCUCUCUCGAUUUCCUCAUCAUCUCUAAAUGUUUGAAUUCCUAAGUGCACCAAAGCUGUGUAAAGAUGAUCCGUGAAACUUUUGCGCGUAUCUUCACCUCUAAAACUCAAGAAUACAUGAUAACUACAUCGCGAGAUUUCUGACAUUGCCAUUGAAGAAGAAAAUGAAGCCGUCCUGUANNNNNNNNNNNNNNNNNNNNNNNNNNNNNNNNNNNNNNNNNNNNNNNNNNNNNNNNNNNNNNNNNNNNNNNNNNNNNNNNNNNNNNNNNNNNNNNNNNNNCAAAGCAGAUAUUAUUAGCAGUCAAGUGGCAGUUCCCAAUCCAUGGUGGGUCAAUCCUUCCACCAGUUCAUACAACUGCCCGAAGAAAUUCAUGUCGGCCGUGUUGUUUUUUUCCAAAUCUACCAACUUGGGUUACGUAUUCUAUAUUAUUAAUUUUGCUUGACAAAUACAAUCUAUUGAUUAACUUGAUGGUUAUAGCUAACACAACACGUAAUAUAGACAUCAUCUUCAGGCUAAUAUUAGUAAAAAUACUAUGAAGGUUGUUGUAUUUUAAGUCAUACUAUAUUUUGUUUCCUCUACUUAAAAAAUAAUAAAUUAGUUAUUGUAUAUUAGAUUAGAAAGUAAACUAGUUCUUUUGUUAAAAAAUUUAUCCAUUGUUAUUGUUAAAAAUUAGUCCAUGUAAUAAACAUGAGGUACAUGUGACACGUCACAUGCAACUAUCUAAUUAUUUCGUCAUUCACGUUAGUUUUUAACAACAAAAAUGGAUGAAACUUUUAAUAAAAAUGAUAAAUUUAUUCUUUUAUCUAUGUAUAUGGACUAAUUUGCUUGUUUUUAAAUAAAAUGGGUUAAAUACAAUUUGACUCUCAAUAGAAUGAUCUCCAUGAUACUUUUACCGGCUAAUACCUUGGUGGAUACACUCAAUAAUUAAACCACAACCACAAUAUAUCACAUAGACAUCACAUUAAACAUUCAAGUUCAGUAUAGUAAAGAAACAAUUUUAGUAUCUAUGCAUGAAUGAAGAAUUAAUUGUUUUAGAAAAAGAAUUGGUGAUUAAAUUGAUCAGGUCGUCAAUUUUUUAUUUGAUUUAUUCGUGUUAUCUAAAGUAAAUAAAUUUUUAAAAAUUAAAAAAUAAUAAAAAUUCACGUAUAUUGCACGUUAAAGUAAAUUGAAAAUGAGAAUUGAGAGGGACAUAAGAGAAGGAGAAUAAUUCCGAAGUCAUGCUUAAGGAAAUUAGUGGCACUAGAAAACGCGUUUCAAUCGCUUUUCAUUUCGGAGUCAUGCUUACGGUCCAUUUGGUGCUCACCAUUUUUAUUAAAAAUAUUAUCUGAAUAGAGUUUUUCAACAGAGGUAGUAGAAAGGAAGGAAAACGUCAAAGUUGUACACUUUAAAAAAAUUAUAUUAUCAGACCUUAAACAAUGAUUUGUCGGCCUUAAAUUAGCAAUUAAAGAGGAUGGGAUAAGGGUAAGGUUGAGUAAUUGAUUCAAAAUUUCAUGCUGAGGGCAACUAGCACAAAAUUGUUUAAAUAUUUUCCAGUACUCAUUAAGGAUCUUCAUAUCCUUUUUGUGGUAUGGCAUAGAUUUCUUUCCUAAUUGAAGCACAAAGUGAAGAAAAAGAAAAUUCAACGAAUAUUCUUACCAUAUCUAUUUUAAAAUUUUAAUAUAAUUAAUGAAAAACAAUUCACAUAUAUGAAUCAUCAAAUUUGAGGUGCUUAGAGAAUCCCAUGUGAUGGCCUGAUGAUUAAGGUUGUUCAAAAUACAUGAAUGAUAAAAUUUAACGUGAUUAAAUAAAUAUUGAAUUUUGUUAUAUUUUUAAUAAUAAAUAUAGGUAAAAUGGUAAUAAAUUGGUAUUUUAAUGCCAUUAAAAACGUGUCAGAUAAAUAUUAGAUUAGAUAUUCAAUAUUAAUAAUCAAUAUAUAUUAAUUGAAUUAUACAUUAUAAUUAAGGAUGAGUGUCGAAAUUCAAAAUUGUAAAUAUUAAUAUAUAUUGAAUUAAAUUACUACCAUACAUAAUCUUAUUCAAAUAAUAAUAAUGAAAAAAAUGAGUGUUUAAGACAAUUUCGUUGUAUUUGUUUGUUCUAUGAUCCAACUAUAGUAGGUAAGCGUGGUGUAGGUUCAUCGUACUCCCAUCCAAUGGCUUUAAUUUGCUCUAAUGGAAUCGAAAAUGAAUCAAUCCUUUUAACUUCUUCUUCCUCUUCAUCAUCGAAAAUUGACUUUAUUUCCAAAAAAAAGUUUUGGAUCAAUUUUGGAGUUCCAAUCAAUAUCAUCUAUAUACAUAUCUGUUGCAUUACUUGGCAACUUAUUUGUGCAACGAAAACGAUGAUAACAUUCCCAGAAUCUAUGUUUGGCUUUCUAAAAAGCUUUUAAACCAGCUGAAUCAUCCCAUCAGAAUACUUUAUCGGUUUUCAACAAAUUAUUCUUUGAUUCAACAAAUCUUUUCCAUGGUAUUGCACCCACUUUUAUGCAGAAUUUUUUCUCCCAUGCUGGUAAUGGUUCCCAUGAAUUAUUGUUAUCAUUCGGUUUGGGACGAGUAAAUUUCUUUUUUUUAGUAACUUUGUUGGCGAUUAUGAUAUCUUCUUUGAUAGUAUGACACGAUUUCUUGUAAUCCAAACAAAUAAAGGAAUUGAAAUCGCUAAUGAUAUGGAUUUACAGCGAGGGGACUUGUUGGGUUUAUAUAUAAGAUUAUUAGAGUUGGUGGUGACUCAAUCCUUUUCCAACAAUUCUAAUUUCAGUUUGAUUAUUGAUGGGUGUCGAAUCCACCAAUAUAAACCUACACCUAAUUUUGCAAAUUUAAACAGUAUAAGGAGUAGGGUCGAUCCCUCAGAGACUGGGUUUACUGCAAAUUGUUGCUCUCUUGACCAGAUUUAUGUCGGGGCAGUUGUCGUGCCCAAGAAAUUUGGGGGAAGGAUAAAAUCGAAAACCUGGAACCUGAAAUAAAUAAAUAAAUAAAAUGAGUAAAAAGUAAAAGCUGCAAAUAAAUAAUAAAAGGCAGUUAAAUAAAUCUGAAGAAAAAUUAAUUAAAAUAAGCUCAGCUUUAGGCACGGAUUUUUCCUCGUCUUUGAACCAAUCCUCGAAAUUAGAUGAACUCCUCUUUUCCAAUAAGCUAGUUAUAGCUACCAAGGACGCCUCGGACACCAACUCUUCCUUGUGUAAAUUAGUUAUGGAACGUCCAAUAACUAACCCUUACCAAUCGAACAACCACGAAACGUUCGUGAUUUAGAACUUCUGCAGCUUUGCGUUCUAGAAGAGCCUAGCUCGAACCAAUGCCCUCAACCGCGUGGGNNNNNNNNNNNNNNNNNNNNNNNNNNNNNNNNNNNNNNNNNNNNNNNNNNNNNNNNNNNNNNNNNNNNNNNNNNNNNNNNNNNNNNNNNNNNNNNNNNNNNNNNNNNNNNNNNNNNNNNNNNNNNNNNNNNNNNNNNNNNNNNNNNNNNNNNNNNNNNNNNNGAUCUGACUUUGUGAGUUGACAAAAUCAUACUCUUAAUCCGAAGAAAUAAUAAGUACUGGAAUUUAGGGUGUGUAACUCACGGGUUUUGACGAGGCUAAUUCCGGCCUAAAGCUGAAAUGGAUACUUAAUAAAAAAAACUUGGUAAUAAAAAACUUGAUUAAUAACUUGAUUCAAGACUUGAUGAUAAAAUGAACAAAGUAGUCCACUAUUUAUACUAGUGGCUUUGCUAAAUUAAGAGCCAACUAGUAUAGAAAAUCAAGGAAUAAAAUAUUAAAAAUCCCUACAUAAUCUCCCACUAAGUCAACAAAAAUUUCAGCUAAUUAAUCUUGGAAAAAUUCUACUUUGGUCCUCCUUCUUUGCUUCUUUCUUCAAUCUAGCCCAAUUGUCUCAUUUUUCUUCUAUUUAGCCCCAAAUUGCACUCCUACACAAAAUUCAACAAAAACAUGGAAAAAUUAGUGUUGCACUCUCAUAAAUUAACCAAUUUAAUUACAUAAAAUAUGUAACUUUAGCAUUUAAACAAAUCCCCCUACUUAGCUUAUGCUAGUCCUCGAGCAUUUUGUAUGUAUCUACAAAAAGAAAAAAAAUUUCUCCAAAAUAGGGCUUGACCACCAUGAUUUGCACAAUUCAACAAUUUAAUCCUAGCACAUUAACAUCUCAAAUAACCUAGCCUAAGAAGUAAGUAAAUAUAUUUCAGAAUUUAUUAGAGCUUGAUAGACCUACCCCUAAUUUAUUUUUAUUUAUAAUAAUAAUAAUAAUUUUUUGUGUACUUAGGACAUUUUCGAAUUUUUUUUACGCGAGACAAGAUGACAACCCAAGCACCAUGUUCUGGUUACUCGAUUCGGAUGUCUCUAAGCGGGUUAUUUCGCCCUACUCGUGAUAGCUUGUUAACGGAGUGAGUGCAAAGAAAUUAUAUAGUCACACUUUGCGCGAGAUGUGAUGACAACCCAAGCACCACAUUCCGGUUACUCAGCCUGAUGUACAACCCCAAUAUUUCACUCUUAACAUUCGUAUCAGAUGAGUAUUUAUUCAUUUCUUCUUUUUUUCUCUUUUUUUUCUCUCUUUGUUUUUUUAAAGAAGAGAAGGAAAAAAAUUGAGAUGUGAUAUGAGGUAGGCAGUCAAGCAAACUCAUAAUUCCUAAAAAAAAAAAUCUUUCCCACUACGUCUAGCCUAUUGAAAAGUUUGUGUAAAGAACUAAAUAGCUAAAUAGGUCAAACCAUAAGUGUACCAUCCUAAUUUAUCAAAAGAAAAAUUUUACCUUUCACGAAAAAUAUGCAAAAACAACGACAACGAAUAAGCAAAAUAGAACUAAUAUAUGUUCCCUUCCCCCUACUUAUUUUAUAUUGUCCCUAAUGUAAUUUGAAUUGAAUUAAAUGAUAAAAAGUAAAGGUAAGUAGGGAAAGGAAAAAGAAACUCUCGAUGUAUUUCAACGUCGUGGAGGGUUGCCUAGUAGGUGUGUCCACGGUGUUAAAUGGUGGGUAGGUGGAUUGGGCCUUUGCUGAAAUUAAAAGAAUUUUGUAGGCUGACAUGGGGGAUUUAAUUUUGUCUUGGAAUGUCUCCCUGUUAUUCAAAUUUUGGGCUCCUCGAGAACAAUUGUAAGUGUUGCUAGUCCCCGGCAACGUCGCCAAAGCUGAUGGGUGUCGAGUCCACCAAUAUAAACCUACAUCUAAUUUUGAAAAUUCAAGCAGUAUAGGGAGUAGGGUCGAUCCCUCGAGACUGGGUUUACUGCAAAUUGUUGCUCUCUUGACCAGAUUUAUGUCGGGGCAGUUGUCGGGCCCAAGAAAUUUGGGGGAAGGAUAAAAUCGAAAACUUGGAACCUGAAAUAAAUAAAUAAAAUGCGUAAAAAGUAAAAGCUGCAAAUAAAUAAUAAAAGGCAAUUAAAUAAAUCUGAAGAAAAAUUAAUUAAAAUAAGCUCAGCUUUAGGCAUGGAUUUUUCCUCGUCUUUGAACCGAUCCUCAAAAUUAGAUGAACUCCUCUUUUCCAAUAAGCUAGUUAUAGCUACCAAGGACGCCUUGGACACCAACUCUUCCUUGUGUAAAUUAGUUAUGGAGCGUCCAAUAACUAACCCUUACCGAUCGAACAACCACGAAAUGUUUCGUGAUUUAGAACUCCUGCAGCUUUGCGUUCUAGAAGAGCCUAGCUCGAACCAAUGCCCUCAACCGCGUGGGACAUUUAAAUCCAGUUACUACUUCCCUUGACGGAACCAAACAGCAAUCUCCACUUGGCACGCCAAUGUGUUCACAGAAAACCGAUUGGAAACGUUCCUUUCGGAAUUCCAACUGUACGUCUAACCACACUAAAUCAAACGACGUCUUUUUUGACUUAAUGUUGAUCUGACUUUGUGAGUUGACAAAAUCAUACUCUUAAUCCGAAGAAAUAAUAAGUACUGGAAUUUAGGGUGUGUAACUCACGGGUUUUGUCGAGGCUAAUUCCGGCCUAAAGCUGAAAUGGAUACUUAAUAAAAAAAACUUGGUAAUAAAAAACUUGAUUAAUAACUUGAUUCAAGACUUGAUGAUAAAAUGAACAAAGUAGUCCACUAUUUAUACUAGUGGCUUUGCUAAAUUAAGAGCCAACUAGUAUAGAAAAUCAAGGAAUAAAAUAUUAAAAAUCCCUACAUAAUCUCCCACUAAGUCAACAAAAAUUUCAGCUAAUUAAUCUUGGAAAAAUUCUGCUUUGGUCCUCCUUCUUUGCUUCUUUCUUCAAUCUAGCCCAAUUGUCUCAUUUUUCUUCUAUUUAGCCCCAAAUUGCACUCCUACACAAAAUUCAACAAAAACAUGGAAAAAUUAGUGUUGCACUCUCAUAAAUUAACCAAUUUAAUUACAUAAAAUAUGUAACUUUAACAUUUAAUGAAUUAUGAUUUCUAUUUUCUAAAUAUUUGUAUAAUAAAAUUAUUAAAAAAUAAUUAUAUUUGUAUUGAUAAUAUUUUCUUAUUAAAUGAGUUUUAUAAGUUAAAUAGCAAUCAAACCAAGACUGGGAGACUGAACUGCAUUAGGUCUUGGGGGUGAUCCAUCGCUUCAACCACUAUCUACUAUCCACCAUCCACCAUCUACAUCCUUCCCCUAUAUAAACUCUGCAAAUAUAUAUAUAUAGAGAGAGAGAGAGAGCGACACACACACACACAAAUUAUGGAAGGCAGGAAAGUUAGAUAUCAAAUACGGUUGCAUGGUGGUUUCACAGCCGCUAUUUCAAAAUAGCUAAAGAUCUCAUUAGUUGUGUGAACAAAUUUCAUAUGUUCUUCGAAAUCCAAAGCAGAAAAAUCACAUACAGAGGCUGGGAUCAGAUAACUGAUACUCAUGUACAAAUUUAAGGGCUUCGAAUUUACCUCAUUUGAUCAGAGUCGUGGUGAGAUGCUCGUUUGGGACAAAGAUCCGUACGAAGAGAGAUGAGGGUAGGAAGGAGUUCUUAAAAAACACAAAGGGUUAAAAUCUUCUAUUAGUCCCUGUACUUUGUAAAAGUUGUGAAUUCAGUUCCUAUCUUUUAAUUUGAAUAAUUUCAGUCCCUUUACUUUUUGAAGUAGUAGUUACAUCCAUUAAGUUCAAUUACUAGUAUUGCACUACACGUAUGGUUGUAGGCUUAGUCUAUAUGCCCUAAUUGGAUCAUUCUAAGUCUCUAUACUUUUUAAAUUUUAAAAUUUUAAUCUCGAUGUAAAUGAUAGUUAUUAAUCAAUUAAUUAGAUUUUUAGUGAGUAAUAUGCGAAAAUAAAAAAAGCUAACAUGACAUUAUACAUAGGAUAAUAUGUAGAUUUGGAUUUGGAUCUUUGGGAACAUGUAGAAGAGGAUUACGAGGUCCCACCACUUCCAGCAAAUCCUACUGUGGCACAGAUUAAAGCACAAAAGGAAAAGAAAACAAGGAAAUCAAAGGCAAAAUCUUGCUUAUUUGCAGCUGUGUCUCAAAUGAUUUUUACACGAAUAAUGUCUCUGAAAUCAGCAAAGGAAAUUUAGGAUUACCUCAAGGCUGAGUAUGAAGGAGAUGAGAGGAUUCGUAGAAUGAAAGUCCAGAAUCUAAUCAGGGAUUUCGAGUUGCAGAAGAUAAAGGAGUCUGAGUCAGUGAAAGAAUAUUCUGACAGACUUCUCAGUAUUGCCAACAAGGUGAGAUUGCUUAGUUCUGAGUUGAACGACUCUAGAAUCGUAGAAAAGCUACUGGUCACUGUUCCAAAGAAGUUUGAAGCCACCAUUACUACUCUGGAGAACACCAAGGACAUGUGUCAAAGAUCUCUCUUGCAGAGCUCUUGAAUGCUUUACAAGCACAAGAGCAAAGAAGAUCCAUGAGGCAAGAGGGAGUGAUAGAAGGGGCCUUACCUGUCAAGCAUCAAGACAAUAAUAGGUAUAAAAAGAAGAAAAAUUUUAAGAACCAGUCGACGAGCGGAGAAAAUUCAUCAGGCAAUUAUCAGAAGAGCAAAAGAGGAGGUGUCAAGAAAUCCUACCCACCUUGUCACCAUUGUGAGAAGAAAAGUCAUCCACCAUUCAAAUGUUGGAAAAGACCUGACGCCAAAUGCUCCAAAUGCAAUCAACUUGGACAUGAAGCAGUGAUUUGCAAGGUCAAAGGCCAGGUGCAAGAACUAGAUGCACAGGUAGCUGAUCAAUAAGAAGAAGAUCAAUUGUUCGUGGUUACUUGUUUCUCAGGCAGAGAAUCAAGUGAGAGCUGGUUGAUUGAUAGUGGGUGCACAAAUCACAUGACGUAUGACAAUGAGCUCUUCGAGGAAUUGAGAACACUGAAGUCAAAAGAGUGAGGAUUAGAAAUGGUGAGUACUUGGAAGUCAAGGGAAAAGGCAUAGUAGCUAUUACAAGCUAUGAAGGUACAAAAUUCUUUUCAGAUGUUUUGUUUUUACCUAAAAUUGAUCAAAAUCUCUUAAGUGUUGGUCAGUUGCUGCUGGAUAAAGGCUAUAAAGUGCUAUUUGAAAAUAAGCAGUGCUUGAUCAGAGAUGCUAAUGGCAGAGACUUGUUCAAUGUCAAAAUGAAAUGAAAAGUUUUGCUCUUAAUCCAAUGGAAAAGGAGCAAAUGGCUUUUAAAUCCAGAGUUAGUGCUACUGAGACUUGGCACAAGAGACUUGGGCACUUUCACCAUCAAGGAUUGCUUUAAAUGUAGUCGAAGAAGCUGGUGGAAGGACUUACAGACAUUGAUGAUGAUCUACCUCAUUGUCGAGCUUGCAAAUUUGGGAAACAACAUAGACAACCCUUUCCUAAACAAGCCUGGAGAGCCUCGAAGAAGUUACAACUUGUUCAUACUAAUCUUUGUGGUCCUCAGAGAACGCCUUCGUUAAAUGGUAGCCUCUAUUACAUAGAAUUUAUUGAUGAUAUAACAAGAAUGUGUUGGAUUUUUUUGUUGAAACAAAAAUUAGAAGUUGUUGGUGUGUUCUAGAAAUUCAAAGCUGGAGUUGAGAACGAAAGUGGAUGCAUGAUUCAGAUUUUAAGAUCUGAUAAUGGCAAGGAGUACACUUCAGAAACUUUUAAUAGUUUUUGUGAAGAGGCUGGAAUUGAGCAUCAGUUGACGGCGCCAUACACUCUACAACAAAAUGAAGUCAGUGAAAGGAGGAAUAGAUUCAUAAUGGAGAUGACUCGAUGUAUGCUUCAUGAGAAGAAUCUUCCAAAAGGAUUUUGGGGAGAAGCUGCAAACGCUGCUGUGUUCUUGCAAAAUCAGAUUUCAACAAAAGCUGUGAAGGAUCAGACGCCAUUUGAAGCUUGGUAUGGUUACAAACCCUCUUUAAAGUUUCUUAGAGUGUUUGGCUGCCUGUGUUUCACUUACAUUCCAUAGGUCAAGCAUGAUAAGCUUGACAAAAAGGCAGAAGCUGGCAUUUUUGUUGGGUAUAGCAUUGUAUCUAAAGCUUACAGAGUCUUUCAACCACACACUGGACGUGUUACUGUGAGCAGAGAUGUUUAUUUUGUUGAAAAUAAGCAAUGGAAUUGGGAAGACUCGACCAAGGUGAACCAAACUUAUAGUGUACCAAAUCGUUUUACCAUUGGCAGCAUGUUAGAAGAGCUUGAAGAUGAAGGGCAAGAUGUUUUGGCUGAUGAUGCACCUGUCAGAGGUACAAGGCUGCUCUCAGACAUUUACCAAAGAUGUAAUAUGGCUAUUUGUGAGCCUGCAGGGUAUGAUGAUGCAAAAAAACAGUCAACAUUGGAUGACUGCAAUGAAGGAGGAGCUUGCGAUGAUCGAAAAAAACAAAACUUGGAAGUUGGUUGAUCGACCUCUGGACAAAAAGAUAAUUGGAGUUUGCAACAUCUAAACAAGGAGUGUUAAGAUCAUGUGUUUAAGAUUGCUGCCAUUUAAUUUUUUCUGUUACUAAAUUUGAAUAAUUCUCCUUGACUUUAGGAGAUUAGAUUUUUGAUUUGUUUGCUAUUUUGUUACCAAAUUUUUAGCAGUUUUUUAGAACCUUUUUUUCUAUUUUUAGCUUGAACUUUUGUAUUUAAAUAGUUGAGGUGCAAAUCAAUUAUUUAUUCAAGUCUUCAAUUAUUUUUCUAUUUAAAAACUUCCCGUCUCUUCUUUCUACUUCAAAUCUCUCGAUCAACCAUCAAAGUUCGAGUUCUAAACAUCAACAGUAUCUUUAAUUAUAUAGCAACAACUCUGAUAAGAUACAGAUAGAAACUUUUGUCUAUUAAAUAUAUAAAGUGACUAUGCAAUUGAUAAUCAUAUACAAUAAUCAACAUUUGACUAAACUUUGCAACCUAUACAAGUUUUUUUGGGAUUUCGACAAAAUAUAAACAUAAACCCCGAGAAGAUACGUAAAACAUUUACUCAUCCAUGGCAACUGACUGAAAAAAUUUGGGUUGUCAUCUUGCUCAUAAUCAUAUACAAGGUCAAUACCAAAUUCUAGCACAGAUAAAUCUGAAAGAACCCGAAGACUAAUAUGAUCACCAGCUUCUAAUUCAUCACCCCUAAAGUUCCAACAAGUCGUCCAGUAUAAGGUAUUCUUAGUUUCAGGAAUUCCCAUAAAAUGUUUGGAGUAGGUCCACUUUGUACCUUUGGUCUCGUUCACAAUUUCAAGGCAUGGUAAAAAUCCAUAUGUUUUAUCAUUCUUGGCAGAAAAAAUGAUAAUCGAAUUUAAGAAGCAACUUAUCUUUCGACUAGAUUUUGGGGGCACUGAUAUUGAAAUCUCAGUCUUGCCAGCUUGAUGGCCAAAGUAAUGACCAUGGUAAUCAAAUGGCAACGGAUCAAAUGUUGUAAUUAUACCGUAAUCAUAUAAUACCUGUAGCAUUGGGUUAGAGAAUGAGUUAUUAAAAAGUAUAUAGUAUAUAAAUAAUUUUAAAAACUUGGAACUUGUAAAGGGAACCUGUGGGGAAGCUACCACUUUUGAUUCUUCUAUAUAACUGCAAAGUUGCACUUUAACAUUUCCAUAAGAUUCCAAACUGGGCAAGUGUUUAGUUAGGUCCAUCUUGAUAUUUCUUGUGGAAACUUCAUCUCCUAAAAUAUGUACAAUAAUGUGUUAUUUAUCAAUUUUAGUGAUCAUCAACAUAAUAUACUUAUUAGAAAGUAAUAGUACUGACUUGAAUGGAGUGAUAAUUAAAGCUUUUAUCAGACACCUAUUUGACACGAAUUCAAAUAGUGACCCAUAUAUUGUAUGAAAAAAAGAUAUCAAAGUAGUAAUGUUAUUAUCACUAAAAUGUAUUCUAAGACUUAUCAGAAAUAAUCAGUUAUACACAUUAUAUCUUUAUUUUUCAUUUUUAUACAAAAUAUAAACUUUAAAACUAUUAAAUAUUUUAAUCAAAACACCACUUUUAUAAUUUUAUCCAUUAUUUUAGUUUCCACUUCUAUUAGAACUAUUGGAUUAAUCAUUUAUCAAACAAUUAACUUAUUUUCAUUAGACCCCAAUUGCAGUAUAACUUUAUAAUUAUCAUUUUAUUAUUAAGCUAAAUUUCUCUCAUAAUCUAUUAAAUUGUCACAUUUCUUGAUAAUUUUUUUUAUUGUAUUAGAAAGUCUUUUAGAGAAACAUUCAUCAUUUCUUGAACAUUUGUUAUUCACAUAGAAAAUGAAAAAUAAAAUAAAUAUAAUAGGAUGUAUUCACUAAAAUAUAAUUAUUUGAAGUCCACUCAUACCUGUAGAUAAGUGCGAAAAGCCAUAUUCAUAUCUAAUGUUGUGUUCUGAUUCAUAAGUAACGCCAAAUUUUCUUAUGCUGAGAUGAAUAGGCACUACCAUGCAACUCACAAGGUCACCACCUUCAAACUGACAGUCCGUUACUGGCCAAUGAAUCAACCACAACAUUGUGUUAUCGUUAGUCUCAGGAAUUCCAAUGAAACUUGAGCGAUAUCUCUGCAUGAUCAUUUUGGUCUCAUUGAAAAUGUGGACACUUGGUAGAAGCUCCAACAUUUGGUCACUAGCUACAGAGAAAACAAUGCAUAAGCUGAACUGAUGGAUCUUUUCAUCUGGAUGAGAUGGUGUUGGCAAAAAAAAAGAGAUUUGAUGCUCGUUAGUGCCAUGCUUAAACCCACUCGGAACUUCACUUCCUAUAAAAAAUGUGCUUGUUAUACCACAUUCUUGCAAGACCUGAUCCAAAAAAACAAGUUAGAUGAUUAAGUAGUGUAAGAGAAAAAAUAGAUUUAAAAUUUAAGUUGGAGAACUAUUGGACCUGUGGGGUAGCUAGCAUUAUGCUGUCUGUUAGGUAGCUAUAAAGUGGCAGUCGAUUUCUGUUAAUGGAAUCUACGUUGAAUAAUCUUCUAAUCUCUUCUGCUUCAAAGUUUUCAAUUGGUUCCAACUUGAAUAGAUCUUCAACCUCCGUCAAUUUUUCACAUCCAAAAAUAUCACAUCGUGUGGAAGAAAAGAAGCAUGGAAGAAUUGCCCCAUAUCCUUUAAAUGGAGAUACUGUCAAGAACUCAAAAACAUUGGGCAAGACUGGAAGCUUUGGAAUCUUUUGGAGUUCAGUGCAAGAAGUCAGUAGAAGCUCAUCAAGUUUUGUAAGGUUUUUUAAGCUUUCGGGUAGGUAAUGAAUUGGGUUUCUACUUAAAUUUAAGGAUUUCAAGGAAGCCAAGUUACAAAGAGCAUUGGGCAUGACAUCAUUAGAUAAUUUGCAACUUCCAAGGCUUAACUUUACCAAAGAGCCCGGUAGAGAUGCCCAAGAGAAACCCAAUCCUUUGCUUCUUUUCUGUAAAAGCCACUGCAACCCCAAUCUUGAUUGAUAUAUGGCAGUUUCAUCUAAAUUAAGCACCUUCAAUGAUUCCAUAUUAUGCAACUCCCUAGGAACAUCAUCAAGUCUUGAACAACCAGAUAAGAUAAGCUCUUCAAGUGAUAUUAAUGAACCAAUUGUCCUUGGAAGUUUCCUAAGACUUGUGCAAUCUUUAAGGUUCAAGAAAGUAAGCAUCUUUAGCUCACCAAUGGAUUGAUCAACUUCCACCAAAUUUAUGCAAUCUUUGAGCAUCAACUUCUCAAGGCUAGGGAGUCCUGAAAAGGUUGGGGUUUUAAGAAGGCUAUGUGAAUGGUUGAGAUUAAGGAUCUUUAAAUUUGGGAGACACUGCAAAAAAAGAAAAACCCUUCUGUUAUAAAUGUAUUAUUGUUUCACACACACACAAAGAAGAAGGGAAAAGUAGUAUACAUCAUACCUCUGUAUCCUUCCAAACUUGUUUAAGUUUACUGUUGCGCAUGUCGAGAACAACUAGUUCAUUGAUAUCAAAAUCCACCGGAAAAGAUUGCAUCCAAAACCCAUGCCAACGUAACCAUCUUAAUCUUUUGGGGAAGUCUUUGAAGUCUCCUUUAAGUCUUACAUAAUCCAGUUGAAGCAGUUUAAGUCUCUUCAUCUUUGCAAAUGCUUGAGUUUCCAUAUCAACAUCAUUUGCCAUCAGAAACUGACUUUUGGAAUGCUUUGGAAAAUGUAGAGUUGUAUUUGUCCUUUUAGCCUUGUCUNNNNNNNNNNNNNNNNNNNNNNNNNNNNNNNNNNNNNNNNNNNNNNNNNNNNNNNNNNNNNNNNNNNNNNNNNNNNNNNNNNNNNNNNNNNNNNNNNNNNAGGCACUUAACUGUUCUGGAACCCUGCAUCAGAAAAACUUUUUUAAAAAAUAAAAAGAAAUUUGAUAAAAAAAGUAGUUUACAUGCACACAAGAAAAAAGUUGAGUAAAAUGAUGUUUCUUACAAUUUUUUCUCUUAUUACAUCAAACGCGUUCUUAUGCCACAAUCUGCUUCGUUUCCCAAUAUCAGAAGAUUCUUGACGAAUAAUUUCUCGUCCCAUAUCUCUAAUCAUUUGGUGCAUCAUUAGCUUAUUUUUUUCAUUAAUGAUUAAGAGAGACCUACCUACUAGAUUUUCAAUUCCAAUUGUUGUAUAAUAAUCACAACCAUCUAAAAUUGUAGUCAUGUAAUCUCUAUCCUUCCCAAUGAAUAAACAAACUAUGUCAAGGAAAAAAUUUUUGUCAUGAUCGUCUUCCAAAGAAUCAUAGCUUAUUCUUAGAAUCUCUUGAAUUUUGCUGUCAGGGAUUUCUUCCAAUUUCUCCAAUGCACUUUUCCAAGAACUCACACUUUUGCUAGAUAAUGAAGAGCCCAAAACUUGAAGAGCUAACGGAAGCCCACCACAGUGUUUCACUAAACUUCUUGCAUAUGCCAUCGAACUUUCAGGCACAGAGUUAUGACCAAAAGCAUACCAAUUAAAAAGUUGUAGCGAUUCACUUGAAGCUAAUUCUUUUACUUCAAAUAGCUUGCUUAAGCCUCCACAGCUAGUUGAUGCUUCCAAAUCAAACAUUUGGCUUAUAAAAUGUGCAUUCAAUAGGCAUCGGUUUCUACUAGUUAUGAUGAUUUUACUUCCCGGAUGAAAAGGAAUUUCGAGUUCCCAUUAAUUUUCUUAUUNNNNNNNNNNNNNNNNNNNNNNNNNNNNNNNNNNNNNNNNNNNNNNNNNNNNNNNNNNNNNNNNNNNNNNNNNNNNNNNNNNNNNNNNNNNNNNNNNNNNNNNNNNNNNNNNNNNNNNNNNNNNNNNNNNNNNNNNNNNNNNNNNNNACUAAACCAUUGCAAUCUUGACUUGUUUCUCUAACAUCAGCAAGGAAACUAUAACUUUCAAACCUCGGGAUGUUUUGAUUGUAAACAACUUUGGCAAUGGUUGUCUUCCCAAUGCCUCCAAUGCCACAAAUAGUUGCAAUGCCAACUUUAUUUGCUCCAUCUUGUUCUAACCAUUGAUUAAUUUGUGUCACGAGAGAAUCUAUUCCAACUAAAUAAGGAGGGACAUAUAAAGAAAUAAGAUGAAGCUUAUUUUGAACUUCUUUAACAAUAUCUUGAAUGAAUUGUGAUUCAUGCCUGCAAAUUUAAAAAAUACAACUCGAUGGUAAAAUCUUGGAAAGUGAGUAAAAGUUAUUAAUGUAUUUUCUCUUUUUUUGCAUAUAUUUUGAUUGUUUUUAUGAGAUUAUAUGUUCAAAUAAAAAUAAGAAACUAAUGCAACAUUUUAACAUAUAUGAUAGAAUUAUUACAUUCAAAAUCAAAUCAAAUCAAAUAAAGAACAUAAAAAUUAAUGAAAUUCAUUUGAAACAACCUAUACUCAAAAUUUCAACUUUCUCUUUGUGAAAGUUUAAUAAAUUCAUGUUAUUUACAUGAAUUUAUAUAUUUAUUUUUUAUUCAUUUUAAUAUUUUGAAUAUGUGUAGACCUAUUACACGAAUAAUUUGGAUAUGAUUGUUGGAAAUAUACUACUGCAAAAUAGAAUUGUUACAGGAGACCAAACUGAAUGUAAAUAAAAUAAGAAUCACUCUGUCGUAGAAGAACCAUUGCAUUAGAGGCAAAAUGGCCCUGAUCGGUGUAAUCUCGCUUAAAACCUAAUCUCUUAGACAGAAUUUCCCUCUCGUAUAAUUUUGCAGAACACUAGAAUUUAGAGAACAUAGAGAAGUUGCUUUUCUCUUGUUGUGUUCUGUGAAAAAUGAGGAGAAUGACCUCCUAUUUAUACAGUUUUUUGAAGGGCAAAAUGGUAAAAUAAUCGUUUUAGUUUCCAAAAAUAGUAGAGGAUUUCCCUAACUGAAAAUAUUCUGAAAUAUAUUUUCUGCAACAGUGAGAGUAUUUUCCACAAUUGAAAAUAUUCUUUUGCAUUACCAACAAUGACAUCUUAACCACAAAUAGUGUCAUUAAUUUCAAGAGGCUACUUCUUUUUGUUUUCAACUCGUCAAAUCUAAGUUGCUCAUGUGAUAGGUGCAUACGUAUUUAAAAUUUGAUUUAUGUGUUUUAAAAACAUUCCACAUCAGAUUCGAGCUAACAUUUAAUGCUUAAACUGAUGACUUGUUUGAUAGACAGACCUUAUUGAUACAAUACUAAUACUUUAAUGACCCAAUUAAAACAUGUUAAUUUUUGAGAAAUAAUUUAAAACUUGAGUUAUAAUUAACCCUUUAAAAUGGAUUGAAGUAACCAUUUUAAUUUCCAAACGCUACCUAACAAUAUUUUCUAUUAAUUUUCUUUCUACUCUAUCAAGUCUUAAUGAAAAGGNNNNNNNNNNNNNNNNNNNNNNNNNNNNNNNNNNNNNNNNNNNNNNNNNNNNNNNNNNNNNNNNNNNNNNNNNNNNNNNNNNNNNNNNNNNNNNNNNNNNNNNNNNNNNNNNNNNNNNNNNNNNNNNNNNNNNNNNNNNNNNNNNNNNNNNNNNNNNNNNNNNNNNNNNNNNNNNNNNNNNNNNNNNNNNNNNNNNNNNNNNNNNNNNNNNNNNNNNNNNNNNNNNNNNNNNNNNNNNNNNNNNNNNNNNNNNNNNNNNNNNNNNNNNNNNNNNNNNNNNNNNNNNNNNNNNNNNNNNNNNNNNNNNNNNNNNNNNNNNNNNNNNNNNNNNNNNNNNNNNNNNNNNNNNNNNNNNNNNNNNNNNNNNNNNNNNNNNNNNNNNNNNNNNNNNNNNNNNNNNNNNNNNNNNNNNNNNNNNNNNNNNNNNNNNNNNNNNNNNNNNNNNNNNNNNCACCUCUAAAACUCAAGAAUACAUGAUAACUACAUCGCGAGAUUUCUGACAUUGCCAUUGAAGAAGAAAAUGAAGUCGUCCUGUGUUUAAUAACAAGGUUCCAGCAUAUCCAGCAUAUAUAUAUAUAUAUGAAUGGCAAAGCAGAUAUUAUUAGCAGUCAAGUGGCAGUUCCCAAUCCAUGGUGGGUCAAUCCUUCGACCAGUUCAUACAACUGCCCGAAGACAUUCAAGUCGGCCAUGUUGUGUUUUUCCAAAUCUACCAACUUGGGUUACGUAUUCUAUAUUAUUAAUUUUGCUUGACAAAUACAAUGUAUUGAUUAACUUGAUGGUUAUAGCUAACACAACACGUAUAUAGACAUCAUCUUCAGGCUAAUAUUAGUAAAAAUAUUAUGAAGGUUCUUGUAUUUUAAGUCAUAUUAUAUUUUGUUUUCUCUACUUAAAAAAUAUUAAAUUAAUUUUUGUAUAUUAUAUUAAAAAGUAAAUUAGUUCAUUUGUUAAAAAAAUUAUCUAUUGUUAUUGUUAAAAAUUGAUCUAUGUAAUCAACAUGAGGUAUAUGUGACACGCCACAUGCAACUAUCUGAUUAUUUCAUCAUUCAAUUUAGUUUUUAACAACAAAAAUGAAUGAAAUUUUUAAUAAAAAUGAUAAAUUUGUUCUUUUAUAUAAUGUAUAUGGACUAAUUUACUUGUUUUUAAAUAAAAUGGGUUAAGUACAAUUUGACUCUCAAUAGAAUGAUCUCCAUGAUACUUUUACCGGCUAAUACCUUGGUGGAUACACUCAAUAAUUAAACCACAACCACAUAUAUCACAUAGACAUCACAUUAAACAUUCAAGCUUGGUAUAGUAAAGAGACAAUUUUAGUAUCUAUGCAUGAAUGAAGAAUUAAUUAUUUUUGGAAAAGAAUUGGUGAUUAAAUUGAUCAGAUCAUCAAUUUUUUAUUUGAUUUGUUCGUGUUAUCUAAAAUAAAUAAAUUUUUAAAGACUAAAAAAAUAAUAAAAAUUCACUUAUAUUGCACAUUAAAGUAAAUUGAAAAUGUGGAAAUUUAGCGAGGGACAUAAGAGAAGAAGAAUAAUUCCGAAGUAUUUGGUGUGGAAAAUAUUGGUNNNNNNNNNNNNNNNNNNNNNNNNNNNNNNNNNNNNNNNNNNNNNNNNNNNNNNNNNNNNNNNNNNNNNNNNNNNNNNNNNNNNNNNNNNNNNNNNNNNNNNNNNNNNNNNNNNNNNNNNNNNNNNNNNNNNNNNNNNNNNNNNNNNNNNNNNNNNNNNNNNNNNNNNNNNNNNNNNNNNNNNNNNNNNNNNNNNNNNNNNNNNNNNNNNNNNNNNNNNNNNNNNNNNNNNNNNNNNNNNNNNNNNNNNNNNNNNNNNNNNNNNNNNNNNNNNNNNNNNNNNNNNNNNNNNNNNNNNNNNNNNNNNNNNNNNNNNNNNNNNNNNNNNNNNNNNNNNNNNNNNNNNNNNNNNNNNNNNNNNNNNNNNNNNNNNNNNNNNNNNNNNNNNNNNNNNNNNNNNNNNNNNNNNNNNNNNNNNNNNNNNNNNAUUACCAUUAGCAAUUAAAGAGGGGCUUCAACAAAAUUAUGGCCCCAACUGUUUCACCUAACAUAAUAAAUUCGUGGACUAACCAAUUUCAGUGCAAUAAAAGUAGUGAAGAGGAUGGGAUAAGGUUAAGGUUUACAUUGUUGGUAAUGCAAACUAGAAUCCCUCGUUACAGCCUUCAAAUUUUUUGGUUCACAAUAUUUUAGGAAGAACUAGAUUCAAAUAAUAUUUUUCCGUGAUUAUUUUUUCAAUAAUAUCAUCUUUAAAGUUUAGAUCUAUACUUUUUAAAAAAGUAUAAUAUGUCUUACCAUUAUGUCUAACACUCAAAUAAUAAUGUUAACAAAAAGGUUGAGCACCAAAUGGUUGAUAAGUACUAACAAGCUCAUGGUCUAAAGUAGAGGUGUCCAUGGGCCGGGCGGCCCGACCUUGCCCGACCGCCCGCCCAAAAUAUGGGAGGGUUCGGGUAAAAAUAUAGGCCCCAAAUAUGGGUUUGGGCAAACGAGGCCCGUUUAGAAAAUGGGCCGGGCCACGGGUAUCUCUUUUUGGCCUAGGCCCGUCUCGGCCUGAAUAUAAUAAAUAUAUUUUUUAUUUUUUUAUUUUAAAAUAUUUUUAAAAUACUUUUUUUAUUUUUUAUUUUUAAAAUAAAUUUUUUGUGUUUAUUAAAAAAGGGCCAGGGCGGGCUCGGGCUUAGAAUUUUUUUCCCAGCCCGGGCCUGGACAAAUUUUCAUGCCCAUAUUUUGGGUCGGGCCUGGCCCGGGCCUAGGAUGCAGCCCGAAUUUUUUUCUGGACUCGACCUGAACCCGGCCCGGUCCAUGGACACCUCUAGUCUAAAGUCUAGAUCGAGUAGCACUAUUAUCCAAAACAUAGUGAAACAGAUUAAUUCUUUCUUCGACGUUUGUUAUAUAGAACUCUACAACCUAGUGCUCCUAAUUAUCAAUUUUAUUCUUGUGACUCCAUAAUUAAAAUUUAGCUGAUCCCUUCAUUCAAGAGUGUAAUUAUUCGAAUAGGAUCAUGUCUCUUUUAUGGUGGAACACUAAUUCAUUUUAUUACUUGGACUUGUUCAUAAAAAUUCUCUUAAAAUAUCGAAUAAAUAUCAGUUAGGUGUUCUGAUGAUUUAAAUAUUUAGUUUUUAAGAGAAUAUAUUCUUACCUCGUUAUGCCUUCUCGAAGAUUUAUGUCAAAUUCAAACUGAUGUGAGUUGGCAGCUAUAUAUUUUUAUUUUUAAGGAUUUUAGUCCCUCUAUUUUUUGAGAUUUCUAAACUCAAAUCCAAUUGUUAACACUGUUAAUUUUUUUUGUUAAAUUUGAGUUAAUUACAAUAUCAUUUUUGUAAUUACAUGGUUAUCAAAUAGGUUUUUUUUUAUUUCAAAAUGCCACCCUAACACAUUUAACAAAAAAAAUUUAAAAUGUUAACCAUCAGAAAGUAAAGAGACUAAAUUUCUGGAAAUAAAAGUACGUGUUCUAAACUCCAAAAUUUUUAAAAGUACAAGAACUUAUGGCAUAUUUUAACCUUUUAACUUCUGGGUCGAGCUACUCAUCCAAUCCCCGCUUGAGAUUUGGGAAGAUUUAGACAAAAUUAUCAAGCUCAAAAAAUGGACUUGGACAAAAAGUUAGUCCGAUUUAAAAUACGAGUGGGGCUCGGGCAUAAAAAUUCAAGGCCCGAGCCAUUUACUAAUUUUCUAAUAUAUUAUAUUAUGUUAUUUUUAUAAAUUAUAUAAUUUAUUUCAAAAAAUAAAUCUAUAGUAAUACAUAUGAUAGUACUAUAAUGUAAACAUUAAAAAAUGUUAAGAUGUCUAUAUAAAAUGUUAAGAUAUUUGGGAAAAAAUUCAAUUCAAUCAGGCUCAAAACAAUUUGUGGGUCAAUUAAUUUAACAUCUCUAUUCAAAUCAACAAUGGCAAAACCUAAUAGAGGCCCAGGGGGCCAUGGCACCCCCAAGGAUUAAAUUUUUUGCAAUUUAGCCCUUUGUAGAUAUACUAUGGCCCUCCCAAACAUAUAAGUAGCCCCCCCCCCAAGGUUUAAGAUUUUUGCAAUUUAAUUUCCAAAUAUACUGCUUCUUUUGGAUUGAUUAUCAUGUUGGAAUAGUGCUUCUUUUGAGUCGAUUCUUUGUAUGUUUAAAUCGAUUGUCAAAUUAGAACACUACUUCUUUUGAAUCGAUUGUGUAUAUGAUUAAAUUGAUUGUUAUGUUGGAAUACUGCUUCUUUUUAAUUGAUUGUGUAUAUGAUUAAAUUGAUUGUUAUGUUGGAAUACUACUUCUCUUGAAUCGAUUGUUUAUAUGUUUAAAUCGAUUGUUACAUAACACAUCUAAUUAAUUUGUUCUUUGCUUCUUUGAUUGUUGCGUAGCAUUUCCUUUUAUUCUCUACUUCUUUGAUUGUUGGUUGUUUUAAAUAGCUUCUUUUCCUAAAAUGAUAAGGGACCAAAUGAAUAUCAGCAAAGAAUUUAUGUUGGAGUUUGAAUCGAUUCUUCGCUUAUUUCAAUUGAUUGUUUGUUGUUUUGAAUUAAUUCAUUAUUGUUUGAAUUGAUUCAAACUCCUACAUAAAUUCACUAUUGAUAUUCAUUUGGUCCCUUAUCAAUAUUAACUUACACAGAUGUGUGUAAGUUCUUUUUCCCUCAAACCUCCUGUUGAACGUGUGAAGCAAGCAAAGGUAUAUUUAUGGUUAUUCUUACUCUAGAAGAGAAAUGAUUCCUCAUACUUUAUACAGUGUAUUUACAUAUUUGCCCUCAACCGAAUAUUGAGGGAAUCUCCCUUCACUUUUGACACGUUCAAUAGAAAGUUUAAGGGAAAACAACUAAUUUACACCGGUGUAUAUAAGUAUUGAUAACUCUUUGAUACAAUAGAUUAAAUCGAAAAAUCAUUAUAUAGUAUUUUCCUAUACUAUGUGUUAUGUUUAUUAAUAAAACAUAUUUUUAAUUUAAAUGAUAUACUAAAAAUUGCUCAUCCACACAAUCAUUGAUAUGUUGAUUUAGGAUCCAAACUUGAAUCAUAUAUUCUUACGUAGUGAAACUAAAAAAGGCCUCGUCGCCAUUCUCCAUCUAUUCCUAUAUAUUCAUCUGUUCGGAAGAAACUGAACUUAACAAAACACCAUGAAAGCAUAAUCGAUAUUUUUUCACUUUUAAGAAAUAUAAGUUGUUAAUAAUAUCAAACCCAAUAAUACAAUAUAUCAACAAUCAAACCAAAUCAACGACCAUACCACAAGCAAAAACAUAAAAUCAAUUCAUUUGGAAGGGUCUUCCACCUCAUUAUGUGCAUGAUUUUCAUACGAAUCCAGUUGCAAAGUAACGGUGUUUAACACUUUGAAUCGAUUCAAACUCCAACAUAAAUUUACUAUUGAUAUUCAUUUGGUCAUUUAUCAAUACUUGCACAACAUUUGUCCCUUAUCAAUACUUGCACAAAAAUAACUUGUGAAUACUGCUUUUUUCGAAUAGAUUGUUUGUAUGUUUAAAUUGAUUGUCAUGUUGGAAUAUUGCUUCUUUUGAAUCGAUUGUUAUGGUGGAAUACUACUUCUUCUUUUUAAUCGAUUGUUUAUAUGUUUAAAUCGAUUGUUAUGUUGGAAUAUUGUUGCUUUUGAAUCAACUGUUUAUAUGUUCAAAUUGGUUGUUAUGUUGGAAUACUACUUCUUUUGAAUCGAUUGUUUAUAUGUUUAGAUCAAUUGUUACGUAGCGCAUCUAAUUUUAGCUUGGCCCCCAAGAUUAACAUCAUGGCUCCGCCACUACGGAUCGAUAUAUAGGUCAAUUCUUGAUUCAAUUGAUCAACUAAUCCUAUUUAAUCCGAUUUAAAUAACUAUGCCACAUAUAUACAUAUUUCUAAAAUAAUAUGUUAGUAUAAAAAUAUUUAAUCAAUUUGAGUUAUGAAAUUGUCGUCUAACAAUAGUUUUGGGUAUCUUAUAAACUCAAAAUUUUCAAAUUAUGUUGGUGUCCAUUUGUGCUUUAUUUUUGGUACAAGCUCUUUUUGGAGUUAUACCAUACAUUAUAUAAUUUAAAAUAUUCUUAAAAAAUAGAUUGAAGUAAAUUAAGCCUAAAAUUUAAAUGUUUAAGUCAAAGCUUAAUUGAUAGUUUAAAUGAGAUUAUUCUUUUUUUUAAAUCUCAUUUUUUUAAUUUUAUCAAACCACCUCUAAAAAAUAAAUAAAAGAUGGUUGUUAGCCUUUUCCUAUAUAUGAGCAACAAUCUUUGGGCAGAGUAUAAAAGAUAGUUUAAGGUAUCUGAUUUUGUAGUAGUGACUAAUCUUUUCAUUGUUACUGCUUUUCAAAAGGUAAUAUGUAAAAAAUGGUAAUAUAUAAUUUACUUAUAAUUAUGGUACGUUUAGUUCGUUAGAGUGAAAUAAAAUUAUAAUAGAAUAAUAACUAUUAGGAAUGAAAUAGAAUUGUAAUUGAAUGGAAUAAAUAUGAUAAUUUGGUUGGGUAGAAUGAAUGAGCUGGUAAUAAUAUUUUUGUAUCUUGAUUUAAAAAAAUGAUAGUAAAAAUCGGCCAUUUUACCAAAAAAGCCCUUUUUUAAAAAUUACCGAAAUGGGCCCAUUAUUUAAUUAUUUACCGGAAUGGUCCAUUUUUCAGCAAAUUGCGUCCACGUCAGCGCGAUGUCAAGGGACGCGUGCUGACGUGGCCGCGAUUUCCUUCGCCACGUAGCGCAUUUCUGGGGACGCAUUUCGGCUUUUAGGGCUUAGGGUUCAGGCUUUUAGGGUUUUUAGGUCUUGGAAGAAAUAAUUUCGAGUUGAUGUUUCUGAUCAAAUAGUAUAAAAUCGCUUCUAACAGGAUGCUAUUUGAGAAGAAUUUGUGAAAUUGCGCCCUCGUGGACGCGCUUUUGCUACAGUAGGUCAUGGAAGAAAUAAUUUUUUUGACGUUUCUAAGCAAAUAAUAUAAAAUCGCUUAUAGCAGGAUGCUAUUUGAGAAGAAUUUGUAAAAUCGCACCCUCGUGGACGCGCUUUUGCUACAAUCGGUCAUGGAAGAAAUAAUUUUUUUGACGUUUCUGAGCAAAUAGUAUAAAAUCGCUUCUAGCAGGAUGCUAUUUGAGAAGGAUUUGUGAAAAUCGCGCCCUCGUGGACGCGCUUUUUCUACAGUAGUAUGUUUAGGCUGAGGCUAUAAAUUAGGCAGAAAAUGCUCUCAGAAUGCAUAAGUCACAGCAGAAAUAAUUUAGAGAGGCUAAAAAGGUUAGAGUUUCAAAUAUGAGUGAACGUAUUAGUGCUGUUAUUUACUACGAUGGUGAGGUUUGCCACACUGAGAAUGGUGUUAUUUUUUUGUAGGAGAAUACGGUGUGACUGGUUUUUAACCAGAACAUAGAUUUGACAGAACUUCGUAAAAGAAUUAGGCGUAAAAUUUUCAGAACGACGCCAAUGAAAGUUUUGUCUAUCACAUAUCGAUUUUGUUCUUCUGUUGAUCCGGUGACAUAUGACUCGUUCGACAUAAAAGGUGCUCAUAGCCUAGAGGCAAUGGUGCAGACUCAUCUUGCUAGUGGAGCACCUUAUAUUGAGUUAUAUGUACAAUUUACAUCGCCAACUAAUGUACUUUCGACCGGUGUUCAAGAUGUAUACACGACCCCUGGCUGACACUCGGUUAGCAGGUUACAAAAUACGGAACAGCCCAUGUUCGGUAGCGGUGUCGAAUGCACAUCCCCCGCGAGACACUCUGUCGGUGGAUGAGACAUCUACCUCAGUAGCUCGAUGUUUGAUGCUGGAAAUACGUACUGGGAACGGCAUCAAGUUCUAGUGGGUGGCAAUCUACAUCCAAUUGGGGACGUUAUCAAAUGCCCAGAAGAAGGAAUGACGUACUCCCUACGACGUCAACCGGUGAGGGGACCUCGUACGCUGCAGAUGAUUGUGGGUUAGAAGAUGACUCCGAUGUGGAUCCACUUCGAGAGCCCGGGCCGGAUGGUGCAGAAGUUGGCUAAUUUUCUGAACCGGAGCCUAUUCCAACAGAACCUGAAGAUGCUGAAAGGAGUUCAGAUGAAGAGGAAAACCCAUGAUUCAGAGCAUACUCACCUCCAGCCCACAUGCAUAAUGUCGAUCUGUCUGCAGAUGAUGCGUUAGAGUUUCCAGAUCUACCACACUGGUUGCGUGAUUGUACAAUUUCGGGGGCAGAUUUCGGUGAAUUUGAAGUUGGUAAUCAGUUUACCGACAAGGAUAGUUUUAUUGGUGCUUUGAAACAACAUAGCAUCAAAAACGUCAUUAACUACAACGUCGUUAAAUCCAAAUAUGAUAAGUUUGAGGCGAAGUGUGCGGUCCAAGAUGGCACAUGUUCAUGGAAAAUCUACGCCUCGUUAAGGAAAAAGGACAGGGUUGUGGGAGGUUAAAAAGUACAAAGGUCCACAUACAUGUGCUGCAGGUAUAGUAUUGACAGUUUCUGAAUAAUACUUUUAUUAUGCAAUGUUGCAUUAUUUAAUUUACUCGAUUUAUAGGUGUUUUACAAAAUCAUCCCAAGAUGGAUUCAGCUAUGUUAGCUAGCUUGAUACUGCCCACGGUAAAAGCAGAUCCCACGACUUCAGUGCCGGUGUUAAUUGCCAAUAUCCGUAGCCAAAUGGGGUACACGCCCUCUUACUGCAAGGCUUGGAUAGCUAAGCAAAAGGCGUUGGAGAAGAUGCAUAGUGGGUGGGACGCCUCAUAUAAUGAAAUAUGGCAGUGGUGUCAGGUGCUAGAGAGAUACGUCCCAGGUGCCAUCACAGACCUUGAAACGGAACAUGCGUACUACAACGGUCGAUUUCUACGUGGAUGCUAAGUGUUCAAAUGCCUGUUUUGGACCUUUAAGCAAUACCGAGACGUAUUUCCAUACUACAAGCCGUUGGUACAAAUUGACGGUACCUUCAUGUUCGGUAGGUAUACUCAUCGGCUAUUGCUUGGAGUGGCACAGGAUAGUGAUGGGAGAAUUCUUCCAAUUGCAUUUGCAAUAACACCGGGGGAGUCGUCUGAUGACUGGGAUUUCUUUCUCUCUAGGUUAAGGAGGCAUGUGUGCCCCCAACCUGAUAUCUGUGUUAUUUCAGAUUGGGGCACCGGUAUACUAGCUGCAUUUGAUCGACAGUGAAGCUUAUGGCAGCGCACACACCAUAUAUAUUGCCUAAGACACAUUGCUUCGAACUACUACAGGCAAUAUCCAUCUAAGAGCGAACGACGACAAGUGACCAACAUUGGUAUUUAGUCUAUAUCUGUGUUAUUUUGUUUGUCAAUUUGAAUUAGUUUUAUUGGUAGAAGUGGUAUAAAUUAUCGCUAUGAUCUUAUAUUGGCAGGGUAUGAAAUAAAUAAAGAUCGUUUUCACGAGAUGUUGGCAAUUUUACGUUCAAUUAACGGAGAAGGGGCGGACUACCUUUGUAACAUACGUUUCGAACAGUGGGCACAAGCAUACGACGGCGGCCUACGAUAUGGCCGUAUGACGUCAAACCUGACUGAAUGCAUAAAUUUUGUUCUUAAAUGAACGCGCCAUCUACCGAUAACAUCGGUUGUGCGAGAGACAUAUUUUCGGUUGGCGGCGCUAUUUCCAAAGCGAGCAGCAAGUUAUGCAGGUCAGAUGCAGGGAGGCCAUGUAUGGUGCAGUAAGGUAGUUCAAGAAAUUAACAAGGUCAAGGCGAGGGCAAACACCAUGCACAUAGUGUGUCACGAACGAGACAAUUUAUGGUUUCGCGUGACAGAGUUUGACAGACCGCACCAAGGUGUUGUUGGCGGGCAAUAUCGUGUACACUUGCGAAAUAGGACUUGUGACUGUGGGAUGUUUGAUGCACUUCGUUAUCCAUGCGUGCAUGUUAUUGCAGCUUGUCUGAAUCUCCGUCUGGAUUCGAUGAGUUAUGUGGACGAAGUGUACAAAUUAGAAAACAUGUACAACAUCUGGAGACACGUUUUCCCACCUGUCCCAGAUGAACGUAAGUGGCUGUCCGUAUCUCUUGCUCCUUUUAAGCUGUUUCCUGAUAGAGAAUUACGUCGCAAACCAAAGGGUCGACCUUGCUUGACUAGAAUACGUAACAAUAUGCAUAUCCGAGAAACAGCCAGUCAAACAAAGUUGUACGGAUGGUGUAGGAAUCCAGGCCAUACAAGUCGAUCAUGCCCUAAUCGUAAUAGUUGAAUGUAAUUGUAAAAAAAUUAAGUUUGUCAAAUUAUUAAUUGAUAAAUUGUAUUAAUGGUUAGUAAAAAUUUCAAAUUAUAUAAAAUUAUUAAUUGUUAGUGUUGACACCAUUUUUUGGAUAAAACGGGGUCGACUUGGGUUUUAAAAAUGAAAACGUAAAUUGGAGUCGCCACCGUUUGAUGAGGUGUGAUCGGAUCACCUCGAAAAGUGGUUCUUUUUAAUAAACGGUUUGAUUUUAUUAAAACAACAAGUUUGGUCCACGAAAUUCAGAAAAACAGGUUCGGGAGUCGGUUACACACGAGGAAGGAAUAGCACCCUCGAUACGCCUAAAAUUGGUACCUAGUUGAUUACUUAAUGUCUUAAUGUCAAAAAUUGAAACUUUGAAGAAUUUUAAAAAUACGAUCCUUAAUUUUCUUUGAAAGAAAUCGAGCUACUCGUUAAGACUUUUUCAUUUCAGAAAAAGAAAAUGUCACACCCAAUGCGUUAGAGUACGAUAUUUUACCUUUUCAGAAAUGAGAUAGUCUAAAACUCGCAUAGUAAAGUUUAAAAGGGUGUUUGAUUGUUUAAAUCAUAUGAAAAAAAAAAUUGCAACCCAAUACGUUAGGGUACAAUUUCUUCAAAUGUUAAACAUUGAAUAUUGCAUUUAUUUAAAAAAAAUCUUCGUUUCGAGAAAUCAACGUGUCAUGUCCAAUGCAUUAGGACACGACGUAUUGAAUUUUCGAUAAUGAGUUUUUAUAUAUGUCUUUUUAUAAAAAAAGAGUAACUUCGAUUAUUUAAAUUCAACAAAGAAAAUCGAAACCCAAUACGUUAGGGCUCGAUUUUCUCGAAGAUCUCAAAUACCGAGUGUUACUUUUAUUUUGAAAUUUUUCAUUUUUGAUAAAUCCGGGUAAAAAUGGAUGCAAAAUAAUGAUAACGAUGAUAAUGUAAGUAAAAUAAUGUGAGCAAAAUAAAAGAUAAAUAAAUAAUAAGACUAAUGUAAAAAAAAAUAAUCAUGCAAGCACAAUAACAAAUAAUAAAUAAAAAUUCUAAAGCAUAACAAAUAAUAAAAAUGAACAUGUAAAUAAAUAAAGAAAAUAAAAGAUAUUUAUGAAUUUUAAAAUAUAAAAAUAUAAGUAUUUACAUAUAUGUGCAUAUGUACAUAAAUAUAAGUUAUAUAAAAAUAUGUAAGUGUAUAAUGCAUAUAUGUAUAUAUAUAUGAAAUAAAAAUAAAGCUAAAAUAAAAUAAAACUAAUUAAUAUAUUAACACAAUAGUCAAAAAUAAAUAAAAGGAAAAUAAAACUAAUAAUAAUUAAUAAUAAUAAUAAUGAUAAUAAUAAUGAAAACAAUAAUAAAAUAAUUAACUAAAUAAUAAAAUUGCUAAACAAAGGCUAAAUCAAAAUAGAAACGAAAAUACUGGGCGAAUUUGAAAUAAAAAACCGAAAAGGAUUAAAUUGCUACACGCGCCGAAAGAGGAGGGACCAAAACGGUAAAUAAACCAAAGCCUCAAAACGCAGCGCUGCAACGGACUAAAAUGAAACAAAAAUAAAACUAUGUGGCUAAAUUAAAAUAAAAGAAAAUAACGAAAAAGGGCCAAAUUGCAACGCGCUGCAAAGUCAGAGGGACUGCGCGCAAAUAUCCCCUUUUGAAAAAACACGCUGAUCCUCCCCCCAGGGUCGGGUCAUCUCGCGGGUCAUGCCAAAACGACGCCAUUUUGGUGCCUGUAAGGCCUGCCCAAAACGGAGUCGUUUCAGGGGCCUAUAUAGGUAAAAAUAAACAAAAAAAAUCAUUUUAAAACCAUUUCAAAAAAAAAACUUUAGCCCCCUUUUUAUUUUCUCUCUAUCCCCUCUCCCUCCGGCCACGUUCCGGCCACUGACCACCGUGCCGGACUCCAGUCGCCGACGUCGGCACCGCCGUGCGCAGUGACCGGCGGGGGUAAAAAAUUUCCUUUUUUAGAUCUCGGCCCACUAAACUCAAAUCCGGCCUCAAAACACCCAAAAAAACAAAAGGCACGUAACAACUAUGGUGAGUUCCUCUUUUCCUUUUUUGUGUUUAUUCAUAUGUAAAAAAAACGAAAGAAAGAAUAAAAAUGAAAUAAAAAUAAAAAAACAAAAACAGUAAUGAACCUGUUCAAAGUUCUUUCUUUUAUUUUUUAUUCUAGUAAAAAAGAGAGAGCUUUACAAUCAGUUUUUGCUUGGCUUUUAUAGCCAUUUUACAAGUUUUUUUUUAUUUGCUUGCUUGUUGCUGUUUCUUUGUGUGCUUUCUUCUCAUUGUAGGUGGAGCAGGUGGCGUUGCAGGUGGUGGUGGCAGAGUUGGUGAUGGCAGAGGGUAAGUGGUGCGGCGCCUAGGGUUAGGGGGAUUAGGGUUUUCUAAAAUUUUUUAGUUUUUGGGCUGGGUUUUUAAUUUUUUUUGGGGCUGUUUUGAUUUGUUUUAUUUUCUCUGGUGGGCCGGGCAAAUUUGGGCUUCUACAGUUAGUAUCUGUCAAAACAUUUUUCCAAAUCUAACAUUAUGUGAAAGUAAAAUUAUUAAUUGAUAAAUUGUAUUAAUGGUUAGAAAAAUUAUCAAAUUAUAUAAAAUUAUUAAUUGUUAGUACUAGGAAAAAACAUUUUUCCAAAUCUAACAUUAUGUGAAAGUAAAAUUAUUAACUUAGUUUAGGGUUUUUAAUUAACUUAGUUUAGGGUUUUUAAGUUAAGGGUUAGGGUUUUUAAGUUAAGGGUUUAGGGUUUUUAAUUUAAUUAGGUUAGGGUUUUUAAUUUAAUUGUUAGAGUUUUUAAUUUAAUUGUUAGGGUUUUAAUUUAAUUAGGUUAGGGUUUUUAAGUUAAGGGUUAGGGUUUUUAAUUUAAUUAGGUUAGGGUUUUUAAGUUAAGGGUUAGGGUUUUUAAUUUAAUUAAAUAAUAUCAAAAUAUUCAAAAUAUUUGUACAAAUAAAUUUAAAUACGGCAAUCAAUGUCUAUGCCCGGGGGAUUCAGUGCCACAUGGUGGCCGUCGACGGUUAUGCGCUGGAUUCCUUCUUUCUCUAGCUUCCGGCGACGGUUGUUGCUCCUCCAGCAGGGAUUCUGGUCCUUCCGGUACGACAUCUAUUGUCGGACUUGGGAUGAUGAUCCACCUUCAAAGAAUAGUGUAUGUGGAGGUGUUUGCAUCACGAACGGCGACGGUGUUUGAAACUCAUACGUUGGUGGGGAUUGGUAAAAAGGAGAGCUCCCCGACGGCCCCUCUUGCGAUCCCUAGUGUGCCGCUGGCCUAUACAUCGGCGGUCCACUCAGCAUAACAAGAAAUGGAGCUGAACCGGGCAUUUGGCUCCAACCUGCCAUAGGACUCGGAAAAGGAUACAUAUAAGGGUAAGGAUACAUAUAAGGGCUAGGAAACGCACCUGACAUCAUCUGAAAAGACGAUUGCGUGGGUAUCAUCGACUGAACUGCUGCAUUGGGUGACUGUGUCGGUGCUCUCGCUGGGCCUGGUGAUUGCAUGGCCACUGAUGAUGAGCCGGGUGAAUGUCUGGGCCUCGUUGAGGGGCUACCUUCGUCGUCUUGUCGUCUUGGAUUUAGAGGCUCGAGCCUUUCCCUUUCGACACGUAUUUGUCGCUGUCUCUCCUCUGGCGUCAGUAAAUACAGCUUGCCAUGGAUCCUAAACCAUGGCAUGUAUUCUGGAACGCACGAUAACUCCGGAACGAUGAUUGGUUCUCGAGUAGGUAUAUAUUCAUACCGAUCUUCCCACAUUUCCAUGUACUCGGACCGAUAACUCAGCCAAUCCGUAUUCAAUUGCCAAAGGUCGACCUUGUGUUGAUUGUCAAACACCUCAGGAUCCACGGGAAUCGGUUGUCUACAUCUAAACUGUCGUAGCACUCUGUCUGACUGGUGCGGCUCCAUGGUUGCGUAGUUGAUCAACACGACUUUCACCUGCCAAGCUUGUGGAUUUUGUAAGAACUCUUCCGGGAUUACUGCCCGAAUUGCCAGAUCCUCAUAUGGUGUCCAUUGAAACUAUAUGAACAUGAUAGAAAUAUUAGUUAUAUACAUAAUACUAAAUACCAAAUACUAAAUACCAAUUGACUAGCGAAUGAUGGAAAUAUCAAUUUUAUUUAAUACUUACAUGUGCUUCCGACUGUUGGUCUAAUAGAAGCCGUAUAUCUUCAAGAGAGGUAGGUAAUCGAGCAUGACUUGCCGGAUGGUUCCACCUAAUUAAAUAAAAUUUUAGCAUACUUUUAUUUUUAAAAAUCUACAUAAUAAUUGUAAAAUCUAAUAUAAAAUUUACCUCGUUAUGAGUGGGAAUGUAUAUGGGUGGUCCACUCGAGGACGUAGAAAUGGAAAGCGAAAUCGUGCCCACGACUGUAGUAGUGAUAGGCAACCUCCAAUUUUUGCUCUCCUCGGUCGCGUCGCCCUGCACAUCUCCCGAUAUAACGUUGCCAAGACGGCAGACCCCCAACUCAAUUCACUGGCUACUCUAAAAUCGACGAGUUUCAGCAGUCAUCUUAGAUGUACGCGGCUCCCUGACGUGUCGGGCAUCAGAUAACCACCAAUUAUUUGAAGAAUGUAGGCCCGAGCAUAUUGGAUUCUUUCAAUUUCGGUUGAAUCUUCAUCCGGAUCAGGGAAUGUGUCACGUAACUAGCCCAUCUCAAUCUUACCUCCCUCCAUUUUCUCCGGAAUAGCGCCCAAAAGCUUGUAGCACACCGCCCCCCAAUCGCUAGAUUGGGCAGACCCGAUGACUGGGUACCCGUCCACCGGUAAUCCUAAUUGGAAACUGACAUCUUCUAGAGUGAUAGUGCACUCUCUACUUGGAAGAUGGAAUGUGUGCGUCUCGGGUCUCCACCUCUCGAUCAACGCACUGAUUAGUUUCGGGUACAACUUGCAUCCCCGGCCUACCGUCGCCACGUGCCAAAAACCUGCUUCCCGCAGGUAGUUCUCUACUAACGGUGAUGGAGGAGCAUGCAUAUUCUGGAUCUUGCAUUCCAAUACCCGAUCUACAGACUUUUAUAACAAAUAAUAAAUUAAUAAUUAUCUAAAAAUGCAUAAAUAAAAAAUUCUUAAAUAAUAUUUAAAAAUUAAAUUUCACACUUACCAUUUUCAUUUGUUCCACCGAUAUGUGAUGCUUAUCAAGACAAGUCAAUGAUCCAGCCAUUGAUGAAAUCGUACAAAUUUUUACGAAUUAUAAAAAAUAUAAAAUUAUUUUUAAAAAGGAAAUUGAGAGCAAAUUGAAAUUAAAUAUGGAUUUGAGAGAAUUUUGGAAGGAAAUUAAGAGAAAAUUGAAAUUAAAUAUGGAUUUGAGAGAAUUUUGGAAGGAAAUUGAGAGGAAAUACGAGAGAGCAUUAGUUUGUGAAAAAAUAAAAAGGGGUGGGGGUAUUUAUAGCUUUUUUUUACCGUUGGGGGGGCAACAGUCAAAUUUUUGACCGUUGGAGCAUUGUUCAUGCGCGGAGGAAAUCGCGGCCACGUCAGCGCGAUUUGCUGACAUGGCAUCAAAUCGUGUUCUAGAGGGCGCGAUUUGUUGCCAUGUCAGCAAAUCGCGCUGACGUGGCCGCAAUUUCCUGGCGCGUCCCCUGACAUCGCGCUGACGUGGACGCGAUUUGUCGAAAAAUGGAUCAUUCUGGUAAAUAAUUAAAUAAUGGGCCCAUUUCGGUAAUUUUUGAAAAAAAAGGGCUUAUAUUGGUAAUUUGCCCGUAAAAAUCAUCUGAAAAUAAGACGAAAUUCAAAGUACAACACCAAGUCUUCAUCAAGCAGUGUACAUGUCCAAAUUACUAUAUUGAUUAAUAAUAACAUUGAAUAAAUAACCUUCAAGAUUCAAUCCUUUAAGUUUUCUUUCUCCUUUAUUUACUUCCAUUUUAUAUAUGAUAUUUAGACUUAUUAAUGGGUUGAGUUAUUGAUCUAAACUUAAAAGAUUGUUUAAAUUUUGAAGGAGUUUUGGUAAAAAUAUUAAACCCUAAAAAUAGGACUAGACAAAAAAAAUUAAGUUUAUUUAAAAUAUGAGUUAAACUCAUAUAUGAACAUUCAAGGAUUGAACUAGGCUCGGCCCAUUUUUAAAAUUUGUAAUUUUUAUAUUAUAUUAUUUUUAUAUAUUAUGUAAUAUAUAAUACAAAAAUUAAAUUUAUAGUAAUAUAUAAUAUCGUAAAAAUUAAAAAAAACAUUAAGAUGAAUAUAUAUAUAAAAGUUUAAUAAAUAAAAUAUAUAAAUUAUUAAAUAGUAUUAAAAAUAAUAUAAAUAAUUUUAAAAAAUAAUUAUAUGGGUGGAUUUAAAAUGAAUUUGGGUUAACUAUUUAUAAGUAUGGAUGGGCUUAAACAAAUUUUAGGUACAUAUUUCAGACUGGGUUUGGUUUCUUGACAACCAGAAAAUGUGUUAACAACAUACUUAAAUCUAACCGAAACUCAACCCGACGCAUAGGGGAUUAUGUUUAAACAUCAAAUAAUAUUUGUGAAAUAUGAUUAAUUUUUAGAUAUUGCCUUAUGAGUAAAACUUUUUUAUUAGUUUGAAGAGUUGUGAGUUUAAUACUCUCUCAAAAUCGAUUCUUUAAUCAAUUUCCAAUUCAACCAAUUUAUCAGUCGAUCUAAUUCGGUUCAAACAACCCUAAUUAUAUGAAUUUCAAGCUGUUGAAGUUACAACUGAUAUUAAAAUAAAUCGGAACCUUCUCUAUCUCACCAAACUUACUCUAAACCAAGAGCAUAAAAAAUAAAAAAAUAAAAAUCCUCCUCUAAACCAUGCAGUGUUAGCAAUCGUAAGAUCUGUUAGUGAAACAUUGAGUAGAAACUAUAGAUGACAACAAGUGGGAACCCUCACCUUGUCAGAGAUCAUAGGAAGUAUUGAACUCUUAUAAUUAGAAUAAUCAAGUUCCACUGCAAAUAACGAUCAAAACCCACAAAAAUAAAAAUGCAUACCAUGAACAUGCAGCAGUUCAUAAUAUUCUUUGAAGUUUUAGACUCUUGACAAUAACCAGAAAAUUCAAACACAAACACAGUCUGUAUCUUCAGUUCAUAAACAUCCCAAUAAACCAUUGGGAUUCAAACACAAAACCAUCACACAAACACAUAUUGUCAGUAUCUUCAGUUCAUAAACAUCCCAAUAAACCAUUGACAUUCAAACACAACCAUCACACAAAUGCAUACUGGCAGUAUCUUCAGUUCAUAAACAUCCCAAUAAACCAUUGAGAUUGUAUUUCAAAGAAGCAAAUUACUCAACCCGUGGCUUUUUCGGCAAACUGGCUAGAUUCAGUUGGUUUUCUUUUAACCCAGCUUCGUCCUGAUCCAGCUUCAGUUUCUUUUCUUUUAAGUCAGCUUCGUCCUGAUCCAGCUUCAGUUUCUUCUCUUUUAAGUCAGCUCCAUCCUUCUCCAGCUUCAGUCUGUCUUUUCUAAUAUUAGCUUUCUUCUUCCACUACACCAAAACAGGGUUUUAGCGGCACUUUCUUAGGUCUAUAGUGGCGUUUUUUAGCGCCGUAAAUACUUUUAGCGGCGCUUCGCAAAGUGCCGCAAAGAUUGCUGCUAAUGACAGCGUCGGUAACUUUCGCGGCGCUUUCUAUGAUAAACGCCGCUAAAGAUCAGGAAUUUUAGCGGUGUUUUUUUUACAACGCCGCUAUAGACCAUGUUCUUUAGCGGCGCUUAAAUAAAAACACCACUAUAGACCGUGAUCUUUAGCGGCGCUUAAAAAAAACGCCACUAUAAACCGUGGUCUUUAGCGACGCUUACCAAAAAAUGCCACUAUAGACCAUGGUCUUUAGCGGUGCUUAACCAACAAACGCCACUACAGACCAUGGUCUUUAGCGGCGCUUAACCAACAAAUGCCACUACAGACCAUGGUCUUUAGCGGCGCUUAACCAACAAACGCCACUAUAGACCAUGGUCUUUAGCGGCGCUUAGGCGAAAAACGCCACUAUAGACCAUGGUCUUUCGCGGCGCUUAGGCGAAAAACGCCAAUAUAGACCAUGGUUUUUCGCGGCGCUUAGGAAAAAAACGCCACUAUAGACUGUGGUCUUUAGUGGCGCUGACCAAAAAAUGCCACUAUAGACCAUGGUCUUUAGUGGCGCUUAGGCGAAAAACGCCACUAUAGACCAUGGUCUUUCGCGGCGCUUAGGCGAAAAAUGCCACUAUAGACCAUUGUCUUUCGCGGCGCUUAGGAAAAAAAUGCCACUAUAGACCAUGGUCUUUAGUGGCGCUUAUGCAAAAAACGCCGCUAAUUUUGGUAGAUUUGGAAAGUUUUUUUUUUAUUUGCAGCCCUCCCGUAAAAACAAAUCAGAAGAAACCAAAUCUAAACCAACCAAAAGUAAUAAAUCUAUAUAAUAUUUAAAAUAAAUGUCAAUAAAUAAAAUAAAAUUCGUAUUAUUCUUACAAAAAUUGUAAAAGUUUAAAUGAUAAUACCAAAGUCAAAAUUGAAGUAUAUUUACACGAUAGUCUAAGACGACGGCGGUUGCGAUUGCUGAAACAUCUUCAUCAUAUUCUGAAGCUGCUGCUGGAGUUUAUCGAACUUUUUAAGUUGUUCUGCUUCCCUCGCCGCAGCCUCUACUUUACUCGCUUUAGCCUCUGCUUCUCUCGCUGCCGCAUCUGCUUUAAGCUGCUGCUGGAGUUCUUCAUGCUUUCGUUGAACCUCAACUUCUCUCGCUGCUGCCUCUGCUUCUCUCGCUGCCGCAUCUGCUUUAAGUUGUAGCUGGAGUUCUUCAUAUCUUUUUUGAACCUCAGCUUCUCUCGAUGUUGCCUCCGCUUUAAGUUGUGUAAUUUGCUCAGUUGUUGUCGCUUGCAUCUGAGAUAUCUGGUCUCUUAACCUCUAAACUUCAGCUUGGGCCUGACUCGCCGAACGCAUGUGUUGUUGCGAGCUGGAUCCAAAAUAUUGGGAUGGGUUAACAAAAGAUCCUUGAAAUCGAACCCGACCAUACCUUUCAGGACCCAAAACUUCAGUGAUAAUUCGGUUAUCAAUGUCGUCAAUAUGAACAGAACUAUCACUGGAAGUAAUCGCUUCGUACUCUACUUUUUUAUCCUUCAGUUUUUCCUAAAAAAUAAAUCACAUAGUUAAGAACGCAAUAUAUAUUAAAAAAACAAAUGCAACAUAACUUAACAAUAUUUGCAUUACAAGAAAUGAAAUAAACCAUUAGAAAAUAAACAGUAUAAAUAAUUAAAAUAAGUCAAACUGUAUUAAGCAAACGUACCAUAAUUUCUGCAGCUUCAGGAGUCAUAGGGUUUCCAUCUUUCUUCCUAUGUGUAAUGUUAAAAAGUUGAAGGCGUCCAACUUUUUGACCCGACAACACUUCCUACAAUACAAUAGUAAAAAUAUUAUUUGAUAGAAAGAAAUAAAUAUCUGCCAGUAUUAAAAAAUUCAAAAUACCUCGGCCUGAGCUACACACGCAAAACUUCUCGACCCAGCUGUGUGCGUGAAUUUUUGUUUCUGCCUACUACUUGNNNNNNNNNNNNNNNNNNNNNNNNNNNNNNNNNNNNNNNNNNNNNNNNNNNNNNNNNNNNNNNNNNNNNNNNNNNNNNNNNNNNNNNNNNNNNNNNNNNNUAAAUACUAUAAACCAAAAUAAUUACAAGAUUUUUGUAGUAACACAUACCUCUCAUUUCUUCGAAGUCCAAAAUCUAACGACCUCUUCCCACUGGUACCUUAGCAUUCCCGGCGGGACAUUUUGUAAUUUCUCGUCGAGUGUUGUUUUUGUCUUAAAAUAGUCUUUCUUUAAAGUGCUCUUAUGGUCUCUCCAUCUUUUUCCCAAUGCCUUCUUUACAUAAGCAUCGGAGACCUCUAGAGCAAAUCUCGCCUAAAAAAAACACAACUUAAGAAAGUAAAUGUAAACGAAACUUAAACCCAAGUAUUAUAAAUGACAUACACGUUUUUUUACCUUAAUGUUAUCGAGAGCUUGGUUCUUGUUACUCUCGGGCACUUUAUGCCAUGACUCGAAGUUAAUUGGCAACAUAUUUGCAUUCUGUGCUAGAAUGCCCAUGUAUCCUGCUAAAAGGCGAGCUUCUGAUCCAACAGGCUGACCAAAGCUAUUACUGGAUACUUGGACACGCUCGACUGGAUCUAGAUCGUAUAAAUCCCUCAGUAGCGUACGUCCGUGAACUCCUCGCGUCCCAGCAGUUUCAGCUAGAAAAUAAAAGUAUUGUAAUAUAAGAAAUUUAAAAAAUAAAAUAAAUAAUAUGUCAACACACAUGUAAGUUAAAUGUUAAAUUACUUUUAGCUUCUAUAGGUUCAAGUGUAACCGGAACGUUCAAAGAUCCAAUAGCAGUUUUUGUUCAGUGCUGUUUGUUUCGGUCGAGUUUGGAGUACCUUGAACAAUACGGUGCGCUCGCACGGGUCUUCUAGGCAUUUUAUCUACAAUAUAAAUAAAUUAGUGGAAAGCUUAAUAUACAAUUACAACAAUAAUAAUAUGUUUAAAAUAGUUUAAAUAUAUAAUAAGACCAAUAUUAUGAUAUGAUAUUACAUAUAAUUAAAUAAUCGUAAAAGCUUACUAUAUUAUAAUCCAUAAAUAUCUUCAUUCGUAUCCUGGCGGACCCAUUGACUGUGUGUACUAGUACUAGGGAUGUUUUCGUUUAAGUUUUGUUCUGGAAAUGGCAAAGUUUGUGUUCUGUCGUCAACGCCAUCUCUGCUUCCACUGCCCAUGUCAAACAAGUCCCUAGGGAUGUUACGAAGCACAACGUACCAACCCUCAUCAAUUGGAUCUUUUGAGUAAAAAACGUGUUUGGCUUGAGAAGGAAAUACGUACGGCUCAUCAAUCAAUUGUUGUCCGGUAUGAAUCAAUCGAGUGAAGUUCACCAUUGUGAAACCAAAUUGAUCUUGCUUAAUUCCACAACCAGUAUUAACAUCGGCCCAAUCACCUCGAAAUAAGACAACUUUCCAUUUUCCGUAGUAAUCCAACUCAAUUAUAUCAGUAAGAAGUCUGAAAUAUUCUACAUUUCCCUCGACAGGAUUGUUGUCCCUAGCACUAGCAUAACUAGUAACUGAGGAAUUAACAACUAUUCCACAAUUUUGCGUUCUCCUCAAUCUCUCGCGAUAUUUUGUAUGAAAUCUAAAUCCGUUUAUGAGGAACGCACUAUAUCUUUUAACCACCAGAUUUGGACCUUGAGAAAGCCAUUUGACUUCGUCGGUCACGUUCUUCCCACUCCAAACCUAUUGUAUGAUAAGUCAACUGAGUAAUUUCAAAUGUUAUGAGACAAGAUUAUAAUUAUAUGUUGAUGAAAGCUACAAUUGCAUACCGUUUCAGUUAACCAUUCAUGGAAAGAUUCUAUGAACAACUUAUUGAUGUCUCGAAGUUGUGUUUUUCGGGAGCGCGAACGAGAUCUCAGUAUUUGUUUGUACUCACUAUGUAAAAAAUAUGUUCAGCUUGUUAGAAGAUAAACAACUGAGGACUAAUUGAUGAAUAUCAAUCAAAUGGUUAAAAGAUAAAUAAUCUUACUUGCGUAAAGGUUCCAUUGAUUCGUGGUGAAACAGAACAUACCGAUGUGCUUGUACCCACGAAAAACCAUCUAAUUCUGCAAUUUCCACUUUGCCGAUUAGUUCUCCAAAACUUUGGAACAAAUAAGUAUCGGCCAAGUUAUGAUCUGUGAGUCCAGCAUUUCUAUUUGGUCUGCUCAACCUUGUUUCAACAUCAUCCAAAUAUUGCGAACAGAAGGUCAUACAUUCCUCUGCUAAGUAGGCUUCAGUAAUCGAUCCUUCUGGAUAACGCUUGUUGCGGUAGUAAGACAUUAAUUUGGAUAGGAACUUAAACACAAUAAAUAAUGUUAUGAAAAGUUGUACUUAAAGGCAUAUAGGGUUUACGGAAGGAGAGUUUUUAAAAUAAAUUAACACAUUUCUAUGGGAUACAUCCAUCGGUGAAAAACGGGUACGCCAAGAAUUGCUUCUCCCGGGAGGUGGUUUAUCAAGUGAACCAUAAUAGUGAAGAAGGAUGGUGGAAAGAUUUUCUCCAUGUUGCAUAAAGUCAAUGCGGCUCUAUCCUGUACCUUCUGAAGUUCUUGAACAUCCAAAAUGGCUUUCAUUAUAUUGGAUAGUUCAAUUAUACAGGACGUCACCUUCUUCGACAUACAACAUCGUAGAGCAACUGGCAGUAAAUCUUGCAUCAAGAUGUAAUAGUCAUGUGAUUUUAGCGAAUACAGUCUUCGAUCUUUAACACUAACACAUCGAGAUAUAUUUGAUGCAUACGCAUCUGGAACCUUUAUAUCCUUCAACACCGUACAGAACACUUCUUUCUCUGUCCUCGACAUCGAAAAAAUUGAAGGCGGCAACCGAUAUUUCCCAUUAGGAAGUGGACUCGGAUGAAGAUCAGGUCGAAUUCCCAUUUGGACUAAAUCAAGUCAACUCUGAAGAUUGUCUUUUGAUUUUCUAUCUACAUUCAAAAUUGUACCCACAAUGUUCUCGCAGACAUUUUUCUCAAUGUGCAUAACAUCAAGAUUGNNNNNNNNNNNNNNNNNNNNNNNNNNNNNNNNNNNNNNNNNNNNNNNNNNNNNNNNNNNNNNNNNNNNNNNNNNNNNNNNNNNNNNNNNNNNNNNNNNNNCCACAAGUCCGCCUCAUUGGGAUCAUCCUCUUCAUCGGAGUCAUCAUCAGCUUCAUCAUUUGAUCUUCUAUUUAUUUGCAUGUUUGUCGGGUGGUUCAUCUUUCCAUAACCGAAAUUUAUAUCUUUCAACAUGAACAAGAUAUCAGAUCCACUUGUCUGCGAAGGAGCUUCUCUGAACUCUUCGGUACCGUCAAAUACUGAACUCUGAAAUCUAAAUCUAUGAUUUUUCGGUAACCACCGACGAUGCCCCAUGUAAGAGAACUUUUUCCCAUUGUAUAACCAUUGCGAACAUGUUUGUACAGCACAACAAGGACACGCAUAACGACCCUUUGGACUCCAACCGGAUAAAUUGGCAUAAGCGGGGAAGUCAUUAAUGGUCCACAUCAAAGCUGCACGUAAAUUAAAGUUAUCCUUUCUCAGCACAUCGUAUGUCUCGACACCAGCCCGUAAUUGUUUUAACUCUUCAAUAAGUGGUUGUAAAUAAACGUCGAUAUCAUUCCCGGACCCUUUCUCUCCAGGGAUAAUCAUAGAUAAGAUAAGGGAAGAUUGCUUCAUGCAAAUCCACGGAGGCAGGUUGUAAGGAACAAGCACUACUGGCCAAGUACUGUACGCAGUGCUCAUGAUCUUGUAAGGAUUAAAUCCAUCGGAUGCUAGGCCAAGCCUCACACUCCUAAGAUCUCUUGCAAAGGUUGGAAAUUUAUUGUCGAAUGAUUUCCAAGCUAAAGAAUCUGCUGGAUGCCUUAAUAAUCCAUCAUCGAUUCAUCCAUCAUGGUGCCACGUCAUUGACUCCGCUGUCCUCGACGACAUGAAAAGCCUUUGAAGCCUUGGUAUCAGCGGAAAAUACCACAAAAUCUUGACCGGCUUCUUUCUUGGUUGUGCAUCAUUUUCAUCGUCGUUCCCGUCUUCUGUGUUUCUAUUUAUCCAACGGGAUUCGCCGCAUACAUGACAGCACUGUUGGUUUCUCCGAUCGCCCCAAUACAACAUGCAGUCGUUCGGGCAACUAUGGAUUUUGUUGUACCCAAGACCUAAGUCUUUUAUCAUUUUCUUCAUAUCUUUGCAUGACUGAGGGAUUUUUGCAAAUAGAAACAUUUCUCUCAAAAACUCUAGCAGCAUUGUCAAAGAGCACAAUGUACCAACCCUCCCAAACAUUUUAACUGGAAAAGACGAACGCAGAAAGCCAUUUUGGAGAAUUUUGAUCCCUCAUAUAGUUCUUCGUUCAUCUCAUUAAGAAGCGCAUAGAACUUCACCACUUCUCCAUUCGGCUCUUCAUGAGGUACACUUGUUCCCCGUUCAGUAAAAGCAUUUGCACCAGCAUUACAAUUAUCAGAUGCCACAAAGUCGGUCGGGAACGACUGAAAACCAUGACUGUGCAUAUUAAAUGCAUCCCGCAACAUACCUUUCAUGUCAUCCCCUCUAUCAGACUGAUGGUAAGCAGUACCAGGAUAAGAUACACCUAUUCUUGAAGAGGAAGUACUAGGCGGGCAUUCUCCAUGGAAAAACCAUUUUUUAUAACCUCGAACAAACCCAUCAACAACUAGAUGCUCGUAUACAACUUCACGAUAAUGCCAGUUUAUGUUGACACACUUGUUACAGGGGCAAAGAAUCAUGUUCUCUUGGCUUGCAUAUUGAAAUGCAAAAUUCAGAAAAGUUUGUACUCCAUUUCUAUAUUCGUUGCUUACCCUUGACAAAUACAUCCAAGACCGGUCCAUUGCUUAAUUAUUGCAAGUCUGAUUUUCAGCAGAAAUUACAAGGGUAAGUUGUUAACUUCAUUGGUAUUGUUUCACUAUCUAAGUUAUCAUAUGAUAUAUAUUAAUAAGUUAUGUCGUAUUAUAUAAGUUAUGUAUUAAAAAUGUAAAAGUAUUAAUAAGUUAUGUAAGUUAUGUAUCAUUUAUCCAUAAAUAUAUUAAUAAGUUAUGUCGUAUUAAUGUAAGUUAUGUAAUUUAUGUAUAAUAUUAAUGUAAGUUAUGUAAGUUGUAAGUUAUGUAAUUUAUGUAUAAUAUUAAUGUAAGUUAUGUAAGUUGUAAGUUAUGUAUAAUAUUAAUUAAUUAAGUUAUGUAAUUUAUGUAUAAUAUUAAUGUAAGUUAUGUAAUUUAUGUAUAAUAUUAAUGUAAGUUAUGUAAGUUGUAAGUUAUGUAUAAUAUUAAUUAAUUAAGUUAUGUAAUUUAUGUAUAAUAUUAAUGUGGCUUCUACGUCUCNNNNNNNNNNNNNNNNNNNNNNNNNNNNNNNNNNNNNNNNNNNNNNNNNNNNNNNNNNNNNNNNNNNNNNNNNNNNNNNNNNNNNNNNNNNNNNNNNNNNNNNNNNNNNNNNNNNNNNNNNNNNNNNNNNNNNNNNNNNNNNNNNNNNNNNNNNNNNNNNNNNNNNNNNNNNNNNNNNNNNNNNNNNNNNNNNNNNNNNNNNNNNNNNNNNNNNNNNNNNNNNNNNNNNNNNNNNNNNNNNNNNNNNNNNNNNNNNNNNNNNNNNNNNNNNNNNNNNNNNNNNNNNNNNNNNNNNNNNNNNNNNNUGUAUAUAAUGCUCAAAUUCUUCACUAAUAGUGCCAUCAAAGGAUAAUGACAAGACAUUUUUCUCAAUUUCCAUAAUUUAGUCAAAUGAUCCUCUUUCGAUUCCAAUUCCAACCAUUGUUGCUUAUAACCAUUGAGAUUGUAAACUUACCAACGCUAGACCACCUCCACAUGCAUUAAUCAAAUCCUAAAUUAUAUUUUAGAAGGGGCACCUCCAUAUGCAUUAAUCAAGCCCUAAAUUAUCUUUUGGAAGGGGAAUCGAAGCAAUCUACAAAAGGAUCGACUAUUCUAAAAGAUAAGCAAAGGAAUCCCAUUUCCAAUUGUCAUGAUUAUCUACCAUAUCGGAGACCNNNNNNNNNNNNNNNNNNNNNNNNNNNNNNNNNNNNNNNNNNNNNNNNNNNNNNNNNNNNNNNNNNNNNNNNNNNNNNNNNNNNNNNNNNNNNNNNNNNNGCUAGCUUCCAUAGUGCUUUUGCUAAUCAAAGGUCUUACAUUAAGCAGCUACCUUUCUAUUAACAUCGUCACACUUCUUCCAUUGUCUACUGACCAACUUAUAUUAGUUCGAAGCAUCUCUUGUACUUUCAUGAAUGAACCUCAAACUUAUAUUACAUUUUACCAUGUACUAAAAUGAGAAUGAGAUAUUAAACCAUAAUAUGUUGAUCGGAAAGGCAAAUGGGAGCACAUGGGAUAAGAAUUAGAGGACCCACAUGCAAAUAUGUCCUUAAAUUUGAAAGCUUUUUCAUGGGAACUUGAAGAAUAUGCAAAUUAUUAACAAAUUUUUCACUACAAGCCUGCAAAUCUAUUUCAGUGAAGGAGAGAAGGAGGAAAACCUGUCGACUGUUGUACCCUAGCGACGGCAGAGAACUGCGGUGGUACAGCACUGUGACGGUCGACGGUUGACGAGCGAGAACAGAAGGGUCGACGAGCAAUGUAGCAGAGAUGGUUGGGGCGCAGCAGCCUAGGGUUCUAGAAUUGGGGGAUUUUUGGGGGAAAAAUCGGGAGCAAUUUUGGGGAGAAAUUUGGGGGGAAUUUCGGCUAAGUGUUGGGAGUAAUUGGGAUGUAAGAGACGAUCUUUUGCGGUGUUUUUAACCUAUCGCCACUAAUGCUGUUAAUGUGGCAGAUAAAACGACACCGUUUAUUUAAAACCGGAAAGAAAUUUUGCGGCGUUUUCCACAUAGCACCGCUAAAUCCAACCUUUAGUGGCGUUUCGACACUUGCGCCGCAAAAGCCAUUCAAUUCUCAAACAAAACUACAUCGUUUUCACCAAAUCUUUAAUAACUUGUUGCGGCAGUUUUGCUAAGAACGCCGCGAAAACUCACAUCUUUUAUUUAUUUAUUUAUUUAUUACCUGUAUCUUUUAUUAACUGUAUCUUUUAAUUACUAAGUAUAAUUAAAGUUUAGCAAUCCUUUUGACAAUGAUAAUACAAUAAUAAUAAAAAUUUAUUAAUUAUUAAAACAAUUGUACACUACUAAAAGUUUACUUUUAUAUUCGUAAUUAACUUUUAAUAUUUUAGACUAAAUUGUUAUAAUUUUUUCUUUUGCUUUCUAGUUCUUAUUUAUUAUUAUACAAAUACAUAACGAAUUAAUCAAGUAUUAUAUUUCAUUACCAAGGAAUAUAUCAAUGAAUUCAAAAUUCCUACAUUUUUCCUAUAUAACACAUUUUAAUAAUAUAAAAGUAUUAAUUAAUUAAUUGUAUCAUUUAACAAGUCUCAAUUAAACCUUAAACCCUAAUUUAACCAUUCAAUAUACAUGCAUAUAUAAAGUUAUCUAUACAGUAUUACGACGUCGUUUUUUUCCUAUCUAACCCAGUUGCGGCGUUUAUACAUAAGCACCACAAAAUAUACAGUCAAUUGCGGUCGUUUCGACAUCAGUUAAAUUAAACUCCUGGCAUUUUCAACCCUAAACGCCACAACUAAAAUACGUAAAACGGCACCGUUUAUAUAUAAAACUUAAACUAUUUGCGGCGUUUUAGGGAAAGCGCCACUAAAGACAAUGCCAAACUACGCAGUUUCUUAACUCAUAAUACACUAUUGCGGCAUUUACAAAAAGCGCCACUAAAUGGAAACAACAAAACGGCGAUGUUUUGCUAACAUUUCAAUAAAAUUAACCGAUAUUUCAAUGAUUUCGUUUAAAUUAGAGAGAAAAUUUUAACUAAUAAUUACACAUUUUAAAAAGAAAAUACAUCAGUAUAUUUUUAUAUUGAAUAAAUAUAACUAUUUAUGUAUGCAAUAUGAAUAAAAUUUUAUUUUAAUUAUAUCAAUAAUUAUGUUACUAUUUUACAAGAUUAUCUGGAUCACACACGAUAAAAGUUAAUGUAUAAAAUAGUUGAACAAUAAAACAUUGUUCGUGUCUGCUUUUGGGAUUUAACCCAUUUUGAUAUAUUUUUUAAAAUAUUAAUUUAUAUUUACAUUAUUUUCAUUUAUAUUAAUCUAGAAUAUCUAUAAUUAAACACAAAAGCCCCAACCUGAAACCCUAAAAUCAUCAACCAUGUUAUUUAUCCGUAACCAUCAAACCCCAAACUAUAAACCACUAUACUGUAAGCCUUAAUUAAUUAAUCGUAAACCCUAAACCUCAAACUAUAUAAACCUUUACCCUAAACCACAAACCCCAAAUCAUAAAACUUAAACCCUAAACCCGUCAAUUAACCAUAAACCACCAAACCACAAAAUCCAAUCCACAAUAUAUCGUACGCAUGAACCGUAAAUCUUAAACCCUAAAUUAACCAUAAAAAUUAAACUCGUAAACCACAAACAACAACCACCAAAUCAUAAACUCUAAACCCUAAACUUGGCCACCCCUAAAGUCUAAACCGUAAGUCAUAAACCAUAAUCCUAAACCAUAUCUUUGAAAAUUCGGGUGCCCAAUGUGUUAGUUUAGUACAGAACAUAUAUUUUAUAUUAUUUAAUUAUUUAAUAUAGGUGUGCUACAACGUGGCAUGGAUCCCAGUAAAAUUAAAAUGUUAUUCUUUAAUUAGUUUUCAAAUAGUAGUAGAUAUAUAUCUUUAAACCUUAAACAUCAAACCUUCAAUCCCUACCCCCAAAAUAGAAAAUAGUAUAUAUACCAAAAACCCUAAAACUCUGUAGCAAAAAUAAUGGAAAAAUAAAUCCUAAAAUAAUGGAAAAAUAAAUUAAGUUUCUUGUGGCGUUUUUAAUCUAAAGCGCCACUAAAAAUUACUCUAUAGCGGCGUUUCCAAAUAAGCGCCGCUAAUUAAUCUAUACAUGAAGCCGUAACGAUGCGUUUUGGACAAAUUUUUUGCGGCGCUUAAGCAAAAGCGCCACUAAAAGCUGAUAUCUAGCGGCGUUUAUGGGUAAGCGCCACUAAAGGCACUAUAGCUCAAGACGAAACGUUGUGUUUCGCUUUCAAACUUUCCGGCGUUUUUCAGUUACACACCGCUAAUAUCAGGCUAUAGCGGCGUUUAUCACAAGCGCCACAAUUGGCUCUAUGCCUCAUUGCCAGACGCUGCGUUUUGGUUCAAAUAUUUUGUGGUGCUUGUUCUAUAGCGCCGCUAAUGAUGUGCUUCAGCGGCGUUUAUACAAAAGCGCCACUAAUUCUACCAUAACUCAAUAUUGUACGUUGCGUUUUGUUUAACAUUUUUUGCGGCACAUACAAAAAAACGCCGCUAAUUGCACUCUAUAAUGGCAUUUUCAUAAUGCGCCGCUACUGCCACUAUUCCUGAAUAUUGAACGAUGCGUUUUGUCAGCUUUCUUACGGCGUUUUUGUUUAAAAACGCCACUGAUGGUGCUCUUUUUGCGGCGUUUUGAUAGAAUCGCCGCUAUUGCUGGAUCUUUACCUGCGUUUUGUGAUUAACGCCGCGAAUGCCUGAUUUUUAGCGGCGUUUAAUCUACAAACGCCACAAAAAGCCGCUAAAUCCCGCUUUUGGUGUAGUGUUCUCAAAUCUCUUCUCCUCUGCUUGAUACUCCAUUUCAUAAGCACGAGCCUUCAUCAACUUAUUCAUGAUGUUUUGCACCAUUGCCUCCAUAGUUGUGAUGACUUUUAGCUCAAGUAUCUCUGGGUUACUUACUAUUUUAUGGUAAACUUCAUCUAGUGAGUUCAUAAUGAUCCUUUGAACAUCUGCAUGACUACAUAAAAAAAAUUGUUAUCAGUAUAAGGGUGCUUUUGAAAUGUCAGUGAGCACUUGAGUUCAUAAAUAUUGUAUACCCCUGGACAGUUGACAGCUUCAUAUCGUCUUGAUUUGCUCUGACAUCACCGCUGCCUUCAGUCAGAUCAUUGUAUAUCUUGUCGUCUAGAAAACAAAGUUAUUAAGUAGGAAACAUAAAGGAUAUUAAUAUUUACAAUUAACAAGUAAAAAGCUGAGGAUUUUAUAAGAUCAUUUAUCAACUUGCAGCAAUUACCUGACAGAAGAAAGUUUUCAAUAUCAAACAACGGCAGUGACAGAAGCUCCUGUAGAGAAAGAGAAUCAGAUCUGAUCCAAAAAUAAGCAAUUUGAAUUUAAAAAAUAUAUACAGGCCAAUACUUACUGGAUCAACAUUAAGCCCCUUUUCUAGUGAGUCUACUUCAUGAUAACCCUGCAAAUAAGGAGAGAAGUACACAACAUUAAGCCCCUUUUCCUACUCAGGACUUUGGUGUGUGUUUGACUAAUAUUUCUAUGAUUGCGUUUAUCUGUAUUUGAUUCCAAUUCAUUGAAAUCAUCCAUGUAUUCCUUGAAUGAACGUACAAUCUAAGACCCAUAAGAAAAAGGACAUAAAAGGAUCAUAAGACAUAAAAAUCCGAAUAUUUAAACUACAAAUAUUUCUGUCUGAUAACUAAUGUUCAGGUAGAAUAAUCUGAGUUCAACAAUUGCUUACAAAGAAAGUAACAAACAUUUCUGGCCAAUAUAUAUAUAUAUAUAUAUGUAACCCAGAGAAUUAAUAAAAAGAAGUGAUAUUUUUGGUUGUGUCACUUUAUAGUUUGCANNNNNNNNNNNNNNNNNNNNNNNNNNNNNNNNNNNNNNNNNNNNNNNNNNNNNNNNNNNNNNNNNNNNNNNNNNNNNNNNNNNNNNNNNNNNNNNNNNNNUGACAAGUUGUACUUAUAUGACAGUAGGAAUAGCUGAGAAGGGUUAAAAUUUUCAUUGGUUAAAAGAGAAUCUAUUAUUACAACAGAGAAUUAAACUUGAUUUUUGCAUCAUUUAUUGAAAGGAUUGAAUAGAAAACUAGUCGACAAUACAUGAUUGCCUAUUCAAGUCAUAAUUUGCUCAACAAAAAUCAAAAUUCGGUUCUAAGUGAAAAAAAAGAACAGAACAGAACAUGAGAGCCAAAAGACAAGUUAUUCUGUGUACACCUCCAGAAGACUGUGAUAUAGACGCUUUUAUUGCAAUAGGAGUUUUAGUUUUAUUUAUUUAUUAUAUCAGGUUUUAUUAAGAGUUUUAAUUUUACUUAUUUUUUCUAUUAUAUUAGGUUUUUAUUUUCAAGUUAAGAAUUCUACUAGGAUUCUUUCCUUCGUUAUUAACAGACUAUAAAAUGCUGCCAAUAUGAAAUAAAGAAAUAAGCAAUUAUUCUAUCAAAAAGAAACGAUAUUAUAAGAGGGGGUUCAGUUAAGGAUGAAUCUGUCUUUUGAGUAAUCAUAGGUCGAUGUAAGAAUUCUUUCUCGUCUAGACCUGUGACUAGAUUGCAAAGGGAGGGGGACAAACAACAAAACCAACGGGGAACAACGGCAAAAUAGGUUCUUCUGCACCAUUUAUUAAGAGACUGACACAGACAGAAAUGGCGGAAAGAAUGGCUAAGGGGUUGUGUUAUAAUUGUGAGGAGUCCUAUUCCAUGGGACACAAAUGUAAAAGGUUAUUUUGGAUAGAAGUACCAAAUGUUGAAGGCAAGCAAGAUGAUGAUGAGGUAGAUGAUUUUGGAUAAGUUCUGAAGUUUAUUCUGAAUUUGAGCUUGAGGACAAGCUCAACUCCAAGGAGGGGAGUAAUGAUAUGGACGCUUUUAUUACAAUAGGAGUUUUAGUUUUAUUUAUUUAUUAUAUCAGGUUUUACUAAGAGUUUUAGUUUUACUUAUUUUUUCUACUAUAUUAGAUUUUUAUUUUCUUCAUACACUCUAAUUUAGGAUUUCUAUUUGGACUCUUUCCUUUGUUAUUAACUGUCAAUAAAAGGUUGCCAAUUGAAAUAAAGAGAUAAGCAGUUAUUCUAUAAAAAAGAAACGUUAUUUUUGAGUAACCAUUGGUCGAGGCAAGAAUUCUUUCUCAACUAGACCUGUGACUAGAUCCUACGCCAAGGCGCAUAAGAGACAUUUUCUAAAUAAACUUACCACAUCAACCCUAAAAAUUUAAUAAUGCAAGAACAAAUUACCAAGAAAGAAAAGUCAUGCCGCUACUACUAAGUUACAGAGUCAUGUUUUCUACAAUAAUUUUCAUGAUAAAAGUAAAAUCUAAAGCUCCAUUGAUUAAAAUACUAAUGACAAAUUGGGUGCUUCUACUCAAAAUGUUUACCUGUAGAUUGAUGUGAAUCUUCGCACCUCUGGUACAAUCAGGGGUUAGAGGAAAAUGGAACAUAAACUGUUCAUCUUCCAUUUGCACAAGAUCUUGAAUACUAACAGGAUUUGUAAGCUUUUGGUUCUUAAUAUCUUGUAGCAUUACUAAAACAGAAGCCAAAACUUUGUUUACUAUUUUUUCCACUAUGCUAAAGAACUUAACCUCUGAGAUUAAUUCCUCUGUUUGGUCCACAAUAGCCUCUCCCUGCAAUGCUUUUACUGAAAUAUAAAGAAAGCAGAUAACAAAUUUUAAUUUAAAUGAUUAAAACAAAUCAAGAUUAAUAUAUUUAUAUAUGUAAAAAAGAGUUAUUAAAACAUGCCUAGGAUGUCUGUCUCUGGUAUUCCUUAAGCAGUCUCCAGAACAUCAACAACAAAUGGCAUUAAUCAACAUAAAAAUCGUACCUAUGAGUGAGAUUACGUGAGGAAGGUCCUUGCAAAUCUCAUCAGCACACUCUAUGUUCCGGACUGGAUUUGUUGACUGGUUCAAAAAUGAAUCAAGCUCUUGAAAUGCAUUUUCGAUGCUAAGACUGGAACUGGCAUUAUCGACAAUCCUGGGCUGCAUCAAAUUUUUCAAUCGUUGCAGUAAGAGUUGAGGGUCACGAAGCCGAUUCAUCCCUUCCACUACUAUCUCUUUCUUUUCUUCCCAUUUCCUCUACAUUCAAAAAAGUUACUAAAAGCAAUUAGAAACAUAAAUGAACUUGCACCCUCAGUUUUUUAGCUCAAUAUUCUUGAGUAAAAACAAAAGCACGAUAAUCUGAUACUUGUAGCAAAAAGUUGAACACACUCCUGGUAUUUGGAAAAAAAGAGUCAGAAAUUGCAGGAUUGACAUGUUACGUUGUAGUGGGAGUCGGAUUGGCAUGGAUUAGUUUGCUCUUUUUUCUUUCUUUUUUUUCAAAAUACAAAUUAUAAAAAGAGAGGAAAAGUCUCACAGCAGCUUGAUAUCUGUCAUCACCAUCCAAUAGCAUACGCAUCAAUUCUCCCACCAGCUCGUUACAGUCCUGCAUAUAUAUGGAGAGUAACUAUUAUUAAACAAACCCUAAACGAUAAAGAAAAUAGCUUAAUUGCAAGAAAGGAAAGAAAAUGAAUAGGUACCUUGAUUCUUUUACGACUGCGCUUAUCUUUAUCUGAUUCCAAUUCUAUGAAAUUCCCCAUAUAUUCCUUGAACGACGUACAAUCUGAGAAUCAAGCAAAAUGAUAUAAAAAUAUCUUACAAUAUUCUGUAAGUUCAAAUUUUCCUUUAAAAGCAAAAUAUAUUUCUAAAAAAAGCAAAGUCAAACUCGAUUCUAUCCAGUAGACCAGAGAAAAAUAUAAACCAAACCAGCAAAGAGCGAAGAGAAAUGGAGCUUAACAUUGCUUACGAUUGCAGAGUAGAGACUUCUUAUGCCGUCGCAGAAAUCUUUUAUCAUUUUUUCCUCAAGACUUUUAUUUCUGAUGCAUUCGCACGAUCGUGCGAAUUUCGCUUUUCUGAAUUAUUCGAAAAAAUAUUAAAAAGAAAUUGAUUAAAUCCCAAAUUUUGAAAAAGUAGUCUAUUUUCCAUUUGUGUGUUCACAAUAAUCUACAUUUACUGUUGAAGUUAUCAAUAAUUCUCGUUUCUCCCGUUUGAGAAAAAUUAAGUUGAUACGUUUGCAGGGGUAUUGCCAAGGGUGUGUUAGCAAAUGUCUGUUCCUUUAAAGAAAAAAAAUUAAAUUACUCAACUCUCGAUAAUAAUAAAAAAUUCACUAAACUAUAAAAAGUUACAUUUUAAUCACUAAUGUUUUUUUAAUGAAAAAAUAAUAAAUAGAAAUUCAAGUAUCAACUAUUGAAAGACUCUAAAGGUUUUUGUCUCGUUAGAUAGCCGUAACCACCGAAUUAAGAGGUGCUUCAAAUAUCUGAAGGGAGGUCUGCCAAGAGAGACUAAUCUUUGCCAAUUGAUUUGCAAUUAAAUUACACUCCCUAGGAACAUACUUAAUUUUCCAUUGAUCUUCAAAACGUAAAAUACAUUUAACUCUUCUAAGCAAGGUAAUACCGGAGUCCACCGACUCCUCCAUAGACAAGGCACUAACCACCUCAAGGUUAUCUGUCUAAAUCUUGACUUUCUUGUAGCCCUUAUUUAAUAAAAUGAGAAUUCUGUCAAGAAUACCCCAAAGUUCUACCUCCAAAGGUGAACAUCUACCCAAAUAAUGAUUAAAGCCCAAAAUCCAAUUGUCAACCUAAUCACGAACCACCCACCCACGGAUGCAUUUUCGAAAGCUCUAGCCACUCCUCCAUCAAAAAAUAAAUAAACCCAAUUGCCUUUAUAAUGGGAAUGAAUUUCCGAAUUUGGUGAAUUAGGCUUGGCCUCAUUUAGAAAAGGUUCAAAUUGUUUGGCCCAAUUGAGAGAGACUUUUACAAUUUCAUAAGUCGUCCAGUUAAUGUUUUGGAAGAUGAAAAGAUUCAUGUUCUUCCAAAUUCUCCAAGCAAUUAAUCCAAAUAAGCUUGACCAAGUAAUUUCCUUAUCCUGCAUCUUAAAAUGGCAACAAAGGUUAGUGGAAAACCAACUUUGAAGGGAAUCAAAAAAAAAAAACCUGGAUUGCAUCUUAGGAAGGACUACAAGCUUCCAUGCUUCCUUAGCCGUCAAACAGUCUUGGAGUACAUGCAUAAUGUCCUUAGUAUUAUGACCACAUAAAGAGCACGCAGUGUUUUGCUCAAUUCCUCUCUUAACGCUCUCUAAAUUAGUAAGAAGUCUAUGUUUGAACACAAACCAAAGAAAAAGAUGAACUCUCUGUGGGCUUUGAUAUUUCCAAAUAGACUUUCAACUAUCAUCUUUAGGACUCCAAGAAUCUUCUUUUAAAGCCCAGUAAGCAUUACGAACAGAAAAAGACUCUCAAUCAGAUCGAGCCAAAUGAUCCCAUCCUCUCCACCAAUACAGUGAGAAGGGGGGAUACUUACUAUACACUUUAUCACGUCAUUAGGUAGCCAAAUACGAAGCAAAUUAACUUUCCAAGAACCAUCAAGAAGAACCCAAUCCCUCAAAGUGCUCUCCAAACCUAUGCUUGCAUGAGCUAGAACAUAAGAAAAAAAGAGGACCAACUUCUAGGAUCCAAGAAUCUUUCCAACAACGAAUUAGAGCCAUCACCUACAGACCACAUAAGAUUCUCACAAAAAAAUGGGUCACACCUUAGAAAGGGAACUCCAAAGAUGAGAGCAUUGAUUUUUGUGGAUAGAAUUUGGAAGCUGAUUCUUCCACCCAUAUUUCGAACAAAGGACACGAACUCAUAAAGCACCCUUUAUAAAGACUAGAUUGAACCCAAUCUUCAUAAGUAAGGAAUUAUUUUGGUCUUGGAGGUGCCGAAACCCGAGGCCCCCUCAAGACUUAGGUUGACAAAUGGACUCCCAACCUUCUAAAGUUGUUUUUGGAUGCCCAGCAGAACCACCCUAAAUGAACUAUCUUGCUAUCCUCUCUAUCUCAUCACACACCUUUCGAGAUUAACAAGGACUGCAUAAAGUAGUUUGAAAUAGCUAAGAGAACUGACUGGGCAAGAAUGAUAACUGAUUGGGCAAGAGUGACAUGUCCCGCAAAGGAGAGUUUCCUAACAUCCCAAUUUUGAGUUAUAGUGACUUGGUACAUUAACCCAAAAGAUAUUAUCUAAUUUGACCUUGACCUCUAGUUAAAAUAUUCAAUUUCAUCCUUUCGCAACCUUUUUUAACGAUAAUUCUAAAAAAAUUAUUUAAAUUUUCAAAAAAUUAUUUAUUUUCUAAAUAUAAAUAUUCACUAAAUUAUAUUUAUCUUUUACGGGUUUUUUAUGCAAAGGUUAAUGUUGUAGUAGCUAGGGAUGUUCAUAGUUCAGUUAAAACCGAAUCAAUCGUUUUAACCAGUCUAAUUCGAUUAAUCAACCAAUGGUCGAAUUUAGUUCAAUCGAAAGUCAGUUAAUGAUUUUUUAAAAUUUCAGUUAUCAGUUAAUUCAAUUCAAAAUCAAAUAAUUAAUCGAAAUAAAUAAUAUAUAUUAUAUAUAAUUAUUAACUUUAAAGAUUUAUGUAAUGUUUUUACAGUUUUAUUUAUUACUUUCAACCCCAUUUAAAAGCUUUUGAACUAUUAAAAGAAAUGACCAUUAGCACUAUAUUCUUAUUAUUUUUUAUACUUAUUUUAAUCAAAAGAUAAAAAAUAUAUAUUUCAAUUAACCGACCAAAUUAACCAAAAUUUUUCAAUUCGAUUAAUGUACUUGAAAAAACUUAAAUUCAGUUCAUGGUUAAAACUUUUUACAUUUCAAGUAAUUCGGUUCAAAUAUUAAUCGAACCAACCGUUUGAACAAUGCAAUCGAUACACUUAUUGAAUGCUUUUAACGGCACCGAUUAAAUUAUCCAACGAAUUCUACAAGAAUAAAUUUAGAAUUGAAUUGGAGUUUGUUCGUAUAUGAAAUACGCACAAAGUCCAUGUAAACCAUUCUUGGCAAAGCCAAUCCUUGAAUAUCCUCUUGUAGCACUUGAGCAGGUCCUGCUGGCGGCACACUAAAAAUUUGCAUGCCAACAUUCUGGUUUGAAGAAAGACAGAGCAUCAGCUAGCCGAUUCGCUUCCCUAUGCACAUUCUGAAUUGAAGUCAGCAAAGCCAAACCAUUCUUCCAAGUUGUAAAAACUCCUGAUUCAAACACAAAAGCAUCCCACUAAACCAUUAAAAGAUUCUAUUCCAACGUCAAAUAGAUUUCGACUUACUUGACCGCAAUAACAAGUAGCAAUUAGUCAACCCGUGGUUUCUUGGACAGCUUCAGUCUGCCUUCUCUUUUUCUUAGAGAAGCAAAAGCAAUUACUGAGAUUUAUAAAUAUAGACACGAACCAUAAAUGAAAAUUUGGGGUUGGAGUAUUAACAGUUCAUCCACUAUUUGCACAAUGUCCUUGAAAAGGAUUUGCCAAGUUCAAAAUGUCGUAGAUCUUAACAUAAGUCGUUGCUUGUUUCUUCUUGCCUUCUUGUGGUCACAAAAGACAUGUUCCUGGAUAUGCAAAGUAGACAAUUAAUAAUCAUUUAUCCGAAGAAAAGAAAUGAGAGAAAGGAGACCCAAAGACGAGAUGAUUGGUACCUGUCUGCAUAAAUUACGGCUAAUACACUGAUGUAAAUCAUAAAUGAAGCACUUUACCGUCCAUCAGUCCGGCUUCUAAGUUAAUAAUUUUGAUCUAAAUCCAACAUCUACUAUUGCCAUAGAUAUCGCACUUAAUACUAUCGGUAUAGUCUUCAGAACUGGAUUCUUCGAGGGAAAAAGAAAACUUGAUUCGCUUUGCUAAGAAAGCUUAUUUGGUCCCUAUCUGUUGAAAUCAGCCAAGAAAUUUGGGCAUGCACUUUGCAGCUUAAAAGACCAUACACUCUGAGCAUCAAUUAGGAAAAACAUUACGGUAUGUUUAUUGAUGAUAAAAAAAUGUCGAAGAGAGGGAAGAAACGACUGCAAACUAAACAUUACCUAGUAAAAUUUAAAGGUAAAUUUCAAAAGAAAAGAACUUUCCCUGAAUCAGACUGUUGAAUUGAGUGAGGAAGGGAUUUGUGAAUCUCAGCCCAAUCUCAGCUCAAACUGGUAUUUGUUGACUGGAAAAGCAUUUUUAGAUUUGUUAUCUGCUUCAAAAAUGCAUUUGUCAACAAAUCCAGUCCGAUCCAAGACACCGGAAUACUGAACUGCAUCUUGAAUUAAGGGUCUUGGGGGUGACUCAUCGCUUCAAGCACUAUCCACUAUCAACAUCCUUCCCCUAUAUAAUAUAAACUUCGCAAAAUAAAAUACUGAAACAAAUUAAAACAGAUUAUAAAAGAGAUUGUGGAUCUUGGUUCAUCGCUCCUUAUACUAUCUACUAUCUACAUCUCUGCAAAAAUAUAUUAAAACAAAAUAUAAAAGACAGUGGUUGGUUCAUUGCUUCUUUUACCAUCUACUAUCUAUUUCCUAAAAGUUACUAAAAAGAAUUAGUAACAGAAACAUCAGCAGAUAAGGAAAAACAACUACAAAAUUUGCAUCUGUAAAAGGAAACACCAAAAUGGUGAGAAUGAGACUCAAGACUAGAGUGAUUUUGCUUACGGACGGGCAAAAACGGAAAAGAACAAAAAUGACCUAAAGUGAAAAGAACUCCUCCACACAACUGAAUAGCAUUUAUGUUCUCCAAUAACAAAAUUUACACUUAUAUAAGGCAAAUGGCCGAAUGGCCUCAGGGUUUCAAAUAGGGUAGGCAUAGUGGUUUCACAGCCGCUAAUUCAAAAUAGCAGCAGCAUCCGCUACCACUAAAGAUCUCAAUAGCUGCGUCAACAUAUUUUCAGAUGUUCUUCGAACUAAGUAAAUAGAGAAAGAGUACAAGAUAAGGCGGAAUCCAAAGUAGAAAAUAAAAUGUAGAGGAGUAACGUAGAGGCUGAGAUAAGGUAAUUGAUACUGUAAGUAGAUAUAUUUUAGGGUUUCGAAAUUUACCUUGCAAAAGAGGAUUUGGAUCUGAGUAAUGGUGAGAUCCCUGCUUGGCGGCCAACGCUGAGAGAUGAGGGUAGGAAGGAGUUUCUUUUUAAAGAAAAUUUUACUAUUUUAGCCCCACAAAAAAAUUAUUGGGCUGUACUUGGGUUUUAGUUUUUGUUCCCUCUACUUUUGUUUUGUUGUCAUUCUUUUUUCCUUUUUUUUUUAUGAUAAUUUUUAUAUAAACUCGGUAGGAUAGUGUUAAGGUGUUCAUCACCCCAAAUAUGAUAUAGGUUUAAGUUGCAUUAGUCGCAUUACUGUUAAGAUUUGAUUUCAGUUUUAUUAACACAAUUAUAUUUUAAUUUAAUAUUCAAGUUUCAUUUAAUUCUUUCUCCUAAUCUUACAUCUUGAUUCUUACAUUUUUUUUAUUAACACGAUUCAAGCAAUUAUAAUUCAAAUGAAUCCAAUUUAAAAUACAAUUGAAUUUAAAAUCAAAAUAUAUUCAAACUUAGACUAAAUAAAUCUAAAAAGAACCUAAACUAAAAUUAAUGGACAUGAACCUAAACAGCAUUUUGCAAUAUGGUCCUUAUAUUCCAUUAAAAUGUAAUAAUGAGACAUGACAAUAUUGUAUCACAUCACCACUUGAGCUUAUUUAAUUUUUAAAAUUUUCAAAUGAAGAAUUGAUAUAAUCUCUUAUUGUCACAUCAUCACACAUUAACAGUAUUUAAGUUCAUGGACCAAAUUAGAAAGAAUUCAAUGACCAAGAUGAGACAUGAGUGCUUGAUAUAAUUUUUCUUUCAUAGGGCUCAAGCUUGAAGAAAAUAUGGGUACUUAACAUUAUCAAUUCGUAACAUUUUAAUCAUUGUGUCCAACCCAACUAAGUCUAGCAUGGCAGAAGUUAUAUUUUAAUUAUUUACACAUAAUCGUUUAUUAUUAUAUUGUGAAAUAUUAUAUUAAUGAUCAUAAAGUACCAAAGUAAUGGUUCUUUGUAAGUUAACUAAAGUUAACUUUAUUGACAUGACAUGUGAUUAUCUAGGUAUAUACUUCAUUAGUAAUUAUUUAACUUUAUAAAGUAAAAAGGAAAUUAUUAAAAAUAUAAAAAAUUAUAAAAAUGAUUUAAGCCCAAUAAACCAUUAAACUUACCACCAAACCAUUAAACUUACCACUAAAGAUAAGUUAAUUUACACUUUACCACCAAACCAUUAAACUUACUUUAAUAUAAAUUGAACAAAAAUAAUAUUUAAGCCCAAUGAACAAAGAUAGGCCUAGGAACAAAAAUAAAUGAUUUUCCCAAUAGAAGGAUUUGAACCUAAAACUUCCAACAAACAACUAAAAUACUUAACCACUAAAACAUAUAUUACUUUAUAAUAAAUUUUAACAAAUCAAAAUUUUAAAACUUAGAGCAUUAUAUGGGAAAUUCACCGCUAUGUAUGUACUAUAUUGUGAUAAUUCUUUAAUACCUUAAGGGUCAAGAUCGUAUCACCAGCUCAAAUACCCUAGGGUACAAGCAUAUUCUGGUGUGGUUGGUGAGGUCGAUGCAUUUAUGCUUGAUUAGUACUUCAGUACAUCUACUUCUUUUUCCUCCUCUUCUCCAUCAUGAAAUCAAUUUAAUUUCUUAGAAAAGUUUUGGAUCAAUUUUCGGAUUCCAAUCGAUAUCAUCAAUAUACAUAUCAGUUGCAUAACUUGACAACUUAUCCUUGUAAGGAAAAUCAUAAUAAUUUUCCCAGAACCUCUGUUUAGCUUCCUGAAAAGCUUUUAAAUUAGUCGAAUCAUCUCAUUCGAAUACUUUAUAAGCUUUAUACAAAGUAUUCUUCGCAUCAAUAAAUAUUUUCCAUGACAUUGCACCCACUUUCAUGCAAAAUUUUUAAAACGAAUAAAUCGAUUAAGAUUUUAAUUAUUAAACCCAUAAGACCAUAACCUAUUUACAAACCCAAACCCAAACCCAAAGUAAACAUUAAAUCCAAAUUCCCAUUAAAACUCGUUAUUCUUACAAAAUUAUAGCCUAUUAAAACUUUAAAAUCCAAUACCUUUUCUGAGUCAUGCUAUUCCAUAAGUGCAGAGGUAACCCAUGAACUUCAAGCCAAGUUGCCCUCCGCUCAGGAAGGAAAUCAACUAACCUACAUCAUCUGAUUGACAGCACAAGUUAAUUGAAUUACCAAGAAUCAAUAUCAAUAACUUACAUAAAAGAAUAGAGAUUAAAUAUAAGAUGAAAUCAACCAAGCCAAGCUGGCAAUGUCUAUUCAUUUACCCCAUUUCAAUCCUACAAUAGUCAAGAUUUGACUAAACUUUGCAACCUAUACAAGUCUUUUUGGGAUUUUGACAAAAUAUAAAUAAAAGCCCCGAGAAGAUACUUAAAACAUUCACUCAUCCAUGGCAACUGCUUGAAAGAAUUGGGGUUGUCAUCUAGCUCAUAAUCAAAUACAAGAUCAAUACCGAAUUCUAGCACAGAUAAAUCUGAAAGAACCCGAAGAGUAAUAUGAUCACCGGCUUCUAGUUCACCACCCCUAAAGUCCCAACAAGUAAACCAGUAUAAGGUAUUCUUGGUUCCAAGAAUUCCUGUGAAAUGUUUGGAGUAGGUCCACUUUGUACCUUUAGUCUCGUUCACAAUUUCAAGGAAUGGUAAAAAUUCAUUUGUAUUAUCAUUCUUGGCAGAAAAAAUGAUAAUCGAAUUUAAGAAGCAACUAAUCUUUCGACUAGAGUUUGGGGGCACUGAUAAUGAAACCUCAGUCUUGCCAGCUUGAUUGCCAAAGUAGUGGCCAUAGUAAUCAAAUGGCAUUGGAUCAAAUGUUGUAAUUAUGCCAUAAUCGUAGAGUACCUGUAGCAUUGGGUUAAGGAAUUAGUUAUUAAAAAUAUAUAGUAUAUAAAGAAAUUUUGAAACUUGGAACUCGUAAGGAACCUGUGGGGAAGAAACCACUUUUGAUUCUUCUAUAUAACUACAAAGUUGCACUUUAACAUUUCCAUAAGAUUCCAAAUUGAGUAAGUUUUUAGUUAGGUCCAUCUUGAUAUUUCUUGGGGAAACUUCAUCUCCUAAAAUGUGUACAAUAAUGUGUUAUUUAUCAAUUUUAAUGAUCAUCAACAUAAUAUGCCUAUUAUAAUACCAAAGUAUUAAUUUUGACAUGAAAAAAAACGUUGAGUAAAGUUUUUAUCAGACACCCAUAUAAUAUGGGUUUAAACUGUGUAUGAAAAAAAAUAUCAAACAACUAAUUUUAUGUAUUAUGACUAAAAUAUGUUAUAAGACUUGUUAGAAAUAACCAAUUAUACACUUUUUUGAAAAAAAAAAUCAAUUAUAUCUGUAUCUUUUAUUUUUAUAUAAAAUAUCAACUUUAAAAAUACCACUUUUAACUUCAUCCAUUAUUUUAGUUUCCACUUAGGUGAUAGAUUAAUCAUCUAUCAAACAAUUAACUUAUUUUGAUUAGACCUCAAUUGCAACAUAAUUUUAUAAUUAUUAUUUUAUUAUUAAGCUAAAUUUCUCUCAGAAUCUAUUAAACUUAAGUUAUAUUUUUAUUGUAUUGGAAAGCCUUUUAGAGAAACAUAUAUCAAUUUUUGAAUUUUUUUUAUUGACAUCUAAAAGGAAACAUAUGUUCAAACAAUCUAAAGGGGGCAUUAAAAUAAAUAUAAUAGGAUGUAUUAACUAAAAUACAAUCUUACCGUCGAAAACACAAUUAGAUAUUCAUAUAAUUCAUUAUUUCAAUAAGGAUAUAUCUUUUUAGCCAUGUGUUUUACUCAUUAAUGUUAAUAGUGCAUUGGGUAAUAUGCCAUAAACAUAAUUAUUUGAAAUCUACUCAUACCUGUAGAUAAAUAUGAAAAACCAUAUUCAUAUCUAAUGUUGUGUUCGGAUUCAUAGGUAACGCCAAAUUUUUUUAUGCGGAGAUGAAUAGGCACUAUCAUGCAACUCACAAGGUCACCACCUUCAAACUGACAAUCCGUUACUGGCCAAUGGAUCAACCACAACAUUGUGUUAUCGUUAGUCUUAGGAAUUCCAAAAAAAUAUAUAUGUAUUUAGCAUAAAAAAUAAAAGGAUCAUACAUUACCCAAAUAGUGAAAAUGGAUCCAAAUUCAAUCAAAGUCCUCUAAUUAAUUUGUCCAAAUCAACAUUGAUUCAGAAUUUAGAAUUUUCUUUUCAUUUGAAAAAUUAAACUCAAUAAUUGGUAGACUUAAAUAAAAUUCGGUGUCUACACUACUCAAUAAUUAUCAGCUAACAAAGUGAUGAAUUCAACUACAGUAAAUUUGGUUAACAUCAGUUUUGGAUUUCAUUCAUGGACUCAUUAAGUUAAUAAUAAUCAUAAUAAUUAAAGUAAGAAAGUGAUGAACAUUUGCUUUAACUAAUAAAUUUAGCAAAUUAAAUAUACAUACCUCUUAAAGUUCACAAGGAAGUAAAGGCUGCAAGGAAGUAGAGGCUGCAAGUUCCUGGGAUUGCUUCACGAUUGAAUUUCCAGCAGUUUAUCAAUUGAUCAAAAAGUCUACUUUCUGCUGCAGUUGACUAAGAAAACAUUAUACAGGGUCAUCUAUACAGAGAUGAGCCAAGCAACAAUAAGGUAAAUAACAUAUAUAAAGAGAAAGCAGCAGUUUAAAAUAUACAAUAUGCAUAUAAUUUUUUAUGACAAAACAUGCAGACAUAAAUUUUAAAUUUCAAAAUAUACAUAUAUUCAUACCUAACACUAAUCUCAUUUAACUCGAAUUCAUACCCAACACUCAUCUCAUUUAACUCGAAUAACAUAGAUGGCAAAUACGUCAGUAAGACUAACCAAAACCAAAACAUGUAAAGGGAUAGUGAAAGUGAAUCUAUUGAGCUCUCCCCUAAGCCAAUGUUACAAAAAUGAAUUGCCAUUGAUCCAAACCCAAAAUGCACAAAAAAAAAUGGGAAAGGGGAAGUCCAUCCAUACCAGAUUUAUGAGUUCUCCUCUCCCUUUUUUCCUUUGUAUUUUCUCUUUCGAUAUUAUAGCUUUCGUUUUCUCCUCUCUGAUUCUGUUUCUGUUUGUGUUCUGCCUUACAGAAAAUGAUAAGUAAAAACACGCGGAACAGAAAUGGCGUCGUUUUGCCAAAAUUUUAAGACACCAUUCCGGCGUUUGUUAGGAAAACGCCACUAUUUCUUGUAUAUUUCCGACGUUUCCAAAAAACGCCACUACAAAUUGAAGUUAUAAUCUGAAACGACGCCGUUUAAUAAAGCUUUAAUGCAUAUUUCAAACUAUUUUUUAACUUAUUAAACUUAAUUCUAUUUAAAAUAAUAUUUAAAUGACAAAAACAUUAAUAUAAUUGAUAUCAAUUGGUACUUUAAUUUGAUUUUUUAAAACAUUAUUUAAAGAAAUUAAUCUAAACUAACCUAAUUAAAAUCCUUAUCCGACGGCGUGAAACCCUAAACCAUAAAUUCUAAACCACUAACCCUUAGCCCGUAACUCGUAAAACUUAAACCCCUAACCCUAUAUCCCAAACCUUAAAUCCAUAUAUACCCCCUAAUCCUUAAAAUAGCACGGCCAUCAGAAAUAAUCCCUAAAUCUUUAAUAAUCAUAUAUAAAAUAGUUAUAAUUGAUAAAACAAUAAUUAAUAGUAAUAAAAACUUUUAAUAAUUUGUAAUAUUACCUUUAUAAUAUUUAUUUUUUUGUAUAAAGUUUGAAAUUUAUAAUAUUUAAUUUUAUUGAUAAAUAAAUAAAUUUAAACUAUAUACUCAUAAUUUCAAUAUAUUAAAUUUAUUAUAUAUUAUAUAUUUUAGAAAUAUAUAUAUAAGAACAUAUUUGAUAAAACUAAAUUAAUCUAAUAACUUAAAACUCUAACAUAACCGUUGAAACCCCUAAAACCCGGGCCCAAAUCCAUAANNNNNNNNNNNNNNNNNNNNNNNNNNNNNNNNNNNNNNNNNNNNNNNNNNNNNNNNNNNNNNNNNNNNNNNNNNNNNNNNNNNNNNNNNNNNNNNNNNNNNNNNNNNNNNNNNNNNNNNNNNNNNNNNNNNNNNNNNNNNNNNNNNNNNNNNNNNNNNNNNNNNNNNNNNNNNNNNNNNNNNNNNNNNNNNNNNNNNNNNNNNNNNNNNNNNNNNNNNNNNNNNNNNNNNNNNNNNNNNNNNNNNNNNNNNNNNNNNNNNNNNNNNNNNNNNNNNNNNNNNNNNNNNNNNNNNNNNNNNNNNNNNNNNNACCGUUGAAAUGCGCACAAAAUCUCAAAUCCCAAAACCUCUAACCCCUAAAUUAACCUUAAAUCCCCAAUUACCUUAAAUCUAUACCCCGUACUCAUUAAAAUACCGUCCAUAAAAAAAAUUCCCUAAAUCUUUAAUAUAUAUAUAUAAUCAUAAUUAAAUUAAAUAUAGUCAGUAAUUAUUGUUAAAAUAUAUAUAAAUUAGUCGAACAAUAUAUACGUACUACCAAAAUUAAUUUAUUACUCUUAUAAAAAGUUAAUUCUAUUUUUAAUUUACUCUUUACAUUAAUACAACAAUUUAAGUUUUACUAUAUUUUAUUUUAUUCAUAAUUUAAUAUAUUUUCUCUCGUAAAGUAGUUUAAAUCAACUGUUAUAAAUAGUUAGCUGUUACAUAUAUACGACUUCUCUUUAAUAAAAACUUUUUUUAUUAAUCAAUAUUAUUUGUUAAUUAUAAUUUAAAUGUAAAUUGUCCCACUAUAUAUAUAUAUAAUAAAUAGAACAAAAUAUUAAUUAUUUCAACUUAUAAGAUUUUUGUUACUAUUAGCGGCGCUUCGGCAAAAACGCCGCUAAAGGUUAAUACAUUCGCGGCGCUUAGAUACAAACGCCGCUGAAUACAGGAGAAUUAGCGGCGCAUAUAUAAAAACGCCGCUAAAAACCUGAGCAUUAGCGGCGCAUAGGCGAAAACGCCGCUAUAGACCCAGAGCAUUAGCGGCGCUUAGACGAAAACGCCGCUAAAGACUCGGAGCAUUAGCGGCACUUAGACGAAAGCGCCGCUAAAGACUCGGAGCAUUAGCGGCGCUUAGACAAAAACGCCGCUAUAGACCCGAGCAUUAGCGGCGCUUAGACAAAGACGCUGCUAUAGACCCGAGCAUUAGCGGCGCUUAGAUAAAAACGCCGCUAAAUGUUUAAAAAAUCGCAAAAAACGACGCCGUUCGUCUUAGGUUUUUUGUGGCGCUUUAUAUAAAACGCUGUUAAUUCCUAUUUUUAGCGGCGCUUCCGUAUAAACGCCGCUGAUGCUCUACCUUUAGCGGCGCUUUGGCUAAAUCGCCGCUAAUGCUCUAUUUUUUGUGGCGCUUUUGUUCCAAACGCCGCAAAAAGUACCGCUAAAAGCCUAUUCUGGUGUAGUGGUUUAUUUAUAAGAGUUCUCUUAAAUAUUUAUGUCAAAUCCAAAUUGUUGUGAAUUGGUAGCCAGGAUGGAAAUCAAUUCUUUUAACAUUUCAAGGAGUUUUGUCCAUAAGUGAAAGUCUUUGGUAAAAGUAUUAGAUAAUAAGUAAUUGAUAAAAAUUUUCAUUCUAAAGGCAACUAGCAAAGAGCUGUUUAAUAUUUUUCAACAUUCAUGAAGGGUUUUUAUUUACUUUUAUUGAACGGAAUAGAUUUUUUUUUCCUAAUAAAUGAACCACGAGAAGAAAAAUGUUUUCCAAGGAAUAUUCUUACCAUAUCUAUUUAAUAUGUAAUUCGCAACUUGUUCUUGAAAGGAAAACCAUAAUAAUUUCCCCAGAAUUUCUAUUUGAAAAUUUGGAAAUCUUUUAAAUCAACCGAAUCAUCUCACUCGAAUACUUUAUCAGCUUUAUACAAAUUAUUCUUUGCAUCAAUAAAUAUUGUUCAUGACCUUGCACCCACUUUCAUGCAGAAUUAUUUCUCCCAUGCAGGAAAUGGUCUCCAUGAAUUUUUGACGUGAUAUCUAUUUUGAUGAUAUGACAUGGUUUCUUUUGAUCCAAAAAAGAUGAUGAAUGACAUGAAAUUGAACUAUGAUUUUAAAGAAGGGUCUUGAGUUUAUAUAAGAUUAUAUAGGCGGUAAUUCAAUUUCCCUUUCCUUGUUGGAAAAGGAAUUCCAUUUUGACUUUAAUUGUAAUUUUUAAGUUGUUGUUUUUUUAUUGUUAAUUAUUUAAAAAAUAAUCGCAUUUUAACUUGCAAACUUAAAUCUUAAACUAUUAUCUUUAUGUUUACUUUUUAAUGAUAAUUAACAAAAAUAUUUGGUUUUAAAAUUUUAAUACAAUCAAUGAAACACAAUUCACACACAUGAAUGAUAAAAUUUGACGUGAUUAAAUAAAUAUUGAAUUUUGUUAUAUUUUUAAUAAUAAAUAUAGGUAAAAUGGUAAUAAAUUGGGAUUUUAAUGUCAUUUAAAACGGGUCAACUAAAUUUUAGAUUAGAUAUUCAAUAUUAAUAAUUAAUAUAUAUUAAUUGAAUUAUAAAUGAGUUUAGAAAUUCAAAAUUGUAAAAAUUAAUAUAUAUAUAUAUAUAUAUAUAUAUAUUGAAUUAAAUGACUACCAUACAUAAUCUUAUUCAAAUAAUAAUAAUGAAAAAUAAAACUGAGUGUUUAAGACAAUUUCGUUGUAUUUGUUUGUUCUAUGAUCCAACUAUGGUAGGAAAGCGUGAUGUAGGUUCAUCGUACUCCCAUCCAGUGGCUUUAAUUUGCUCUAAUGGAAUCGAAAACGAAUCAAUCCUUUUAACUUCUUCUUUUUCUUCUUCUUCAUCAUCGGAAAUCGACUUUAUUUCCAAAAAAAGUUUUGGGUCGAUUUUGGAGUUCCAAUCAAUAUCAUCGAUAUACAUAUCUGCUGCAUUACUUGGUAACUUAUUUGUGCAAGGAAAACGAUGAUAAUAUUCCCAGAAUCUCUGUUUGGCUUCCUGGAAAGCUUUUAAACCAGCUGAAUCAUCCCAUUCGAAUACUUUAUCGGUUUUGAACAAAUUAUUCUUUGAUUCAACAAAUCUUUUCCAUGGCAUUGCACCCACUUUUAUGCAGAAUUUUUUCUCCCAUGCAGGUAAUGGUUCCCAUGAAUUACCGUUAUCAUUUUGUUUGGGACGAGUAAAUUUCGAACUGUAGUACCUUUCUCGGCAAUUAUGAUAUCUUCUUUGAUAGUAUGACAUGAUUUCUUGUAAUCCAAACAAAUAAAUGAAUUGAAAUUGCUAAUGACAUGAAUUUACAGUGAGGAGACUUGUUGGGUUUAUAUAAUAUUAUUAGAGUCGCUGGUGACUCAAUCCUUUUCCUUGUUAGAAAAGGAAUUCCAAUUUCAGUUUAAUUAUGAUUUCUAUUUUUUAAAUAUUUGUAUAAUAAAAUUAUUAAAAAAUAACUAUAUCUGUAUUGAUAAUAUUUUCUUAUUAAAUGGGUUUUAUGAGUUAAAUAACAAUCAAACCAAGAUUGGGAGAUUGAACUGCAUCAGGUCUUGGGGGUGAUCCAUCUCUUCAACCACUAUCCACCAUCUACAUCCUUCCCCUAUAUAAACUCUGCAAAAUAUAUACAUAUAUAGAGAGAGAGAGGAACAAACAAAUUAUAACCAUAGCAAAAAAAUCAAAACUAAAAUAUAACCAUUUUUCUUAUAAGGUGAAAAGAAAUAAUGGGCUGAGUACUUGAAAGAACUAACGACCUAAGUUUAUAAAUUAUUAUUUAGUACAAUGAUUCGAAUCCAAUUGCUUUUAAGAAAAAUGAAUACUCGACCAAUAUAUUACAAUAUGAGUUGUUAUUAUGAUUUAAUGUAACAUUCAAUCAAUAAAAUAUAACCAAUUUCUGAACGCUACCUAACAAUAUUUUUUUUGCCAAAGGGAAAGCAGAAAAAUUAUAUAUUUUUUAUAUUUUUAUUUUUUCACCCUUUUAAUUUUCUUUUCAUUCUACCAACUAAAGUUUUAAUGAAAAACAUGGAACUUGACUAUGCAUAUAACGUACCUAUCUUGUAGAACCAUACCUCCUAUAUCCGCAAUUUCUUUUAAAGCAUUAAUUCCUCCAUCUUUGUACCAUGUUGGUUUCGGACUAGAUGUUUUGUUCAUGUUGAGUAAAUGCAUCUGCAUAACUCCCCGUCUGGUUCUUGACUUGGCUCGACUCGGAUCCACAUCAUAGAAAAUUGGUAAAACAAUGUGUUUAGAAGAUUUCUUCUGCUCCAAUAUCAUUACAAGUUCGUUAAGACACCAUGUGGAUGCAGCAUAAUUCUUCGAGAAAAAACGAUAGAAAUUUUGGAGUGGUGUAGUAUUGCUUUUUCAAUUUCAUCUUUUAUGUUAUUCCCUCUCUCGAUUUCCUCAUCAUCUCUAAAUGUUUGAAUUCCUAAGUGCACCAAAGCUGUGUAAAGAUGAUCCGUGAAACUUUUGCGCGUAUCUUCACCUCUAAAACUCAAGAAUACAUGAUAAGUACCUCGCGAGAUAUCUGAUACCGCCAUUGAAGAAGAAAAUGAAGUCGUCCUGUAUUGUUAUGUGAAGAAAUCUAGGUAAACUAGAGAAAAUCAAUGAAGAAAUAUGUUUUCAAUCUGAAUUUAGUCUAUUACUUAGUCCAAUACAAAGCUAGACGUGUAUAUUUAUAGGUACAAUUAACUGCCUUCCUUAACAAAUUAGCUAACAACUCAGCUAACUCUAACUGCCUCUCUAACAGUCUUAUUAUCUUUAACACCUAUGUAGGAAUGAAGCAUUAAUAACCGGUUGAUUUCAGAAACAGAAUUGGUGGUUAAAUGGACUAAAUCACCAGUUUUUAUUUGACUUCUUGUUAUUAUUUAAAGAAAAUAAAUCUAAAAAAAUUAAAAUUAAAUAAAAUAAUAAAUAUUGACGUAUAUUGCACAUUAAAGUAAAUUUGAAAAAGAGAAAUGAGAGGGACAUAAGAGGGGGAGAAUAAUUCCCAAGUACUUGGUGUGGAAAAUAGAGGUACUAUAGAAAACGUUUCGAUAACUUUCCAUUUGGAGUCAUGCUUACGGUCUUAGUCUUUAGACCAUUGAGCUUGUUAAUAUUAUCUGAAUAGAGUUUAUUUGAAUAAAUUAUCAAAUUCAGACUUUAAAUAAUGAUUUAUAUCAAAUCAAAGCUGGCCCUAAAUUAGCAAAUUACGAGGGGCUUCAACAUAAUAAAUUCAUGGGCUAACCAAUUUCAGUGCAAUAGAAGUAGUGAAGACGAUGGGAUAAGGCUAAGAUUGACAUGCGAUGUGAAAAAGCAGGUAAGAGCAGUAGACUAUGAAAAGUCAUUAUAUAUUAUAAACAUUUCUUACGUUACAUUUCAACCACCUCUAUAAUUCCACCAGUGUCUGGUACUACUCGCUCGAGUGCUAACACUCUCCUCGUUACGGCCCUCCAACUUUUUCGUCCACAAUAUUUUAAGAAAAACAUAAUUCAAAUAAUAUUUUUUGGUAUCAUUCAUAUUUGUUUUAUAGUUUAUACUCAAGGUUUGUAAUUAUUUUUAAAAUUCGGACCUACAUUUCUCUUAAAAGUACAAUACCUUAAUUAUUCAAAUAAUAAUUUUAACAGAAAGGAUGAGCACCAAAUGGUGGAUAAAUACUAACUAUUAUCUUUAUGUUUACUUUUUGAUGAUAAUUAACAAAAUUAUUUGGUUUUAAAAUUUUAAUACAAUCAAUGAAACACAAUUCACAUACAUGAAUGAUGAAAUUUGAUGUGAUUAAAUAAAUAUUAAAUUUUGUUAUAUUUUUAAUAAUGGAUAUAAGUAAAAUGGUAAUAAACCGGCAUUUUAAUGUCAUUUAAAACAUGUCAAAUAAUUAUUAAAUUAGAUAUUCAAUAUUAAUAAUCAAUAUAUAUUAAUUGAGUUAGACAUUAUAAUUAGUCAUGACUGUCGAAAUUCAAAAUUGUAAAAAUUAAUAUAUAUUGAAUUAAAUGUCUACCAUACAUAAUCUUAUUCAAAUAAUAAUAAUGAAAAAAAAAAAAAGAGUAUUUAAGACAAUUUUGUUGUAUUUGUUUGUUCUAUGAUCCAACUAUGGUAGGUAAGCGUGAUGGAGGCUCAUCAUACUCCCAUCCAGUGGCUUUAAUUUGCUCUAAGGGAAUCGAAAACGAAUCAAUUCUUUUAGCUUCUUCUUCUUCCUCUUCAUCAUCAGAAAUCGACUUUAUUUCCAAAAAAAGUUUUGGGUCGAUUUUGGAGUUCCAAUCAAUAUCAUCUAUAUACAUAUCUGCUGCAUUACUUGUCAACUUAUUUGUGCAAGGAAAACGAUGAUAAUAUUCCCAGAGUCUCUGUUUGGCUUCUUGGAAAGCUUUUAAACCAGCUGAGUCAUCCCAUUCGAAUAGUUUAUCGGUUUUGAACAAAUUAUUGUUUGAUUCAACAAAUCUUUUUCAUGGCAUUGCACCCACUUUUAUGCAGAAUUUUUUCUCCCAUGCAAGUGUUGACACCAUUUUUUGGAUGAAAAACGGGGUCGACUUGGGUUUUGAAAACGAAAACGGGAGUCGCCACCAAUCUUUUUGGAUGAGGUGUGAUUGAGUCACAUCGUAAAAGUGGUUGUUUUUAAUAAACAAUUUAAUUUUAUUAAAACAACGAGUUUGGUCCACGAAAUUCAGAAGAAUGGGUUCGGGAGUCAGUUACGUACGAGGAAGGAUUAGCACCCUCGUAACACCCAAAAAUUGGUACCUAGUUGAUUAGUUAAUGUCUUAAUAUCGAAAAUUGAAAACUUUGAAGAAAUUUAAAAAUACGAUCCUUAUAUUAAAAUGUUGAAAAUUUUCGGAAAAUGGGGGCAUAUUUCACGUUAAUCGAGGAAGAGAAUCAUAUUCAGUAAGUUAGGACACAAUGUCUCGAAUUCCCGAUGCUCGAAUGAAUGCUGGAAAUUUAAAAGGUAUUUAGCUAUCUCGGAUUUAAAAAAGGGAUCACGACCAGUAAGUUAGGACACUAUCUUUUUUAUUCCCGAGAUCAUUUAAAACUUGAGUUUGAAAAGAUUCACGUAUUUAGAUUUAUUGUGAAAAUCGAAACCCAGUAAGUUAGGGUACGACUUUCUCAAAUCUAAACACGAAAUUUUGCUUAUUUUAAAAAUCAUAAUUUAUGCAUCUAAUAAAAUUAAUCUAACAUGAAAUAGUAGAAAUGAAACUCGAUAUUAAUACACGUGUUUAUAUAUAUGUUACAUAUAGACAAAAGAGAUAUGAAUGUGUAUAUUAUAAAACAAUGUAAGUAUGUAUAUACAUGUGUAUGUAUAGGAAGAAUAUAUAUGUGAAAUAUAUAAAAAAAUAAAAUAAGAUAAAAAUAUAAAAAAUAUAUUUCAAUAUAUAUAUAUAUAUAUGAGUAUGAACAUACAUAUUUGUGAGAGAAAAAAAGUAUAUAGAUAUACCUAUAUAUAUAUAUAAAAGAGUAUUCAUGUAUAUAUUAAAUAAGUUUAAUAUAUAUAUAUAUGUAUACGUAUAUAUAUAUGUAAGUAAUUAUAUAUUUAUAAUAUAAUAUGUCACAUAUAUCCAAAAUUUAUAUAAGUAAAUAUGAGUGGAAAUAUAAUGAUAAUAAUAAUAACAUUAAUGAUAUGAUGAUAGUAGUAAUAAGAUUAAAAUAAUUAAUUUAAUAAUAAAAUAGCUAAAAAAAACAAAAGCAGUUUCAAAUUGAAAAUAAACUAAAUCUCAGGGGCGAAAUCAAAACUGAAAAACAAAGAAAUGGAUUAAAAUGUGACGCGCGCGAAAAGAAAUAGGACCAAACGGGGAAAUAAACCAAUCCCUGGACACGUGUCCACUUUCCAGCGCGUCAGUGAGCCAGGGACCCGAUUGAAGACGAAAUAAAAUUUUGGGGCCAAAUUAAAAAAUAAAUAACAAGCAAAAGGGCUAAAUUAGAACAAAUCAAUAAUGAGGAGGGACCAAGAGCACAAAUAGCCCCUUGAUCAGAAACGCGCGGAUCCCCUAGGCGGGUCGGGUCUACGCGCGGAUCCCCCACUAAAACGGCGCCGUUUUGGAAUUUUGAAGGGCUGGGCAAAACGGUGCGUUUUGCCAGCCUAUAUAAAUCAAAAAAAUUUUUAAAAAAAUCAUUUUUAAUCAUUCUAAAAAAAACUCUCUCUCUCUCUCAAAAACCUCUCCCCAGAAACCGACGAAAGGCUCCGGCGCACCUCCGCCGUAGACGGCAGCCGGAGGUGCAAAAUGGAACCUUUCUUAGCCCUACUUGAAGCCCGUUCCCCUUAGAACCUGGAUUCAAAGCCGAAUCCUUUAAAAGUCGAGUCAAAAUCAAAAAGAAGAGAAGGAAUCCUUUAAAAGCCGAACCUCGAUGCCUCUUCUUAGGAAUAAACGCGUCCAACACUUUGCCAUGGAACUCAGAGAUUUUCCAUGGUCCCUUCCAAUGAAAACAAGAAGGAAGAUUAGAAACAUAAACUGAAAUCACCAUUUUCUCCAAGGAUUUAGCCUAGUAAUAGUUAACAGUAACUCCACGGAUCUGAUUAAAAGCACAAGUUAAGUGAAUUACCAAGAAUAAUGUUCUUCAAUACUAUUCCAAAUUCAAUUUUGGAACUUCUGUUAUCAUAGCUUUCAACUGUUUGAAACUCUGAUGGCAUUAUUCAAUCGCACAUAACUAACAUUUUCUGUAGCAACUUCGUCAUGGUAGAGCUAUCAUCGACAAGCCUGAACAAAUCAUCUAUAGUAUACAAUAAAUCCUAGAAAACUACACACUUCUAUAUUAUUUCCCAGAGAUUCCCUAAUUCACAUUUAUCAGGAGUUCAUUUGAAAUAACUCAAAUAUCUUNNNNNNNNNNNNNNNNNNNNNNNNNNNNNNNNNNNNNNNNNNNNNNNNNNNNNNNNNNNNNNNNNNNNNNNNNNNNNNNNNNNNNNNNNNNNNNNNNNNNUUCACAUUUAUUGAUCUUCACAAAUAAUUAUUUCUUUCGUAAUGUCUGUAACACUGUAACACUGUUUCUCCAAAACUAAUCGUGUUCAAUUUUUUUUUCUUCACAUGAAUUGAGUAUCUUUAAUUAUCUAACAACAACUCUGAUAUGAUACAGCUAGAAACUUUUGUCUAUUAAAUAUAGAGUAAACUACACCUAUGGUCACUUUUGUUUACUUUAGGUUACAUUUUGGUAACUUAUGUUUAAAAUAUUACGUUUUAGUCACUUACGUUAUCGUGUUGUAACAUUUUAAUCAUUGAGCCGUUAAUUGCCAUUAAUGGUGUAAUGGUAAGCUGACAUGGCACGUUAAAUCAUCAUUUCAAACAACAAUUUUAGGUUAAAUCAUACAACCGAUCCCCAUAUUUUUUUUAUUUUGGGCAAUUUAAUUUUUUUUGUUUAAUAUUCUUUAAAAUUUACUCUCUCUUUUUUCUCUUUAUUUUCCAUUAUCUUCUGUUUCUCCUUCUAUUUUCCUACCUUCUCCAUGUCUUUUAACAUAUUAAGAAGUCGAAUUGGCAGUGAAGAAAGAAGUAGAAAGUCGAAAGCCAUCAUUGCCUAUAAUCAAAACCCAUAAACCAGUUCGACUUUCUGAUAUGUUAAAAGAAAUGGAGAAUGUAGGAAAACAGAGGGGGAAGCAGAAGAAAAUGGAAAAUAAAGAAAAAAAAGAAAGUUAAAAGAACAUAAAAGAAAAAAUUUAAAUUGCUCAAAAUGAAAAAAAUAUAAGGACCAAUUGUAUAAUUUAACCUAAAUUUUUGUUUGAAAUGAUUAUUUAACGUGCCACGUCAGCUUACCGUUACAUUGUUAACAGCAAUUAAUGGCUUAAUGACUAAAAUGUCACAACAUGAAAAUGUAAGUGACUAAAACGUAACAUUUCAAAUAUAAGUGACUAAAAUGUAAACUGAAGUAAACAAAAGUGACCAUGGAUAUAGUUUUCCCUUAAAUAUAUAAAGUGACCAUGCAAUUGAUAAUCAUAUACAAUAAUCAACAUUUGACUAAACUUUGCAACCUAUACAAGUCUUUUUGGGAUUUCGACGAAAUAUAAACAAAAAUCCCGAGAAGAUACUUAAAACAUUUACUCAUCCAUGGCAAUUGAUUGAAAAUAUUUGGGUUGUUGUCUAGCUCAUAAUCGUAUACAAGGUCAAUACCAAAUUCUAGCACAGAUAAAUCUGAAAGAACUCGAAGACUAACAUGAUCACCAGCUUCUAAUUCAUCACCCCUAAAGUUCCAACAAGUCGUCCAGUAUAAGGUAUUCUUAGUUUCAGGAAUUCCCAUGAAAUGUUUGGAGUAGGUCCACUUUGUACCUUUGGUCUCAUUCACAAUUUCAAGGCAUGGUAAAAAUCCAUAUGUUUUAUCAUUCUUGGCAGAAAAAAUGAUAAUUGAAUUUAAGAAGCAACUUAUCUUUCGACUAGAGUUUGGGGGCACUGAUAUUGAAACCUCAGUCUUGCCAGCUUGAUGGCCAUAGUAAUGACCAGUGUAAUCAAAUGGCAUUGGAUCAAGUGUUGUAAUUAUACCGUAAUCAUAUAAUACCUGUAGCAUUGGGUUAGAGAAUGAGUUAUUAAAAAGUAUAUAGUAUAUAAAUAGUUUUAAAAACUUGGAACUUGUAAAGGGAACCUGUGGGGAAGCAACCACUUUUGAUCCUUCUAUAUAACUGCAAAGUUGCACUUUAACAUCUCCAUAAGAUUCCAAACUGGGCAAGUGUUUAGUUAGGUCCAUCUUGAUAUUUCUUGCGGAAACUUCAUCUCCUAAAAUAUGUAAAAUAAUGUGUUAUUUAUCAAUUUUAGUGAUCAUCAACAUAAUAUGCUUAUUAGAAAGUAAUAGUAUUGACUUGAAUGAAGUGAUAAUUAAAGCUUUUAUCAGAUACCCAUUUGACACGAAUUCAAAUCGUGACCCAUCCCCUAUACUCAAUAUUAUAUAAAAAAAAAGAUAUGAAAGUAGUAAUGUUAUUAUCACUAAAAUGUAUUAUAAGACUUGUAAAAAAUAAUCAAUUAUACACAUUAUAUCUUUAUUUUUUAUUUUUAUAUAAAGUAUAAACUUUAAAACUAUUAAAUAUGUUAGUCAAAACACCAUUGUUAUAAUUUUAUCCAUUAUUUUAGUUUCCACUUCUAUUAGUACUAUUGGAUUAAUCAUUUAUCAAACAAUUAACUUAUUUUCAUUAGACGCCAAUCGCAGCAUAACUUUAUAAUUAUCACUUUAUUAUUAAGCUAAAUUUCUCUCAUAAUCUAUUAAAUUGUCAUAUUUCUUGAUAAUAUUUUAUUGUAUUAGAAAGUCUUUUAGAGAAACAUUCAUCAUUUCUUGAAAACUUGUUAUUCACAUAUAAAAUGAAACAAUAAAAUAAAUAUAAUAGGAUGUAUUUACUAAAAUAUAAUUAAUUAAAAAUUUUAAACCCUAAAUCUUAGUUAAAAAACCGUUCUAUCUCCCCCUUUUUUUAGUUUUCUUUUUUAGUUGACUAAGAAAGCUAUUAUCAACAAAAGAGGAUUCAAUGGAGGGUCCAGGUAUGUCUUCUUUACCGAUAAAAAUUCUGAUGAUAAUAGCUUUCUUAGUCAACUGAAAAAGAAAACUAGAAAAAGGGGAAGAUGAACGGUUUUUAAACUAAGAUUUAGGGUUUAAAAUUUUUAAUUAAUUAAAUUUAAUUAAUUAUAAAUCUAUUCUCAUCCCAUUAGGAAAUUCAAGUUGGCACUUAAAAUCUAGUUGGACUGCCACGUAGGAUUACCGUUAGGGAGAUAACGGAACUUAACGGAAGAGUGAUCACUUCGUAACAAAAUAAUAACAUAAGUGACUAAAAUGUAACCUGAGGUAAACAAAAGUGACUAUUUUUGUAGUUUACCCUUUACUAAAAUAAAAUUAUUUGAAGUCUACUCAUACCUGUAGAUAAGUGCGAAAAGCCAUAUUCAUAUCUAAUGUUGUGUUCUGAUUCAUAAGUAACGCCAAAUUUUCUUAUGCUGAGAUGAAUAGGCACUACCAUGCAACUCACAACGUCACCACCUUCAAACUGACAGUCCGUUACUGGCCAAUGAAUCAACCACAACAUUGUGUUAUCGUUAGUCUGAGGAAUUUCAAUGAAAGUUGAGCUAUAUCUCUGCAUGAUCAUUUUGGUCUCAUUGAAAAUGUGGACACUUGGAAGAAUCUCCAACAUUUGAUCACUAGCUAAAGAGAAAACAAUGCAUAAGCUGAACCGAUGGAUCUUUUCAUCAGGAUGAGAUGGUGUUGGCAAAGAAAAAGAGAUUCGGUGCUCGUUAGUGCGAUGCUUAAACACAAUCGGAACUUCACUUCCUAUAACAAAUGUGCUUGUUACACCAUAUUCCUGCAAGACCUGAUCCAAAAAGAACAAGUUAGAUGAUUUAGUAGCAUAAGAGAAAAAAUAGAUUUAAAAUUUAACUUGGAGAACUAUUGGACCUGUGGGGUAGCUAGCAUUAUGCUGUCUGUUAGGUAGCUAUAAAGUUGCAGUCGGUUUCUGUUAAUGGAAUCCACGUUGAAUAAUCUUCUAAUCUCUUCUGCUUCAAAGUUUUCAAUUGGUUCCAACUUGAAUAGAUCUUCAACCUCAGUCAAUUUUUCACAUCCAAAAAUAACACAUCGUGUGGAAGAAAAGAAGCAUGGAAGAAUUAUUCGGAAUGAAGACUUGUCUCCAAAAAUAAAGUUGCACUUAAAAACAUUGAGCAAGACCGGAAGCUUUGGAAUCAUUUGGAGUUCAGUGCAAGAAGUCAAUAGAAGUUCAUCAAGUUUUGUAAGGUUUUUUAAGCUUUCGGGUAGGNNNNNNNNNNNNNNNNNNNNNNNNNNNNNNNNNNNNNNNNNNNNNNNNNNNNNNNNNNNNNNNNNNNNNNNNNNNNNNNNNNNNNNNNNNNNNNNNNNNNNNNNNNNNNNNNNNNNNNNNNNNNNNNNNNNNNNNNNNNNNNNNNNNNNNNNNNNNNNNNNNNNNNNNNNNNNNNNNNNNNNNNNNNNNNNNNNNNNNNNNNNNNNNNNNNNNNNNNNNNNNNNNNNNNNNNNNNNNNNNNNNNNNNNNNNNNNNNNNNNNNNNNNNNNNNNNNNNNNNNNNNNNNNNNNNNNNUCUUCAAGUGAUAUUAAUGAACCUAUUGUCCUUGGAAGUUUCCUAAGACUUGUGCAAUCUUUAAGGUUCAAGAAAGUAAGUAUCUUUAGCUCACCAAUGGAUUGAUCAACUUCCACCAAAUUUAUGCAAUCUUUGAGCAUCAACUUCUCAAGGCUAGGGAGUCCUGAAAAGCUUGGGGUUUUAAGAAGGCUAUGUGAAUGGUUGAGAUUAAGGAUCUUUAAAUUUGGGAGGCACUGCAAAAAAAGAAAGAAAGAAAGAAAGAAAACCCUUCAUUUAUAUUAUUGUUUCACACACACACAAAAAGAAGGAAAAUUAGUAUAUAUCAUAUACCUCUGUAUCCUUCCAAACUUGUUUAAGUUUACUGUUGCGCAUGUCGAGAACAACUAGUUCAUUGAUAUCAAAAUCCACCGGAAAAGAUUGCAUACAAAACCCAUGCCAACGUAACCAUCUUAAUCUUUUGGGAAAGUCUUUGAAGUCUCCUUUAAGUCUUACAUAAUCCAGUUGAAGCAGUUUAAGUCUCUUCAUCUUUGCAAAUGCUUGAGUUUCCAUAUCAACAUCAUUUGCCAUGAGAAACUGACUUUUGGAAUGCUUUGGAAAAUGUAGAGUUGUAUUUGUCCUUUCAGCCUUGUCUUCUAGCAAUCCUUUUAGGUCAAUUGUGAGGCACUUAACUGUUCUGGAACCCUGCAUGAGAAAAACUUUCUUAAAAAAUAAAAAGAAAUUUGAUAAAAAAAAAGUUGAGUAAAAUGAUGUUUCUUACAAUUUUUCUCUUAUUACAUCAAACGCGUUCUUAUGCCACAAUCUGCUUCGUUUCCCAAAAUUAGAAGAUUCUUGGCGAAUAAUUUCUCGUCCCAUGUCUCUAAUCAUUUGGUGCAUCAUUAGCUUGUUUUUUUCAUUAAUGAUUAAGAGAGACCUGCCUACUAGAUUUUCAAUUCCAAUUGUUGUAUAGAAAUCACAACCAUCUAGAAUUGUAGUCGUGUAAUCUCUAUCCUUCCCAAUGAAUAAAGAAACUAUGUCAAGGAAUAAAUUUUUGUCAUGAUCGUCUUCCAAAGAAUCAUAGCUUAUUCUUAGAAUCUCUUGAAUUUUGCUGUCAGGGAUUUCUUCCAAUUUCUCCAAUGCACUUUUCCAAGAACUCACACUUUUGGUAGAUAAUGAAGAGCCCAAAAUUUGAAGAGCUAAUGGAAGCCCACCACAGUGUUUCACUAAACUUCUUGCAUAUGCCAUUGAACUUUCAGGCACUGAGUUAUGACCAAAAGCAUACCAAUUAGAAAGUUGUAGCGAUUCACUUGAAGCUAAUUCUUUUACUUCAAAUAGCUUGCUUAAGCCUCCACAACUAGUUGAUGCUUCCAAAUCAAACAUUUGGCUUAUAAAAUGUGCAUUCAAUAGGCAUCGGUUUCUACUUGUUAUGAUGAUUUUACUUCCGGGAUGAAAAGGAAUUUGAGUUCCCAUUAAUUUUCUUGUUUUUUCCAAUUCAUCAACAUCAUCAAGAACAAGAAGAACUCUUCUACAACAUACAAUUUCUUUGAUCUUGUUAAUUCCAUUGUCUAUAUUGUAUAUUUUAUGUGAUUUUCCUUUAAGAAUAUCUGAAAGAAGUUGGCUUUGCAAACGGACUAAACCAUUGCAAUCUUGACUUGUUUCUCUAACAUCAGCAAGGAAACUAUAACCUUCAAACCUCGGGAUAUUUUGAUUGUAAACAACUUUGGCAAUGGUUGUCUUCCCAAUGCCUCCAAUGCCACAAAUAGUUGCAAUGCCAACUUUAUUUGCUCCAUCUUGUUCUAACCAUUGAUUAAUUUGUGUCACAAGAGAAUCUAUUCCAACUAAAUAAGGAGGGACAUACAAAGAAAUAAGAUGAAGUUUAUUUUGAACUUCUUUAACAAUAUCUUGGAUGAAUUGUGAUUCAUGCCUGCAAAUUUAAAAAAUACAACUCAAUAGUAAAAUCUUGGAAAUUAAGUAAAGGUUACUAAUGUAUUUUCUUUUUUCUUGCAUAUAUUUUGAUUGCUUUUAUGAGAUUAUAUGUUCAAGUAAAAAUAAGAAACUAUGCAGCAUUUCAAUAUAUAUGAUAGAAUUAUUACAUUCAAAAUCAAAUCAAAUCAAAUAAAGCAACAUAAAAAUUAAUGAAAUUCAUUCGAGAAACAACCUAUACUCAAAAUUUCAACUUUCUCUUUGUGAAAGUUUAAUAAAUUCAUGUUAUUUACAUGAAUUUAUAUAUUUAUUUUUUAUUUAUUGUAAUAUUUUGAAUAUGUGUAGACCUAUUACACGAAUAACUUUGAUAUAAUUGUUGCAAAUAUACUACCGCAAAAUAUAAUUGUUAAGGAGACCAAACUGAAUGUAAAUAAAAUAAGAAUCAUUGUGUUGUGGAAGAACCACUGUAAUAUUAGAGACAAAUUCGCCCUGAUCGGUGUAAUUGUGUAAUGGAUGUUACCCCCCAACACAAUACUCCAAUAUUCUUAAACCCAAUAAAAAAGAUGGAACACGAUUGACAAUACUCCAAAUAGUCCUACUUAAAACCUAGUCUCUUAGACAGAAUUUCCCUCUCGUGUAAUUUUGCAUAACACUAGAAUUUAGAGAACAUAGAGAAGUUGUUUUUCUCUUGUUAUGUUAGGUAGGAGAAUGACCUCCUAUUUAUACUAUUUUUUGAUGAGCAAAAUGGUAAAAUAAAAGUUUUAGUUUUUAAAAAUAACAAAGGAUUUUUCUAACUUAAAAUAUUCUAAAAAUAUUUUCUGCAACAGUCAGAAAAUUUUCCGCAAUUCAAAAUAUUCUUUUGCAUUACCAACAAUGACAUCUUAGAAAACCACAAAUAGUGUCAUUAAAUUAAAGAGGCUAUUUCUUUUUAUUUUUAACUCGUCAAAUCCAAGUUGUUCAUGUGAUAGGUGCAAACGUAUUUAAAAUUUGAUCUAUGUGUUUUAAAAACAUCCCAUAUCAGAUUCGAGCUAACAUUUAAUGCUUAAGCUGAUGACUUAUUUGAUAGAAAGACCUCAAUGAUACAAUACUAAUAUUUUAAUGACUCAAUUAAAACAUGUUAAUGUUUGAGAAAUAAUUUAAAAUCUAUCUUAUAAUUAACCCUCUAAAAUGGAUUGAAGUAACCAUUUUAAUUUCCAAACGCUACCUAACAAUAUUUUCUAUUAAUUUUCUUUCUACUCUAGCAAGUCUUAAUGAAAAGGAUUGAAGUAACCAUAUGGAACUUAAUUAAGUGUAUAACGUACCUGUCUUGUAGAACCAUGCCUCCUAUAGCCGCAACUUCUUUUAAAGCAUUCCUCCAUCUUUGUACCAUGUUGGUUUCGGACUUGAAGUUUUGUUCAUGUUGGGUAAAUGCUUCUGCAUAACUUCCCGUCUGGUUCUUGACUUGACUGGGAUCCACAUCAUAGAAAACUGGCAACACAAUAUGUUUAGAGGAUUUCUUGUGCUCCAAUAUCAUUACAAGUUCGUUAAGACACCAUGUGGAUGCAGCAUAAUUCUUUGAGAAAACAACGAUAGAAAUUUUGGAGUGGUGUAGUAUUGCUUUUUCAAUUUCAUCUUUUAUGUUAUUCCCUCUCUCGAUUUCCUCAUCAUCUCUAAAUGUUUGAAUUCCUAAGUGCACCAAAGCUGUGUAAAGAUGACCCGUGAAACUUUUGCGCGUAUCUUCACCUCUAAAACUCAAGAAUACAUGAUAACUACAUCGCGAGAUUUCUGACACUGCCAUUGAAGAAGAAAAUGAAGUCGUCCUGUAUUUUUUAUGUAAUAACAAGGUUCCAGCAUAUAUAUAUAUAUAUGAAUGGCAAAGCAGAUAUUAUUAGCAGUCAAGUGGCAGUUCCCAAUCCAUGGUGGGUCAAUCCUUCGACCAGUUCAUACAACUGCCCGAAGACAUUCAAGUCGGCCAUGUUGUGUUUUUCCAAAUCUACCAACUUGGGUUACGUAUUCUAUAUUAUUAAUUUUGCUUGACAAAUACAAUGUAUUGAUUAACUUGAUGGUUAUAGCUAACACAACACGUAUAUAGACAUCAUCUUCAGGCUAAUAUUAGUAAAAAUAUUAUGAAGGUUCUUGUAUUUUAAGUCAUAUUAUAUUUUGUUUUCUCUACUUAAAAAAUAUUAAAUUAAUUUUUGUAUAUUAUAUUAAAAAGUAAAUUAGUUCAUUUGUUAAAAAAAUUAUCUAUUGUUAUUGUUAAAAAUUGAUCUAUGUAAUCAACAUGAGGUAUAUGUGACACGCCACAUGCAACUAUCUGAUUAUUUCAUCAUUCAAUUUAGUUUUUAACAACAAAAAUGAAUGAAAUUUUUAAUAAAAAUGAUAAAUUUGUUCUUUUAUAUAAUGUAUAUGGACUAAUUUACUUGUUUUUAAAUAAAAUGGGUUAAUUACAAUUUGACUCUAAGGGUCCACAGUGGGCGAACCAACUCAUGUCGGNNNNNNNNNNNNNNNNNNNNNNNNNNNNNNNNNNNNNNNNNNNNNNNNNNNNNNNNNNNNNNNNNNNNNNNNNNNNNNNNNNNNNNNNNNNNNNNNNNNNUUAUAUAAUGUAUAUGGACUAAUUUACUUGUUUUUAAAUAAAAUGGGUUAAGUACAAUUUGACUCUCAAUAGAAUGAUCUCCAUGAUACUUUUACCGGCUAAUACCUUGGUGGAUACACUCAAUAAUUAAACCACAACCACAUAUAUCACAUAGACAUCACAUUAAACAUUCAAGCUUGGUAUAGUAAAGAGACAAUUUUAGUAUCUAUGCAUGAAUGAAGAAUUAAUUAUUUUUGGAAAAGAAUUGGUGAUUAAAUUGAUCAGAUCAUCAAUUUUUUAUUUGAUUUGUUCGUGUUAUCUAAAAUAAAUAAAUUUUUAAAGACUAAAAAAAUAAUAAAAAAUAAAAAUUCACUUAUAUUGCACAUUAAAGUAAAUUGAAAAUGUGAAUUGAGAGGGACAUAAGAGAAGAAGAAUAAUUCCGAAGUAUUUGGUGUGGAAAAUAUUGGUACUAGAAAACGCGUUUCAAUCGCUUUUCAUCUCGGAGUCAUGCUUACGGUCCAUUAUUUGGUGCUCAACAUUUGGUCCAUUUGGUGGGGAAAAUUCAACGAAUAUUCUUACCAUAUCUACUUUAAAAUUUUAAUAUAAUUAAUGAAAAACAAUUCACAUAUAUGAAUCAUCAAAUUUGACAUGCUUAGAGAACCUCAUGUGAUGACCUGAUGAUUAAGAUUAUUCAUAAACCCAAAUGUGGUCUAGAUUUGAAUCGCGUUACUUGCGUUGGUUAUUCGAGCUUUACUUGUUAUUGUAAUUAAAAAAUUAAUAUAAUUAAAUAAAUAUUGAAUUUUGUCACAUUUAAUAUAGAGGACGUAAGAGGAGGAGGAGGAUAAUUCCCAAGUACUUGGUGCGGAAAAUAGUGGUACUAGAAAACGCGUUUCAAUUACGUUUACGUUCCAAGACUUUAGACCAUUAGCAAUUAAAGAGGGGCUUCAACAAAAUUACAUAAUAAAUUCGUGGGCUAACCAAUUUCAGUGCAAUAAAAGUAGUGAAGAGGAUGGGAUAAGGUUAAGGUUUACAUUGUUGGUAAUGCAAAGUGGAAUCUCUCGUUACAGCCUUCAAAUUUUUUGGUUCACAAUAUUUUAGGAAGAACUCGAUUAUAAUAUUUUUUUCGUGAUUAUUUUUUUCAAUAAUAUUAUUUUUAAAAUUCAGAUCUAUAUUUUUUUUAAAAGUAUAAUAUGUCUUAUCAUUAUGUCUAACAAUUGCUAAUUAUUCAAAUAAUAAUGCUAACAAAAAGGUUGAGCACCAAAUGGUUGAUAAGUACUAACAAGCUCAUGGUCUAAAGUCUAGAUCGAGUAGCGCUAUUAUUCAAAACGUAGUGAAACAAAUUAAUUCUUUCUCCGACGUUUAAUUAUCAAUUUUAUUGUUGUGACUCCAUAACUAAAAUUUAGCUAAACCCUUUAUUCAAGAGUGUAAUUAUUCGAAUAGGAUCAUGUCUCUUUUAUGGUGGAAUACUAAUUCAUUUGAUUACAUGGACUUGUUCAUAAAAAUUCUCUUAAAAUAUUGAACAAAUAUCAAUUGGGUGUUCUGAUUUAAAUAUUUAGUUUUUAAGAGAACAUAUUCUUACCUCAUUAUGCCUUCUCGAAGAUUUAUGUCAAAUCCAAACUGAUGUGAGUUGGUAGCCGUGAUGAUAAUCAAUUCUCUAAUAUUUCAAGGAGUUUUGUCCAUAAGUAAAAGUCUUUGGUAAAAGUAUUAGAUAAGUAAUUGAUAAAAAAAUUCAUUCUAAAGGCAACUAGCAAAGAACUAUUUAAUAUUUUUAAACAUUCAUGAAGAAUUUUAUGUACUUUUAUUGAAUGGAAUAGAUUUUUUUUCCUAAUAGAGGAACCACGAGAAGCAGGAUGUUUUCUCUUGACCUAUUCAAAAUGUACUUGGCAACUUGUUCUUGUAAGGAAAACCAUAAUAAUUUUCCCUGUUUGAAAUCUUGAAAAUCUUUUAAAUUAAUCGAAUCAUCUCGCUCGAAUACUUUAUCAGCUUUAUACAAAUUAUUCUUCGCAUCAAUAAAUAUUUUUCAUGAUAUUGCACCCACUUUCAUGCAAAAUUAUUUCUCCCAUGCAAGGAAUAGCUCCAUGAAUUACUGUCAUCUUUUAGUUUAAGAUGAAUAAAUUUCGAUCAGUAAUAACUUUCUUGAUGAACAGGAUAUCUAUUUUGAUGACAUGAUAUGAUUUCUUUUGAUUCAAGAAAGACAAUUGAUGACUAGAAAUUGAACGACUUGGGUUUAUAUACGAUUAUAACUAUUUAAAGUUUAAAGUGUUCAUGUCUUGCGGUAUAAUAUUACAAUUACAAGUACAAGAGAAGAGAACCAUUUUAGUAAUACACAAUACAUUUACAAUAUGGCACACAUUUACCUUACUACAUUUUUCUUCUUUACAAUUACCUUAUUUAUAAAGUUUAGGGGUUGUUAGAUUAUUAACACAUGUAAACAUCCUUACCAUUUAUUUUAUAAAUAUCUAAUAAUUAGGAUGUUCAUCUAAAAUAUUUAAUUUUCUAGAUAAUAUCCUAUAUUCUAGAAUCUUCCCAAUAAAAUAUCUCUUAAAAGAUAAGUAUAGAUAUACAACAUUUCUAUCUUUUAAACAUUGUACAUACAUAUUUUUUUAUGAUUGUGUAAAAAUAAAUAUUGUACAACCUCUUUAAUGUCUUCUAAAAAUAAUAAGAAUAUAAAUACAUAUAUUCACGUACAACCCACGCCAUUUUGAACAUUAGUUUUACUCAAUGUUGUAACUGCCUUGCCUUAUAUUUUCUCUAUAUCCUAUAAUUUAACAUAAAACACCUAACAGAACACGUGUUACUACAAUAUUUUUGGGUGAAUUUGUUAUAUUCUACUUUACCAUCUUUCUUAUUCAUAGUUAAUAUUUAUUUUUUAUGUUUAAAAUAAUAUUAAAAGUAAAAAUUUAAUUAAAAUGGUUUACUGCAUAAAAUUAAUAUAUAACUUAAUAUAUAUCAAGAAAAUUACGAAUUUUUAAUUUAUACAAUUAUUUUUUAUAUUUUAUUUUUUCAAUAUAUUCAAAUUAAAUUUUUAAGUAAAUAAAUGUAAUUAAAUUAAAUUAAUACACAUAACCAACUCGGAAUAAAAACCUAAUUUUUUAAUCUUUUUUCUUAUUCAUAUGAUUUUAACUUUUGCCUUUUAUAUGUCAUCUAAGUGCACGUAUAGUAUCAUUCAUAACCAAACUACUAUUAAUGGAUGAAUCAACUUAAAAACCCUCAUCCAACAUAAAAGUUCCUCUUCAAAUUUAAAAACUCUCAUCCAAUUUGGAUUUGGAAAUUUCUUAUUUGAAUAAUUCUUACCUGAAAAAUCUCAUCUCAUCAAAAUAUUUUCUCUAAUCUGAAUUUACUAGGGUAAUCAAUGUUCACAAAAAGUACCAUGUAUGCAUCACUUGAACAAAAUAACGAGAAGCAGCAAUUACUCUAGCUGUUGUUUCUUCUUUAACCUAGCCAACUUCAAAUUGGCUUCUCGGAUAGUUUCUCGCAAUUUCUUUAUCUCUCACUACACCAAAACAGGCCUUUAGCGGCAUUUUUAGUGGCGUUUGAAUAAAAAAAGCCGCUAAAAAUCGAGUAUUAGCUUGAUCCUCCAAUAUUUGACGAGUCUUUGCCAAGUUAUCCUUUAGCCAUGAAAGUUCCAAUCAGGGGAUCUCCAUGUCUUUCACCCUUACCAACAUAUCAUCGUUAUCAGUUAGCUCAAGCUUAUUCAGAUCGCUUUCUAAUCUUCAAUAAAUUUCAGCAACUGCAUUCAUAAUGUUGCUUUAAAACUCUUGAUUGUUCAAUCGAAAUUGGUCAGCAAAGUGAGCAUGGUUUUGAAAUAUUUUAUUGAGCGCGUCAGCAUUGUAUUGAGAAACCUCGUAUCUGUUGAUGAUGACAGCUGUGACAUCAAAGGUUGAGAAUAAAUGAAAUAAUUAUCUUCAAUAUAACUCAAAGAAACAAUAAAUUCAUGAAAUAGUAGCUUGCAGCCAUUACUUUGGAGCAAAUCAUCUAACCAACUUUUCUGAGCCACAAAAUCUCCACUUCUCCCAAAGCACCCAUAUGAUUAGAAGAUUCAGGAUUCAAAUGUGCUGGAGAAACCUAUAAGCAAAACAGAAUCAGAUAUUGGUCCAAAAAUAAGCAGAUAAAAUUAAAAACUUUACAACAUGACAACACAAUAAAUAAGGAGAAGAGUAAACAGCAUUACGCAGAGAAUUAGAAACUGACAGCCUUCCUACUCAGGAUUUCUCUUUUUUUUGUGUGUGUUUCUAGUUGAUAUUUCUUGUUUGAUUUGGUAUCUUACCAUAAAUGUGGGAUCAAUCAGACAGUCCUGAAAUAACUAUUUAAAGUUUAAGUGUUCAUGUCGUAUCUCUCUUACACUAUAAUAUUAAAGUUUUGGAUUCAAACUUCAACCUGGUACAUAAACUUGAAUGGACAAUAGCAGGAUAGCAUUCUCUCUACAACUACAUGUAAACAAGAGAAUGAAUGAAGAAAUUAAAGAAAAAAUGAAUAGUGAUGAUCCGAUCAGUUUAUAGUUUGCAAAAGAUAAAAUAGACAGCUCGUUAAAGAAAUUAAAGGAAUGACAAGUUCUACAAACAUGCCUGUAGGAGUAAGAGAGAUGAGUUAAAAACUUAAUUGGUGAUAACUGAAUAUUGAACUUCAUUUUUGCAUCAUUCAUUAAAAUAAUAGAAAAGAAGUUAGUGGACGAUACAUGCUUGCAUUUUCAGGUCAUAAUUUGCUCUGUGAAACUCAAAAUUCAAUCCUUACCACCUUUUGGUCGCUUGUUUCCAUUUUCAAUGUUAAUUUCUCUACUCUUCCUCCCACAUGUAUUAGGGUAAAAUUCACUUUCUCAGCUAGUUUCUCUUGAUCAAUCAUCUUCAUUCGAAAUAUAUAAAGAUGAGUAGCAAAGCAAAACAGAGAACAGAACAAUAGAGGCAGACCAGUUACUAAAUGCUCACCUCUUUAAGAUUGUUCAAACAAAUUACUAAGAAAUGUUAUGGCAACGUUAAAAAGCCUACUCCUUAAUUAACUUGAUGAUAAGCUAUUUUGCAAGACUCAUGUUUGCUACAAUUACAUUUUUUUUCUACAAAAGGGUUUUCAUGAUAAAUGUAAAACCUUAUACUCCAUUGAUUAAAAGAGGACAUCCUAACACUCCUUUUGCUAUAUAAAAGCCUUAUAUAUAAUCCCUGCAUGUAAGCUUCAAAUCGUACAAUAGACUCAUAAUUCAUACCUGUAAAUGUUCAUGCUUGCAAAUAAUAGGUAUAUAAAUAAUGACAGGAUCUUUAAUUACCUCUGAUGUCAGAUGUCACAACAGCCAUCGUCAACAGAUACGAGAUUCAUCAACACAAUGCUGACGCGCUCAAUAAAAUAUUUCAAAACCAUGCUCACUUUGCUAACCAAUUUCAAUUCAAUAAUCGAGAGUUUCAAAGCAACAUUAUGACCGCAGUUGGUGAAAUUUACCAGAAAUUAGAAAGCAAUCUGAAUAAGCUUGAGCUAACUGAUACCAAUGAUAUGUUAGUAAGGGUGAAAGACACGGGGUCCCCGGUUUGGAGCUUUCAUGGCUAAAGGAUAAGUUGGCAAAGACUCGUCAAACAUUGGAGGAUCAAGCAGAGAUAAAGAGAUUGUAAGAAACUAUUCGAGAAGCCAAUCUGAAGUUGGCCAGGUUAGAGAAUAAACAACAGCUAGAGUAAUUUCUGCUUCUCGUUAUUCCGUUAAAGUAAUAGCAGCCAAGGCUCUGUCUAGCCUCUCGUACAAAUUGCCGUGACACUAGGUGAAUUUUGGUCUUUGGAAUCCCAGGUCACAUAGAUGAUUAUUAGAGCAAAACGAUUGGAAAUGAGAACACCCCCUACCGCCUUUCCACUCAUCCAUACUUAGAAUAGAGUUAAAAUCACCGCUAAGAAUCCAUGGUUUUGUCAUAUUAUCUACAAUCAAACUUAAACAUUCCCAUAAAAUAUUCCUUUUAUUGAUUUGAGGACUAGCAUAAAUGAUCGAGACAAAGAAUUGUCAUUGAAGAGCAGACUCUUUAAUCUUAACAGUAGUUGAAAUACUUUCAUCGCCCAAUAUAAUUCGUAACAUUUUGACCACUACAGCCCAGCAACCCUGCAUAUCUUUUCCGAGGAAUAUUCUUACUUGAUCUAUUCAAAAUGCACUUGGCAACUAGUUCUUGCAAGGAAAACCAUAAUAAUUUUCCCUGUUUGAAAUCUUGGAAAUAUUUUAAAUCAACCGAAUGAUCUCACUCGAAUACUUUAUUAAUUUUAUACAAAUUACUCUUCGCAUCAACAAAUAUUAUUCAUGACAUUGCACCCACUUUCAUGCAGAAUUAUUUUUAGUUUAAGAUGAAUAAAUUUCGACUAGUAAUAACUUUCUUGAUGAACAUCAUAUCUAUUUUGAUGAUAUGACAUGCUUUCUUUUGAUUCAAGAAAGACAAUGAAUGACUUGAAAUUGAACCAUGAUUUUAAAGGACUUGGGUUUAUAUAAGAUUAUAUGGGCGGUAAUUCAAUUCCCUUUUCCUGGUUGGAAAAGGAAUUCCAUUUUGACUUUAACUGUGAUUUUUAAGUUGUUGUUUUCUUAUUGUUAAUUAUUUAAAAAAUAAUCGCAUUUUAACUUGCAAACUUAAAUCUUAAACUAUUAUCUUUAUGUUUACUUUCUGGUUAUAAUUAACAAAAAUAUUUGGUUUUAAAAUUUUAAAACAAUCAAUGAAACACAAUUUACAUAUAUGAAUGAUGAAAUAUGACGUGAUUAAAUAAAAUGUUAAAUUUUGAUAUAUUUCUAAUAAUGAAUAUAGCCAAAAUGGUAAUAAAUCGGCAUUUUAAUGUCAUUUAAAAGGUGUCAAAUAAAUAUUAGAUUAGAUAUUCAAUAUUCAUAAUCAGUAUAUAUUAAUUGAAUUAGACAUUAUAAUUAGUCAUGACUAUCGAAAUUCAAAAUUGUAAAAAUUAAUAUAUAUUGAAUUAAAUGACUACCAUACAUAACCUUAUUCAAAUAAUAAUAAUGAAAAAAAGAGAGUGUUUAAGAUAAUUUCAUUGUAUUUGCUUGUUCUAUGAUCCAACUAUGGUAGGUAAGCGUGAUGUAGGCUCAUCGUACUCCCAUCCGGUGGCUUUAAUUUGCUCUAAUGGAAUCGAAAAUGAAUCAAUCCUUUUAACUUCUUCUUCUUCCUCUUCAUCACCGGAAAUCGACUUUAUUUCCAAAAAAAGUUUUGGGUCGAUUUUGGAGUUCCAAUCAAUAUCAUCGAUAUACAUAUCUGCUACAUUACUUGGCAACUUAUUUGUGCAAGGAAAACGAUGAUAAUAUUCUCAGAAUCUCUGUUUGGCUUCUUGGAAAGCUUUUAAACCAACUGAAUCGUCCCAUUCGAAUACUUUAUCUGUUUUGAACAAAUUAUUUUUUGAUUCAACAAAUCUUUUCCAUGGCAUUGCACCCACUUUUAUGCAGAAUUUUUUCUCCCAUGCAGUAAUGGUUCCCAUGAAUUACCGUUAUCAUUCAGUUUGGAACGAGUAAAUUUCGGACUGUAAUACCUUUCUGGGCGAUUAUGAUAUCUUCUUUGAUAGUAUAGCAUGAUUUCUUGUAAUCCAAACAAAUAAAUGAAUUGAAAUCGCUAAUGAUAUGAAUUUACAGUGAGGAAAAGGAAUUCUAAUUUCAUCUAUUUUCUAAAUAUUUAUAUAAUAAAAUUAUUAAAAAAUAACUAUAUCUGUAUUGAUUCGUUUCCCUCUUAUUGAUAGCUUACAUCCCUAGCUUCUCUAGAAUCCUCAUUGACUAUCUGAUCUCUUCACCUAUUGGUGUUCCCCCAAGAAUUUUUUUUCUAGUUUUCUCCUCCUAAUUCAUCUCUACGAUCAUCACCUCCUAGCUUACCAUUUUCAACUUUCUUCCAGUACACCACUUUUCCCUUAAAGCGAGCUAAGUUCACAUUUACUUUACUUCCAUAUAUACAGAAUCCGUUAAGUUUACUAACUGCCCUCUUAUCAUCCACAAUGCUUGCAAAUCUUACUCAACCAAAACGUAGACCUUUUCGAUGCCUCUUCUCAGGAAUAAACGCGUCCAACACUUUGCCAUGGAACUCAGAGAUUUUCCAUGGUCCCUUCCAAUGAAAACAAGAAGCAAGAUUAGAAACAUAAACUGAAAUCACCAUUUUCUCUAAGGAUUUAGCCUAGUAAUAGUUAACAGUAACUCCACGGAUCUGAUUAAAAGCACAAGUUAAGUGAAUUACCAAGAACAAUGUUCUUCAAUACUAUUCCAAAUUCAAUUUUGGAACUUCUGUUAUCAUAGCUUUCAACUGUUUGAAACUCUGAUGGCAUUAUUCAAUCGUACAUAACUAACAUUUUCUGUAGCAACUUCGUCAUGGUAGAGCUAUCAUCGACAAGCCUGAACAAAUUGUCUGUAGUAUACAAUAAAUCCUAGAGAACUACCUAUUUCUAUAUUAUUUCCCAGAGAUUCCUUAAUUCACAUUUAUCAGGAGAUCAUUUGAAAUAACUCAAAUAUCUUCUGCUGUUACUAAAAUGUUUAGAAAACUUAUUUCUUGAAAUUAAAAUUCACAUUUGUUGAUGUUCACAAAUAAUUAUUUCUCUUGUAAUACCUGUAACACUGUUUUUCCAAUACUAAUCGUGUUCAAUUUUUUUUCUUCACAUGAAUUGAGUAUCUUUAAUUAUAUAGCAACAACUCUGAUAAGAUAUAAAGUGACUAUGCAAUUGAUAACCAUAUACAAUAAUCAACAUUUGACUAAACUUUGCAACCUAUACAAGUUUUUGUGGGAUUUCGACAAAAUAUAAACAAAAACCUCGAGAAGAAACUUAGAACAUAUUUACUCAUCCAUGGCAAUUGAUUGAAAAUAUUUGGGUUGUUGUCUAGCUCAUAAUCGUAUACAAGGUCAAUACCAAAUUCUAGCACAGAUAAAUCUGAAAGAACUCGAAGACUAACAUGAUCACCAGCUUCUAAUUCAUCACCCCUAAAGUUCCAACAAGUCGUCCAGUAUAAGGUAUUCUUAGUUUCAGGAAUUCCCAUGAAAUGUUUGGAGUAGGUCCACUUUGUACCUUUUGUCUCGUUCACAAUUUCAAGGCAUGGUAAAAAUCCAUAUGUUUUAUCAUUCUUGGCAGAAAAAAUGAUAAUCGAAUUUAAGAAGCAACUUAUGUUUUGACUAGAGUUUGGGGGCACUGAUAUUGAAACCUCAGUCUUGCCAGCUUGAUGGCCAUAGUAAUAACCACUGUAAUCAAAUGGCACUGGAUCAAAUGUUGUAAUUAUACCGUAAUCAUAUAAUACCUGUAGCAUGGGUUGGAGAAUGAGUUAUUAAAAAUUAUAUAGUAUAUAAAUAAUUUUAAAAACUUGGAACUUGUAAAGGGAACCUGUGGGGAAGCAACCAUUUUUGAUUCUUCUAUAUAACUGCAAAAUUGCACUUUAGUAUUUCCAUAAGAUUCCAAACUGAGCAAGUGUUUAGUUUGGUCCAUCUUGAUAUGUCUUGUGGAAACUUCAUCUCCUAAAAUAUAUACAAUAAUGUGUUAUUUAUCAAUUUUAGUGAUCAUCAACAUAAUAUGCUUAUUAGAAAGUAAUAAUAUUGACUUGAAUGGAGUGAUAAUUAAAGCUUUUACCAGACACUCAUUUGACACGAAUUCAAAUCGUGACCCAUCUCCCAUACUCAAUAUUGUAUGAAAAAAAGAUAUCAAAGUAGUAAUGUUAUUAUCACUAAGAUGUAUUAUAAGACUUGUAAGAAAUAAUCAAUUAUACACAUUAUAUCUUUAUUUUUCAUUUUUAUAUAAAAUAUAAACUUUAAAACUAUUAAAUAUGUUAAUCAAAACACCACUUUUAUAAUUUUAUCCAUUAUUUUAGUUUCCACUUCUAUUAGUACUAUUGGAUUAAUCAUUUAUCAAACAAUUAACUUAUUUUCAUUAGACCCCAAUUGCAGCAUAACUUUAUAAUUAUCACUUUAUUAUUAAGCUAAAUUUCUCUCAUAAUCUAUUAAAUUGUCACAUUUCUUGAUAAUAUUUUUAUUGUAUUAGAAAGUCUUUUAGAGAAACAUUCAUCAUUUCUUGAACAUUUGUUAGUCACAUAUAAAAUAAAUAUAAUAGGAUGUAUUUACUAAAAUAUAAUUAUUUGAAGUCUACUCAUACCUGUAGAUAAGUGCGAAAAGCCAUAUUCAUAUUUAAUGUUGUGUUUUGAUUCAUAAGUAACGCCAAAUUUUCUUAUGCUGAGAUGCAUAGGCACUACCAUGCAACUCACAAGGUCACCACCUUCAAACUGAAAGUCCGUUACUGGCCAAUGAAUCAACCACAACAUUGUCUUAUCGUUAGUCUGAGGAAUUCCAAUGAAACUUGAGCGAUAUCUCAGCAUGAUCGUUUUGGUCUCAUUGAAAAUGUGGACACAUGGUAGAAACUCCGACAUUUGAUCACUAGCUAAAGAGAAAACAAUGCAUAAGCUGAACCAAUGGAUCUUUUCAUCUGGAUGAGCUGGUGUUGGCAAAAAAAAAGAGAUUCGAUGCUCGUUAGUGCCAUGCUUAAACCAAAUCGGAAUUUCACUUCCUACAACAAAUGUGCUUGUUAUACCACGUUCUUGCAAGACCUGAUCCAAAAACAAAACAAGUUAGAUGAUUUAGUAUAAGAGAAAAAAUAGAUUUAAAAUUUAAGUUGGAGAACUAUUGGACCUGUGGGGUAGCUAGCAUUAUGCUGUCUGUUAGGUAGCUAUAAAGUUGCAGUCGAUUUCCGUUAAUGGAAUCUACGUUGAAUAAUCUUCUAAUCUCUUCUGCUUCAAAGUUUUCAAUUGGUUCCAACUUGAAUAGAUCUUCAACCUCAGUCAAUUUUUCACAUCCAAAAAUAACACAUCGUGUGGAAGAAAAGAAGCAUGGAACAUUAUUUAUCCCAGAUCCUCGAAAUGGAGAAUUGUCUCCAAAAAUAAACUUGCACUCUGAAACAUUGAGCAAGACCGAAAGCUUUGGGAUCAUUUGGAGUUCAGUGCAAGAAGUCAAUAGAAGUUCUUCAAGUUUUGUAAGGUUUUUUAAGCUUUCGGGUAGGUAAUGAAUUGGGUUUCUACUUAAAUUUAAGGAUUUCAAGGAAGCCAAGUUACAAAGAUCAUUGGGCAUGACAUCAUUAGAUAAUUUGCAACUUUCAAGGCUUAACUUUACCAAAGAGCUCGGUAGAGAUGCCCAAGAGAAACCCAAU
Molecule: long non-coding RNA, 155750 nt
Filed under: Gossypium raimondii (Peruvian cotton)
Lineage: Eukaryota; Viridiplantae; Streptophyta; Magnoliopsida; Malvales; Malvaceae
Description: long non-coding RNA (GRAI_LNC002433)
Rfam family: MIR7486 microRNA precursor family (bases 99199-99285)
Source: RNAcentral